This 127593-nucleotide long non-coding RNA is filed under the name Brachypodium distachyon (stiff brome). The record is from RNAcentral. Lineage: Eukaryota; Viridiplantae; Streptophyta; Magnoliopsida; Poales; Poaceae.
CAUCAACAUUGUAGCAACACGUUGCCCCCCACGUUUGAGGUUGAACUGCAGAUUGACCAUCCACAAUUUUACUGAUUCAUACAAUUAAUUUGCAGUGCUGAAAUGACUAAUAGUAAUACUAAUAAGUAAUGACUAGUCAGGUGAUAUCGUACUAAGUUAUAUGUUUCCAUAAGAAGUUCUACUUACAGUAUCAGAAAAGUAAUCAUGAUGUGGCCUGUAAUAUUGGCUUGGUUCAUACCUGUAGUUUAAGUUAAUUUCACAACAAUAGUCAAGUGAAAGGACUUCAGAAAUUUACAGUCAGAAUUCAAUCUAUUACCGCAAAACUUGGAUGAGUUCCCCAUUUUCUACAGGUAUCUGAGAGAACACAGAAAUCCGCUUCUCUAUAGCCUGACAAGAGCAGAACAGUUCUUAGGAGGCGAAGAAUGAAGUACUAAAUAUGUAAGGUUAAAUACACUCUAAUUCCAAUUUUUGUGGUAAAGGAUUACAUAUCAUGUAGUGCAGGCAUAUUAUGCAAUGCAGGAUGAAUAAUAGGGUAAUUUGGCAAGGAAGAAUAGGUAGCACUACCAGUAGUAGUGUACUUACAUAGUGCCAGCAUGACCACAUCAAUCUGAAUUUGGUAAUAUUGAACUGCUGUUUUUGAUAAGUUUGUGGAAAUUUUUAGACUUCACAGUGAAUCCACGUCCACAUUGCUGAACUACAUGAUCCACAAUAAUUACCAUCAAUAAUGUCACUAUAUAUGUUCCAGUGCCAGUGAUGGCAUUUUUGUCAUCUUGCCAACAGAAGUUACAAACUAUAAGGCCUAGCUUUUGCUUUCAUAUAAGCAGGUUAGUUGUUGGAAAUGAUGUUAGCUUUUGGUAACACAUUUUUUUAAAUUCAAUUCAUGAAAAAAAAACAAGUCAAAUUUUAAUCUAUAUCCGAUCUUGAUUCCACUACUAACAGAACGUGUUAAUACCUUAGAUUUAAAGUAAAAUUAGGAAUGAAGAUUAUCUCAUAGACUCAUAUAUCAUCAUCUUCUCUUGGCCUAACAGAUAAAAGAAGAGGACGACUAAAUAGUUCAAUAACCAUCUAGAGGUGAACCAUUUUAGAUAAUGUUGUUUACAAAGAUGUAACCAACUUAAGGUAGAAUCUUAUGGCAUGAAACUUAUGAACUGAACAUGCCUCAUUAUACUAGUCAUGCCACACACAUAUGCUUGUAGUCUUCUGUGUCACAGAAUGACAACCAAGAGAAAACAUCACACAGAAGAAAAAUCAAAUUGAUUUUGUGAAAUACAAAUGCACGUGUUCUUACAAAGUUGUUGCAGAACAGGCAAAUCUGAAGGCAGUAGUUAAAUGUUUAGAGGGUCAUUCAGAAGUAAAUGGUAAGGACCACGUUCAAGUAGUAUGAACGUACCUGAAUGACUGGGAAUUUUCUUUCUUCAGAGUUGACAAACAUACCAGAACUUGUGCGUACAUCACUUUUUACACCCUGGGGGCACAAACAGCAACAUUAUGAAUAUAGUAAAAACAAUUUAUUUUGGGGAAUUUCAGUAAACCAUAAUAGAUCUUACAAAUAACAGCUCUAUCAAACUAGCACUACAAAUUCGUCCCCAACACUUCCAGUACCAUAAUUAACCAUAAACAUAAAGCUGCCAUACAGGAGGGCAAAUAAAAAGCAUGAGUACAAAACAACAGAAAAAUAAAUUAAAUUGUUUUGUAACCACAUCAAGGAAAACGGUAGACAAUGCAAACAGACAUAAGAAGUCAUGUUAGUGCUCACGCUUGAAGAAUCAACAGAAGAGUAUUGUCCAUGAAAUAUUUUGAUCCUGAGAAUUAAUAUAUUCCUAGCACACCCAUGCAAGCUUGAAAAAGCAAGAGAAUAGUUUGUGUUGUAAUGUUCCCCAUUAGUACAUGUCUAUAUAUACACUCAGUCUCAGAAGAAAGUGUAUAGUUUGGACACAGAUGAAGAAAACAGAAGCUUUUACAUUCCCAACUAAGAUUUGAAACUUGCUAAUCUGCUGAUUAAAUGGAAAACACAAAGACUAGCCUAUGAAUUAGAAGCCCAACAAACAUACUUUUCCAGUUGCAACAUCAACUACAGUAGAAAUCUCGAGUCUUGGUCUAGCAAUUUCUUUUAGAAAAUCACACUCCUGCAAAUAUUAGGCAAAAAGAAGUUAGCAACUUGUGUAUUUGCUAUACUGGUGAGGGCCUGAGGGGCCAUGUCUGCAUAAUGUUGCCAGCCCUCAGGUGUAUAUUUUUGUCCUGGACAUGGAAAUAUGGCUUAAAAAUACACAAUAGAUAAAAUAUAUGUACAUAUAUAUUUAGAUGUUGAGGAAAACGAUUUAGCUUACACCCAACCUAACGACAAGAGAGAGGGCCAUACCUCUGAGCUAAGAAAAUUAUGGAAAACAAUUAUUCGGGGCGUCCAGCUGAUAACUUCAGGCUUCACCUGCAUUUGUAAACACAUAGAUUUGCUUAGAGUAAGAGAAAAAUGUGCUCUGGAAUUUUCAGUUUGGGUAUGAACUGAAUGAAGCUUGCCAAAGCUGAUAGAAAAAUGUAAAAAUUAUCAUACCAAAUUAUGCAUAUAUGGUGCCUAAAUCAUGCACGGAUACUGGUAAAAACCAGAGAAUUACAACCUUAAAAGGAAGUGUAACAUAAGCAUUUCAGAAGAUUCUAAACCCAUAUUCGAAGUCAAUCUUUACAGGUUUCCUACUUUCUAUUUCUAAAUAUAUACUGGCAUAAUCGAUAGAGGAGCCAUCAGGCUUGACAUUCCACCACUGUUAUCCAAUAUAUUGCUCAUGAUCAACAUCUUGUUAAAUGUAAUAAAUGUAUCCACAUAUGGUGUUGAGAACUUAGAAUUAUACUAGGCCAUUUUUAUUAAAUGGUAGAAACAAAUACCGCAAAACAAAAGAAUGCAACCAGCAAGAAAAUGCAAUUUACACUUCCAGAUCAAAAUCUAUAUCCAUACUACUUACAAAAUCUUAAACAAUAUGAGUUUAACAUGCUUAACGAGUAACUCGUUACUUGGCUCAUUUAACUUCUUUUGUUAACAAGAUCAAACUUCAACUCGACUCGUUAGGGGCCGAACGAACCAAGUAACGAGUUACCCAUUUUAAUCGUGAGUUUCAAGUUUUAUUCUCAAUCCAUGAACAUAUAGUAAAUUAAUGAAGCCAUUAGGGAUAAGGCUGCCAGAUUAUUUGCCCGCAAAAGAAAAAGGUUGCAAUAUUAUUUUCCCACAAAAGAAAAAAGGAUGCGGGAAUGUAAGUCAAAAGAGAAGUCCAGAUUUCAACAAAAUAAUGGAUAAGACAUACGGCUCAAGUUUUAAAUAAUAUCAGAACUUACGUAUCCAAGCCGAAGAACUGCUGCCUCCUGAUCAUUAUCCAAAUGCACCGUAUCUGCCGUGCAGAACACCUAAGGUUUGAUUAGACAUGCAUAUACUUACAGAGUAAGGCAUAUUCCUUUCAUUAUGGAACUCGACUUACUCAGAAACAAUAUGCCAAGCCAGUACCUGGGAUAAACAGGUAUCUGAUUUGACAUUUUUUUUAAGGGGAGGUACUUCAUAACGUAAGAAAAAUGAUUGAAGAAAAAGAAACACAAUGCCACAGAACAUAAUUAUAAGGCUGUUCCAACUAUAACAUAUACAGUGAUAAGAGAAAAUGCGCAUACAUUUUAUUGGAAAUGCAACAAGUACAGGAGGAUAUACAUACUGGGGUGGUCAUCUAGAUGGCGAAAAAAUGCCAGCUGAAGCAGUGAGCCUGCAUUUGGCGAAAAAGAAGCCGAAAUAAAAUAAAAUUAAGCUACACAUCUAAGCUAUAGUUCUGUGCAGAAAUGGUUGAAAUAUAAAUUAAGAAGCCAGCAUUUGUGGAGAAGAGGGCAACAUGAAACUAAAUUGCGACUGUUGAAGCAAUGUCAAAAAGUCUAAUCUUCAUUCAGAUCUGAGAAAAUUAAAGGUAAUUCAAUGGUUACAUUAUCAAGUAUCUUAUCCAGAAAAAAAAAAUAUCAGAGUAUAUUGUUUAUGUUUUAACGCACAUCAGAGUAUGUAUAGUUCCAGGUGGGAGUCAUAAGAUAAUCCGAAAUACAAUCAGGAAUCCGCUGGGACACAACAUGCCAAAUUCAACACCUGCAAUGAAUUUGGGCACUGACUAGACACGAAAACAAAAUCCAAUCAGACUCAUCAGACACAUGACCUCCAAUGACUCAUCAGUAGAAAUGUCAGGCAUCAAAGCGGCGGAAUGCAUCUGGAAGCAGUGGGAAUGAGACCUCAUGGAUCUCACUCAGGGUGUACCAUGAUUCCGCAGCAAGUUCAAUUCCCUCCAAGUGAUGUCAGACCAGUUAAACAGAGUCCAGUCCGACAACUAAGCAACCUAAGCCACCCCAUCCAUAGAAAUCCCCCCGCCCCCAUGACAGCCACAGAGGCUACCAAUGUCUUUGCUUUUUUUUACCGGUAAUGUUUUUGUUUUAUCACCAUUAGAACCCAAAGGCGCUUGAACAGCAUCCAGCUAGUCACCACGCCCAAUUCAAUAAACGGAACGUGUCUCAUCAGGACAAUUCACCCACGGCAUCAAACAAUGCCGCGCAGUUUCCGAGACUCGAGACUCCCCGACUGAGUCGGGACAAAAAGAGACGGCAACGCCCUGAUCCAAAUCAAGGCCGAGGGCAAGCAGAGAAAAGAGGGCGCGCACCUAAGAUCAUGCCGAGGGUGAUGAAGGUGAGCAGCGGCAGGAAGCGCCGUGCCCGCGACCGCGUCGUCAUCCGAUCCGACGAUUGAAGUUGGGGUGGGAGGGAGGCGACGAGGGAAGCAAGUUGAAAUCGCCCGUGACACCGGCCGCCUUCGCCGGUGCGCGCUGGGUCUUUUAUUUCCUUUGCCGAGAAAAGUAAUCCCGAGGACGUACCCCGUAUGUAUAGGGCAUUAGGGCCUGCCCCAGCACGACGACGACCCAGUCGGAAUUGGUCAAAGUCAUCAAGUAUCACGUGCUCACCUGUUACUAUUUUGGUAGUCUUUUUUCUUUUUUUGAGAGGAACGACCGAAGUUCAACAGAAAAAACAUAGAGAUAAAAGGUUCGCUCGGGGAUCAUCCAGCCAAAAUAUAUCGACCUGCUCCAAAAGAAGUAGCUAGUGCAGCUAAUCUAUGCGCCUUUCCAUUAGCUUCACGUCGUUCAUGACCGAAAAUGGUCUUUUCAAACUAAAAUCUUCUCACCAGUAUGCCUUGAAUAAUCAUGCCAUGAGCCCUAAAAGAAUGCUCACCAUUAAUGUCCUUCACAACCGUAAGACAAUCCGAAGCAAACAUAACUCGUCGAACAUUCCCAUCUGUUGCAAGGGCUAAGGCUUCAUCACAUGCACAUGCCUCAAGAACUUGAGGAUCCGAUAGGCCAUCCACUACCACCACCGACACGCCCACAUAAUUUCCCAAACCAUCACGACAAACUGCCGCAAAAGCCUCCUUCGGACUGCCUCUAGCAACUGCUACAUCAACAUUGAUUUGAAACAUACCCGCCGGCAGCGGAAUCCAGUGCGGCACAGCCGGCCUGCCAUGGACAACUCUUCCUGAUGGAGUCCUUGCAUAGAUCCCCAGCUCAUCAACAUACUUGGUGAUAAAAGCAUGUGUAGAUAGAGGACUCUGAAAUUCCUCCUCAUGAAUCGCACGGCGACGCGCCCACCAGAUGGACCAUAAGGUAACCAAGACCUCAAUGAACUCGUGUUGCUUAAGAGAUUUACAAGUGACAGCAGCCAUAACAACUUGGGAUCCAUUGAUUCAUCGCCAAUAAGAGGCGUGAUCAAAUUGUCAUCUCGCAAGGACCAAACACACUUCGCCAUGUUGCAAUCAAGGAGAGAAUGCCUCCAUGAAAUCUAGCUUCCUCAACAUCCAAUGUAUAGAUUGGAUCGGAAGCCUUAGAGGCAACUAACUUUAUGUCGUAAAACUUUCCUCCCUUUUCCCUUCUUCCAUCUCCUCCUCUUCCAAUCUCUCUCAGUUUCCGCAAUCAAUCCAAACUUUCACCACUUCAAUCUCACAGUCCAAUCUUCGCCAUGCCACCUGACGAUCCCCCUCCAUCUGCAAAUCCCACACCCAUCUUAAACCCACCACCUGAAAAGCAACACCAUGACCCAAACCUCACCUCAAACCAAAAUCAGACUCGCCCGAUGCCUAGUAGGAAUAUUAGCAGGUCCUGGGCAGAAAUUGAAGAUGAGGAAGAAGCUAGAAGAUCUGCUCGUCAGAGAGCACAGAUAGCCCGACGUGAAAGAGAGAUGCAAAGAGCGGCAGAAGUUGAAGAAAGAGCAAGAUUUGAGGAGGAACAGAGGGAAAGAGAAGCAGACGUGCCAGAUCUUGCUCUGGACCUUCAGGCAUUGAAGAUCUCUGCACCAGGUGAAUGCAGCCUUCAGGUACAAGAAGUUAAUCCUGGGUAUGCAGUUACUUCACACAAUCUUUUGUUGAAAGUUGCUUGCUCGGGAGGUACACCUAGGAAUAUUUCCAAGCAUGCAGUUUCUGUAGCCAUGGCCAAAGCUUGGGGCAAAAACUAUCAAUUAAUAGCAGAAGUAGCUCCUAAUUUGUUCAUGGCCCAGUUUCUUUCUGUUGAAGCUAUGCAUUUUGUGAUUGCUAAGCAACCUUGGACCAUGGGGUCAGAUAAUCUAUUGAUUGAAUGGGUUAAUCCAAAUGAAGAUAGCAAAUCGAAUGAAGAUUACAAAUUUGAUACCCUCUAUGUGCCUAUCAGAAUUUAUGGGGUUCCUAUGUCUUUAAGAUCUCUCAGUCUGCUUCAAGGAAUUCUCAAAAAAGUAGGAGAGCCUUCAGAUCUUCAUCCUUUGACAGAAAGCAUGUUGUUUGCUAAAGGAACUUAUAUUUAUGGAAUAGCUAAGAUGAAUAUUCACAAGCCCGUGAAAGACAGAGUUAAGUUAACAGUUUCUGAAUCUACCAAUAUCACUGCUUAUAUUCAUUAUGAGAAAAUUGGUAGAAUCUGUACUUUCUGUGGUAUUAUGUUCCACACAGUCUUUCACUGCAGGAAAAGAAUUGAUCUGUUCAUGGAACGUAUUGCAAAGAAGCAAUCAUCAGCAGAUCUCCCCUUUGAAAGGAAUGGCAAGUGGAUGACAAUAGUUGAGGAGAUUCCUAAAGAAACUAAGCUUGAAUAUGAAGUCCAGGAGAAAUGUCAUGCUAAGAAGAUUCAGAAAACUUUUCAAUCCAGAGAUAGAGUAUGAGACAGGCAGGUCAGAGGAAGAACAUGCUUCAAAUUAUGACAGAGAAGAAGAUCCAAGAAAUUCUAGACAGACUGUGACAAGGAAGCAGCUGGGUUUUGAUGAAGGGGAAGUUUCUUCAGUAAACAGGAACAAAAUAGAGGCCAUGGAGAGACGAACAGAGGUUGAAGAUGACACUGUACACCCACUUAAUCGCAUUGAAGAGAGUAACUCAAGGCCAGUCGGUGCAAUUACUCCUUGGUCUGGGCAUGGAGGACACCUCACUCAAGUUACAGAAGAAGAUAUGCACAUUGAGCGACACCUGCCUCAGGGACAGGAGAAAGGAGACCAAGCAAUGGCAGAGGCAGGUGACUGUAUCCAAGUUCAGGUUCCAGAGAACUCCCAGCAGGCACUAGAAGCACUGCUACACUCGCCUGAAGAAGAAAUGAGAAGUUUGCAGGAAAUGGUAUAAAGGCAGCAAGAAGCAAUACAGAGACAGAAAGGGGUAUACACUUUUAAAGAACCUGGUCCUUCAGGCACAAGAGGAGUACUAGUCAAGCAACCUUUAGAUGCACAGUUCGUGGCCGAACCAAAAGGGAGUACUACUUCGCUUGCUGAACAACCCCACAUAAGGGAAAGGGUAAAAUAGACAUGAUCUCUAAACCCCUCGUCUCCCCUAGGCAGCUACGACUGGCAGCUCCACAGGCUCACACUGCAAACAUCACAUCUGCUGCUGCAAUGGCAUCUUCAUCACAGAGGCCUCUGCAUCCAAAUAAUGAUGCUAAUUUCUCGCCCGUCCAAGCUACCUCCAGGCCAAUCAAUCCCCAUAAAUCCUCCCAUACAUACAAGAGGUACUCUUCCCCCACCUCCAUCCUUGGUCUCCCACCGGCGAAAAAAUGGGCCGGUCCUUCCUUCGGAGAUGCUGCGCUGGCGCACGGCAUCAUCGCCGGAGCUAGGAGCUCAUCCCGGCCUAGCUCUACUCCCCCCGCGAGCUCUCUUCGAGGCGGAUCUGGAGAAUCCCCACUCCGGAUCGAGUUUGCUUCCCUGGAGUUCACUGGAGACACAAGUUCCAAUCCAACAUCGAGAGCUGGUAGCAGAGGAGGAGGCGGAGGCGGAGGAGAUCAGAGAAGAGGAGCACGCCGUGGCUCUCCUUCCUUCCCUUCGAGGGGGAGUCGAAGGAGAUCUUCGGGAUGGGAUGUGCCUCCUGUUCUUAGAACUGGAGGUAGUCAUUCCUCUUCUGCAGCAACCUACACCGGUGGGGUUAGUACUUUCGGUGGGAAUGGAGGCGCACAGGCCGAAGAGAUGGGUGUCGGCGGCAAUGUCGGCAGCAGCAGCAACAACACUUUGGAGCCUCUACUGCAACCCACUGCUCCUGCCGCUGGCAAGCAAGCUGACGGCUUCAGUUACAGCACAAUCGCAGGUAUUGCCGAUCCACACUCUAGCCAGCCAGCCCAGCAUGAGAGUAAGAAUGAUGAUAAAAAUCAAGAGAAGCUUGGCAUUUGUUCUCAACAUGGUGGCUCCUCCCUCGUGGGUCUGGUAUUUGUUGAUGGCGAUCUGGGGGAGAGGAAUACGUCCGAGGUUCAAGUACAGACUCAGGACAGCACUAUUGGAUGGAAUUUGGAGGAGCUUAAUGCUGCCACUAUGGAACUUAAUAGAGACGAUGAUGGGAAGGCUCUGGCGCUAGCCUUUAAGGCGCCAUGGGCGCCAUGAGGCUCAUAGCCUGGAACUGCUGAGGUUCUGGCGGGGGCCUUGGCAGUAGGAAGAUGGAGCACCUCGCUAGGUUGAUCUCCUCCACAAAAGCCCAGGUAAUUUUCAUUUCUGAAACGAAGACAACCAAAAUUAAUUCCUUUCAUCUCAAUAAUCAUUUCAAUCUUUGUGAUAGCAUUGUCUGGCCCUCUUCUUGUUGUGCUGGUGGUCUUUGGCUGAUGUGGAAGGAUGAUGUUGAUAUGCAGAUCAAGUUUAUAUCUAGUAACUUAGUUCUAGGCCUAGUAGACUGUGGUAACCCUAGGCUAACUUUUGCGCUGGCUUGUAUAUAUGGCAACCCGUACCAUCGCUUGGACAACCUUAUCUGGGAUAAAAUCGAGUCUUUUGUGUAUGAUAAUCUCGAUAUCCCAGUUUUAUGUAUGGGGGAUCUGAACAAUAUAAUGUUGCCCUGUGAUAAAAGUACUCCUCGUGUUAAUACCUCUCGUAUGCAUUGCUUUAAUCAUUUUGUGAAGAGGUGUGGUUUAGUUGAUCUUGGCUUCAAUGGUCCUGCUUAUACCUGGUGCAAUAAACGUUUUACUUCUAAGCCAGUGUUUGAACGUCUUGACAGAUGCUUUGCUAAUGCUGGUUGGUGUGAUCGCUUCCCUAAUACUAAUGUUUACGAUCUCCCUGUUUUGCUUAGUGAUCAUGCUCCCAUCCUUAAGAUUACCGAUUCCAAUUUCCGGAGGCCCCGACUUAAAUUCAAGUUUGAAAACUGGUGGCUUCUUGAAAAUGAUUUUCACUCAAUGGAAUGCUACUUAUCAUCAGAAUUUUUGCACUAGAUCUACUAACCUGGCAGGUGCUUUAAGGAAAUGGUGCAAGAAGAAAAAACCCCUACAACAACAAUUAGAUGAACUGCAAGACCAAAUUCUAAAGAUUCAGUCAGAACCUAUCCAUCUGCAGGAUCACUCUAAAGAGGAGGUCUUAGCCAUCGAAUAUGAGGAAACCCUAACCAAGCUCACUGAACAGCAACGGCAAAGAGCUAAGAAACAUUGGGCGGCUAAUAAUGACAGGAACACCACUUUUUUCCAUCAAGCUGUUCUCAAAAGAAGAAGGAGGAAUUGUAUAGUCUCCAUACAAGAUGAGGCAGGUAAUGUGCAUUAUGAUCCUGAACAGAUUGCUAACAUUUUCAAAAGUUAUUUUGUCUCUUUGUUUGGCUCCUCUAACACUGAACAUGAAGAAUUCCAGCAGCAAAACUUCCCUGAAGCUCCUACAGAUGACUAUACUUAUUCUAUUCCAAACAAAGAUGAAAUUCUACAGAUCCUUAAGUCGAUGAAGAGAAAUGCUUCCCCAGGUCCAGAUGGUUUCAGUGUGGCUUUCUACACAGCGGCUUGGGACUGGAUUGGAGAUAACAUCGUCAAAAUGGUAAGGAAUUUUUUUAACUCAGGUAUGAUGCCACAAAAACUCAAUGAAACUCAUAUUGCUUUGAUUCCUAAGAAACUGGCUCCGAUUUCUACUCGUGAUUUUAGACCUAUUAGUCUCUGCAAUAUUGUUUACAAGAUUAUUUCUAAGGCGCUUGCUAACAGACUUAAAAGUCAUCUUCCUGAUCAUAUUGACCCCAUGCAGCAAGCUUUUAUUAGAGGCAGGCGUAUCUCCAAUAACCUCAUAAUUGCUCAGGAAAUUGCUCAUUCCUUCAGUCUCUCUUCCAGGAAUCAUAAGGCUUUUAUGCUUAAAAUUGGUCUUGCCAAAGCUUUUGAUCGCCUUGAAUGGCACUUCAUUCGGAGGGCGCUUCUACGUAAAGGGCUGCAUGGUAAUUUCAUCAAACUCAUUAUGGCCUGUAUCUCUUCGCCUACGUUUUCUGUUAUCAUUAAUGACCAGCCUUUUAGGAGAUUCUCUGGCAGUCGGGGAAUAAGACAAGGUGGUCCUUUAUCGCUAUGUCUUUUUGUCCUCGCUGCCAAUGAUCUGUCUAUUUCUUUACAGGAAGCGUUAUAGAAUCGUCAUCUGAAUGGUAUCUCUCUUGGCCCCCAUUGUCCCCCCAUUCAUUCUUUAAUGUAUGCAGAUGAUCUUCUGAUUUGUGGACAGGCCACUCCUCAGGAAGCAACUAAUAUUCUUCGUAUUAUCAAUGAUUUCUGCCGUAGCUCAGGUCAAACUCCAAACUAGAACAAAUCUGCUGUCCUUCUUAGUAAGCAGGUGGACCCCAAUCUUGUUGCCCAAAUUAAAAGCAUCUUCCCUGUCCAAGAUCUUGAUAAUUCUACUCUGCAUUUUGGGCAUCCUUUGAUUCUUCCUGCAAAAAAUAGGUCAUCUGCUUAUAAUUUUCUUGUUGACAAGUUCAAUUCAAAACUCAAUGGUUAUAAAGCUAAUAGUCUCUCCCACGCUGGUAGACUGACCUUAAUUAAUUCGGUUUUUUCCUCCAUUCCUGUCUAUUACAUGUCCACUUUUCUUUUUUCUAGAAAAUUCCUUGCCAAACUCACUUCUAUCAUUAGGAAUUUCUGGUGGACUGGGGUCAGGGAUCGGAGUUCUACCAAGCCUCUUUGUCUUAAAGCCUGGGAUGAUAUUUGUAAACCCAAAAAAUUAGGUGGGCUAGGUAUCAGGAAUAUUCAAGCCAUGAACAAAAAAUCCUGCUUGUCUCUUCGGCCUGGCGCAUUGCUAGUGAGCCAAAUAGCCAUCUUUCUCUCAUUCUCAGGGCUAAGUACUUUCCUAGCUCUUCCUUUUGGAGACCCCACGGUAACACUCCCAAAUCAGGUUUUUGGGCCUCCAUCUCCAAAAUAAAACACAUUCUCCUUGACUCCUGUUUUUAUCAAAUCAGAGAAGGCAAUAUUUCCAUCUGGAGUACUCCUUGGUUCCCUCUGUGGGAAAUUGUCCAUGACCAUCUAAACAUUCAGGAUGGGCACUUCACUUACCCAACCAAGGUUAAAGAUCUUUCGAUAGAGAAUCAUAAACUUUGGAAUACUAACUUAAUUUUGCAGAUCUUUGAUCAGCCGGCAGCUGAUGAAAUUCUCAGGACACCAAUUCUUCCAGGAGAUGAGGAGGACAUUCUCUGCUGGAAGCACAAUGAUUCUGGAGUUUGCACAGCUAAGGAGGCUUACAAAUUUUGUGCCCAAAACAUGCAGAUCUCCUCUUCUUCCCCCUCUCUAUCUCUGCAGGUUAUUUCUACACUCAAGAAAAUCUGGAAGGACAAACACCUCCUUCCCAGGGCCCGCGAGUGGACGCGUUGGCCGGUGCGUGCGACAUUGUGGCUGCUCAUGCGACUGGCUCCGGCGCUGGGAGCCGCAGGCCCCCUCAGCCGGUUGUCUGUCGACGGCCGAGGAGGUGGCGGUGGUAGCUGUGACUACUGCUGCUGCUGCACCUGGGCAGGGUCAGGGUUCUCCUGAUCCUGCGACAUGGGCUGCACGUCGUGUGACCGCGUGUUCGCUGCUGGGGCACCACGCGGAUCGAUCCGAGAGUCGCCAGCCCGCUUGGGAGGCCUAGCGACUAGUUCUGCCGUCGGAGAAGACGAAGCUGAUGUGGCUGCAAACGAUGGCGCCGGCGAGCUCUCCGCACGUGCCCCCUACCUGGCAUGCCAAAUGUCGUAGCCCGGGGCUUAGACACUGGGGAUGCGAGGCACCCCCUUUUUGGUUCAGCAGUGGGCGUUGGGGAUCGCUCCGGGAGAUCGCCGGCGAGGCAAAUGACGGGGGUUGCAAUGCACGAGUCGGUUUACCUAGGUUUGGGCCACCCGGAGGUGUAAAACCCUACGUCCUGCUUCUGAUUGUUUAUUAGCCAAUGAACAAGUGUUUACAAGGUUGCCGGGGGAAUCCCGGGGUGCUCUCUUCCCUUUUUUGCUAAGUGGCUACUUGCUACUUCUGGCCUCAAUCACUUGGGAUUGUAACCCAGCUCCAGUUCAACCCUAGAAGAACCAAAACCCAACCCCUUUGACCGGUGGCGCGGGUCCUCCUUUUAUACUCAAGGGGAUACCACAGGUGCCACGGUCUGCAUGGGGGAUGCGCCCUAGGACACGUGUCGAACAGAGACCCAAGGACAGAUGCACUGUAGCUAGGGCCACACGUGUCCUAGAUUCACCGCGGGCUACUCACUGUAAGCUACUCACUGUAGGUUGACUAGAUGAAUAACCUCUUCCCUGUCGGAGCAUUUAAUGCUCGGCUUGUGGCACACUCCACGCUCCGACCAGCACUGCACAGAAGGGGCCUGCCGGGCGGCCACGUGGCGUCGAUGCUCUGCCUGUACUGGGCACCGACCCUGUUGCAGGCGCCAGCGCCAGGAGACACCUUCCCCGGCAAGCGAGCUUCCCGGGAGGCGCCCCGACGGGGAUCUUCACGCUAUCUUCCGGGGUAACCCCCGCAGCCUGGCUAGCCCUGCCGAGCUGGUGGCUUCCCGGGCAGCCCUACCGGGCUGGCGGCUUCCUAGGCAGCUCGCACCAUGCUGCCUCGGGGGCUGUCCUUGCAGGGAGCAAGCGAGGCGACCCACGCGUUGAGCAACAGUGGUACCCCGGGUGCCACUGAUGCGACAGGCCCACUGUCAGCGGCCUUUUCCAGGGCCGGGUCGCAUCCUUUCGUUGCUUCCCCGGAGGUGCUAUUUUCUGCCUCGUUCCGGUCUGCUUGCUGGCGGUGCCCGAGGGGGGGGGGGCGUCUUCAGUUUCAUCUGCGCCUAUAUAAGGUGCUUGGCUUGAUGGUGUUUCUUCGCAGGUAGUUGCUGUUAUUUUUUGUUGUGCUAACCCAGGGAGCGAUCUGCAUAGCUGCGUGUUCGCUGUCCAGGUUGCCUGGGUGACGGUUCUCAUGGUUGUUGUGCUCGUGCGAGGUUGUCGCGCUGUUCUAGUUUCUUUUGCCGGCGUUGGAUCAUGGCAUGGCGGUCCGGUGGUGUCGGUCGCGGGAGGUUCCUCAUCGUCGUGGUGCGUGUCGUCGCGGCAGAUGGUGUCUCUUUUCCGGUGUUAUGGCAUGUCAUGUUCCGCCGCGUGGUGCGUGUCGUCGCGGCAGAUGGUGUCUCUUUUCCGGUGUUAUGGCAUGUCAUGUUCCGCCGGCGGUCCGUUUGCCCUUCCGCCGUUUUGGGUCGCGUCACCGUCGUUCGUGCUUGGUUUGCUUCGGGAAAGCGUCGGGCUCUUAUCGGAGGUUCGUGUUUCCUGUUUUCGUCGAAGGGCCUCCGCUUGCAUUCCUGCCGUCGCCGUCUUCGUCGUCAACACGCCUAAUCCCGUUUGUGACGUCGAGGUAGUUACCCGCUUGUUCUCAUGUCUGCCGUCCACGCAUUUCGGGAUCUCUGCUGGGAUGCACUAUGGUCCGCCUGGGAACUGACGUCGUUGUUGUCGGGAAGGGCGAUGCAAGUUCGGAUGUGAUUUGCCACAAGCGGCUGUCCGCUCGCGAGCAGCGGUGGGCGGAUUGGCGGCUGGAUCAUGCAUUUUUUGAGCCCGGGAUGGACGGGGAGGGCGUCCCGGAGCUGUCGAAGUUUCAUGCCUCUAGGCGGAACGAGAACGGGGGAUCGUGAUCCAUCCUGAUGGUUUUGUCGAUAGGACCAGGUUAGAUGUUUGUGUGUAUGAGCUCUGUUUGUUGUCGGGGAUGGUGCCGCCGAUGUCGCUCUUUCUGCGCGCGGUGAUGGAAGCUUAUGGCCUUUGUCUCUCCCAGGUGCAUUCCAAUUCCUUCGUUUUUCUUGCAAUUUUCCAGCAUUUGUGCGAGGCGUUUGUCGGGGUCAUACCAUCAGUGGCCCUGUUACAGCACUACGUCAAGGUCCGGAGGGAGGGUGUUGCGCUUGGGGGAGGCGUGUGCUUUUGCCUUCGGGACAGGCUAAAGGUCGCUUUCCCUAUCGUCAGGAAAAAGAACUGGGAGGAGUGGCGCCAUCAGUGGUGUUAUGUCCGCUAAGAUGAGUGGCAUCACUGUCUAGAUGAAAUUGCCGAAGAUGCCAAGAUGCUAGAGGGCUAAAGCACCUGUGAUCCUCGUGAUGUUCUUCUCGGGCCUAUUGUGGAUAGGAUAUCGGCAUUACAUCGAGCGGGUUUGACCGGCAAUCAGAUCAUCGCUGAUUACGUUAGCAGGGGCAUCGCUCCACUCCAGCUGCGAUCGCGUCCGUCGUGGGAACAUGACGGGCUGGACGACAGGACUCGGCUUGAUCCCGGCCUAGGGAUGCAACCGUCGGGAGACGUGGUGAGGUGUAGGGUGCACUGGCUUUAUGGGGGGAGGGACGGUGUCGCACCGCUUCCCCCGGGCGUCGUUGGAUUGGGCGCUGGGACCGAGGGUCUGGCGGAUAUUGUUGGCCAAUUUCCUGCCUGCGAUGAAUGGGGUCCGGUGGUGACUGCUCGCCCCUCUACCGAGGGAGGUGUGCAGCGUAUUGGUGAUGCUGGAACAGUUGUCGACCGGUUGUCCGUCGAAGACCCUUCUUCUGUUGGAGGGUAUUGUGUCCUGCCCGGCGGUGACAACGCUUGUGGGGCUUUUGGUGGUGCUGGCGCGUUCAACAACGUCGGUCUAGGGCUCUCGACAGCGGGGGGUUCCAUCUUGGAGGCAUCUUGUCUGGGAUGGGUCGUUUCUGAUGGGGCUUUUGGACCGUGCAGUGGGAGCCCCUAGGGACCAGUUCCCGAAGCUAUCUCGCAAGCUGUGUCGAUUGCGUCAUCCACCGAUACCGCGUAUGUGCCAUCGAGUGCUCUUUCCCCCGGGCCUGCCAGCGGCCCGUCUGUUGUGGUCCCCGUUAUGUCGGUCGGCGUGUUCCUCGUGUUGACUGAUGUCCCCGAGAACGCCGUGGUCUUAGCGGUUCUCUGUGCCCAAGUAAGUUGGGUUGUCUCUCGCACGGUUCGCUGGUGUGUUUGUGUUUUUGCCUGGCCCUUGUCCUUGUUGAGUUGUGCGGUGCUCUGAGUUGUUUUUUAUUUGUGCAGCGGUGAUUCCGUUGAGCGUGUUGUGGGACGUCCGGUGAAACGGUUACGUGGGGUCGGUGCCAUCGUCAGUUCCACGUCUAGCAGGGCCAGGACGGUGUUUUCGCUCGUUGAGGGCCUGUCCUUUGGUUCUAACGCCGAAGCAUGGGCUGGCGACGCCGUUGUUCGGCACGGCAGGUGCGGCCAACGUGUCUUUGUUGUUUGCCAACUUGGUUGGGCAGCUUGGGAAGAUCGCUGGUGUCAUGUCUGACAAGCUCAGGGAUGAGGCUGUCGUGGUCGCCGGGGAGGUGGCACGUGCUCUCUUGUCCCCGGUACGUCUUUUUGUCCUCGACUUCCCAUUCGACGAGCUCCUCGGUGCUUGGGUCAAGGGCGAUGACCAUGAGUCUCACCAGGCUGAUGUGGCCUUCUUUGUGAGGAGGUGCAGUCAACGAUGACUCGCCUGGAGGUGUCUGGUGCGCCGUCCCACAGGGAGAAAGAGUAGGCCGACGAACACCGAGCUUUUUCUGCCACCCGGACUCGGCAUAGGCGUGUAACCCCCCCAUCCCCUGCCCCUCACAUUCAGAAAAAUACAUCGCUGUCUACUUGAACGUUUGACCACAGGCAUUAUUUGUACAACCCCGCCCAAGUAAAAAAAAACUUCGCAUUUUCUUUGCUAUCUAUAUUGUGCUCCAGGAAUUCGUUCGUUUGGUGUCGGGAGUAAUCCAGUGUGUGCUUCCCUUCUGGAUUUAACAUUGUUAUUCUAGUGUUUUGUUAGAUUAUUUUGUCGUGCGUGAUUUUUAUCCGGCUGGGCCCAUUACAGGGCUAAUGCGUUUGUUCCUUUUGGAUUAGGAGCGUAAGGCGCCACCUUUGCGUUCCCAGGUGCCAUUGUAGACCGUCUUGUUGGAAGGAAACCCUGAGAGUUUUUUAGCAGGGGGUCAAGGAAAGUUCUGGAGACUUGCUCUCCCGUUUGUUGGUGAGGUUUCUUUUCAUGUGUGACACCCGGGGACGUCACAUGGGAGGAUGCGGGCGGGAGGUCGUUAUGUGCCAGGGUCCUCGAAACAUCCUGGGUAGAGAAUGGAGAGGCGAGAUAGUGACAGUUCCGGAAAUGCAAAGACGGUAUAGAGGACGAUAGAGGUCCUUGGUGACUUGGGGGGCCGUGACCUUCGCUGCCGGGUGGCUCCUCGGAUCAUGAGGCUUUGUCUUGUUGUUCGUGGGGCUUGUCGUUGGCCCUACUGAUGUUGCGUUCCUCAGGAAGAACGGCAUAAUUGGAAUGCCCGACUUUUUCACUACAAGAAUUUACCUGAAUUAUGACGUUCGGAAACCGUCAUAAUGGGCCAAAAAUCCAUAGGUUCACGUGUCAAAGUUGCCGACCUACACGUGUGGGUACCUUGCCAUGACACGUGUCUUCUUCCGGCACGAACACGUGUCAGCGUCCUGACGGGACGCGCGUCGGCAUCCUGACGGGCCACUCGUCAGCUUCCUAUUCGACCAGGUGUCCUCCUCUUGUAGUGAUACGUGUCCCUCGAAGCCCAAGAAAUUAGCAGGCCCAUUAAGGCUACCUAGGCCGGCCCACCAGAAUCGAGGCCCACUUGACCAGCCCACCAUAAUCCACUGUGUGCAGGCCCAACAGUUCUGAGGCCCAUUGGGCCGGCCGGUUUCAUUUUUUCAAAAGGCCCAUUUAUGAAUUAUCUUGGCAGCCUACAGUAACGGGCCGGCCCGUUGAUGGUUUUUCAGCAGGCCCAUUUACGGUUUGUCUCUAGGCCUCAGAAAAUAACGGGCCGGCCCGUUAACCUGUUGACAACAGGUCUCAAAGUAAUGGGCUGCCCCAUUAGAUACGGUCGUUUACGGUUUGUUCAUUUGGCCCAUUUGUUACGUGCAGACCCGUUUAUGAUUUCUUUUCCGGCCCGGUUACGCUCCCAUCCGGCCCAGUCGUUAGGUUGCACGGCAGCACAACGGCCCACGUUAGCUACAGCCUAACAAUGCGUUCGUGCGUUACAUGAUCAAGAUAAAACUUCGGAAAAAAACCCAUGAUCAAGAUAAAACAUAACAAUGCGUUUGUGCGUUACAUGAUCAAGAUAAAACUUCGGAAAAAAACCCAUGAUCAAGAUAAAACAUAACAAUGCGUUCAUGCGUUACAUGAUCAACAUAAAAUUUGGAAAAAAAACCAUGAUCAAGAUAAAACAGUCCACGAGGGCCCUGAAGACUGAGCUUCACAACACCUGGCCCACGUGAUAAUUACAACACGCGGGUUCAGUACAUACAAAGAUAACACGGGUGCCAUUGUCGUGAAUGGCAAACGAUCUUCAGGCAGCCAAAAUAACAGCUCGACCAUGCACCUGGACCAUCCCACCUCCACGCAAGCAAAAGAUAACAGUUCAGACAUCGCACCACACGUGCUCCAUGUACCUACUUACCUUUCCGGAUUCUUGAUCGGGAAAACAGAGCCUUAGCAAGGCUUCCAUUGGAUGCAGAGUGCUCAGGCAAGCAAAAAAUAACAGUAUAAACGUCACACCGCACCCACAUGAUGAAGAAAACGAGGUUUCACUUCUGACUUGACGGAUGUACGAAGGUUAUACUUCAUCCUCAACCUUCUGCAAUUGAGAAACAUGGUUGUCAGCCGCGCAACAUACAGAAAUCGAGUUAGUGAGGGCUCUUUAAAAGCUGAGUUACAAUGGCAUCUUGCACGCUCGUGGAGGACCCGGCUUCUUCCUUUUGUGGCAGGACUGUAAUAGGCAUAUGUUAAAAGUUGAUUUGAACAUUGAUAACUACAGAACACCCAUCAAAAGAUUACGUUCAACUUCGGUCAAAAAAAGAUUGUGUUCAACUAAUGGUCUUGGCAUAGAUGGUUACCCGGGUAAAUUGAAUAGCUAGGUGACAUGACAUGGUGCCAAGGAAGGGGAAAUUCAUCGUGAUUACACAAAAAUCGUACAUAAAUAACACAUAUAAGAAUAAUUCAUGUGCAGCUAACUGAAAUAUUUCCGGUAGUUACGACUCGGUAGAGUGCACAAUACCUGAUGGAAUGUAGAAUCUCCUGAAUGGCAACAAAUCGGUGGUAUUUUCCUGGUCUAUAUGUCGCACCGGUGGCCCACGGGGUCCCACUGAUGCCGGACGCGUGAAUCGCGACCACGGGAUCCCGCAAGGAAUGCUCCCCAGGAAGGGCAAACCCUGGAAGCCUCUCGCCUCCGAGACAACAGCCAAGGGUACGAGGAGACGUUCACUCGCAAAACCAUCACACAGGAGGUUAAAAGCUCUGACACCAUUGAGAUCAGGGUAAGAAAGACAACCAUCCCAACGGCAACCCGAGAAGCAUCAUCCCGGCAAGUUAGCAGCUCGCUGCCCCCGCAACUGGCUAGGCAACGGUACUGGGGUGCUUCCCGGCUACUAGAGCUUGGGCCCGCAGAUGGGGUCAGCGAAACAGUGAAGACAACAGCGGCAGUGCAAUUAAUGCACCGGCAGGAGUCACAUCGGUAGGGCUAGUCUUGCUCAGCACCUCAUAUUGAAUUUGCUUAUAACCGUUCAGGAUUACCUUGGGCCACACUAUAAAAAAAAAUGUCAAUCCAGCAAUAAAAAACAUGGUAAAAAAAUCAAAAAUAGUUUGAUCGCUAGGGUAGAGAAUCUGACAACUAAUCAAAAGCAUACCCUAGUCGCUAGGGGUAGGAAACCAGUUUAUCCACGUCUACAUACUAGUUUAUCUCUGCGAGUUUACCAAUUUAUAAGUUUGUCCAUGGCUAUUAGCCUGUUUAGUUUUACCUAUGCGUCGAUUUAUCGACAUCUACUUUCUAGUUUAUCCGUACAUACUUACCAAUUUAUCCGUACACAUUUAUCAGGUUAACCGGACAUAUCUACCACGUUAACCACACAUACUUACCAAGUUAACUAGCCAUAGUAAUCAGGUUGACUGGGCAUAGUUACCAGGUUAAAACAAUUGUUCACUAGACUAUGACCGCUUGGUUGCCAGGUCAUAAUCACUUGUUUAUCAGGUUAAAAUCACUUGGUUACCGGGUCAGUUUCUUGUUUACUUGGUUAAUACCACUUGAUUAUCAGGUUAUAACCGCUUGUUUAUCAAGUUAGAAUAUCACCUGGUUACCAGGUUAUAUAGUCUCUUGUUUACUAGGUCAUAGUCAAUUGUUUAUUAGAUUAAUAUCACCUGUUUAUCAGAUUACUAUGACUUCAUUACCGGUUAUAGUCACUGUUUUACAAGUUAGUAUCACUUGUUUAUCAGAUUUUAGUCACUUGUUUACCAGAUUAAUAUUACUUCGUUAUCAGGUUAUAGUCAUUGUUUUACCAGGUUAAAAAUCACCAGGUAACUAGCUUAUUUGCGUCUAACUACCAAGAAAUGCGGCAUUUGACACAUACAGGGAGCAAAUGGCGGCUCCUUUUCCUCCUACACGCAUGCUAAUACCACCGCAACGACUUUUCCGCCACCGCAACCUGCUAUUGCUCUAUGUCUUGUCCAGGCGCCAUGAUCAUAGUGAUCUUAUUGCUGAAGCGCUCGGGAUCUUUGGCGCGUGACUGCAGCCGAACAAGAACUUGCCGAGGAUGGGCUUGGCCGGGUGAAGUACACAUCCGAGAUGUAUGUGUUGGCCGAGGCCGACCCGCGUCAGGCUACUGGACACGGUACUAGCAUUGGUCAUCGUUGGCGGUGCACCCAUUGGCGUAGGAGACGAGCUGCCGGCAGGUCGAGAGGCUGCAUGAAUCCAGCGCCCCGUUCCGCCGCGGCGCCUGCAUCUGAACCCAUCUCCUCUCCCAUGCGGCUGCCCUCAAGACGCACUGUUCCUCCCCUCCACCUUCAGAUGCCACCGCCGACCCUGCGCCCGGUCGCGCCGCCGCGCCCAACUCGCCUGCUCCGGCCUUGCGCUCUGCCACGCAGCCGCGCCCUACUCUACGGUGCCGCCAAGCCUUGCCAACCUGCUCCAGCCCUGCACCCUGCCCCACCGCGCCACCCAGCGCCGCUGCCGCAGCCUGCUCCGCCCAGCCGCUCGAUUUGGGCCACACCAGCUCCGCCGCUCGAGUUCUAGGAGAGAGAGACGCUCAGGAUCCAGGGGAGAAGCACAGAGAGAGGGAUCGGUACGCGCCGCACGGUAAGACACGGGUGGGCGCAUGCCCCCCCGUUAGAUUGCCCGAAAAAAAACAGCAUCCAAACAGUCCCCGCCUACCUUUACUUUGCAUUAUUUUAUUGUCUAUGUCUCCAUUUAGACAAUGAUUAAGAAAAAGUUUAAUCUAACAAUUCUCCAAGAGCGCAGGUUGUCUAUAUUAUCCAUUCUAUAUUUUUAGGAAAAAAAGGGCCGAUUCCAUCGUUCGAGUCUUCCAAAUACUUUCACUUCUCGAAGACCGGUCAUGCAUUAUCAACACGUAAAUCUAAAAUUAAGCUUUGGCCGUCAAAUCGCAUUCUCGAACAACACAUCAGCAAGAACACAGAUGCAUCAUCGCCAAUCUGAAAGUUCAUGCAGUUCAUCAUCGACACAUACAUCAAGUUCAUACAUAAACGUUAACUAGAUAUCAGUAAGAGAAGCAUUUAACCUAAUAAACAAAAUGAGCUCCGCGUAUUCUCAUUGACGCCACACACUCCUCCUUCUCGUCAGAGGAGGAGCCGCUCCGCAGCCCAGCGCCCUUUCCACCUCCGAUGAGGAGAGCUUGAGGGCCCUCCACUGUGUGUGCGGCGUCGCGACGGGCCUCCUCCUCCUCCUCCUUAGUCAGGACGGAGGCAACUAGGGCAUGGCGCAUGACGGGAUCUUCGUCCUCAUCGGAGGAGGACAUGGCGUCGUGCGGGCGGCGGUGGGGGCUGGAGCAGAAGCUCUCUAGCGCAUCCCAGAGUUAGCUAGAGCGGGAGCGCUCCGACGCAUCCCCAAGGAGUUAGAAGAAACAGGAGCUCCCUAACGAGGCUGCCUCCACACGGAGCUCAUCCUCCUGCUCGCAGUGAUGGGCUAGGGUUUUGGGAAGGUGGUUUCCGACUCCUAGCGAGUGUAGCGUAGGGCAUCGUGCUUCUCCUUUUUACCUUCUACCCAAAAAAAUUCGUGUCAGCAAGUUGUCUCCUUCUGGUCAGAAAAGAAACAUAAGAUAUUUAAGCUUGGUUCAGCAUUGUAAGAAAUUCCAGUCAAACUAGGGGUAAAUCUGGUCAAAGUGCAUUUGAGCUCAAAAAUUCUGGAAAAUCCUGUAAAAUCAGGGACAAUCUUAGGAAGCUGCUGUUAACAUUUUAACUCAAUUGGAGCUGUGAAAAGGGUUCAAAACACAGAAAUACCCCUGUACUUUUGUGAAAAACCUUUGAGUUUGGGUUCGUGUGCUCGUGUUUUCAACCUUUAGCUUCAAUAACUGCGCUUCGAUUCAUAUCUUAGUCGUGCUAGUCGAUGUCCAGCAGAUAGUACUAGCAUUUGUGGGCAUCUUAUCAAAACAUUGCAUUGCUUUUUUGUUUCAUUCCUAUUCCUUGCUACUUAUAACACCCACCCAAUCUUCACUUUAAACUACCCAGCGUAGAGAUUCAUGUCAUCUGGCAAUCUCUCCAUCCAAUCUUCCAAGUGAUGAGACACUGUUGGUUUCUAUUCACCUCCUACUGCAUUGCAUGGUAAGAACCCGUAAGAACCGUGAAAUGGCAUGUGCAUCGAGUGACAUUUUCUCGCAUCCUACUAGUGCAUAAGAGCAUCUUCAACAUCACACCCAUAUUUUAGGUACCCAAAUCCAUUAUGGGUAGGAGAGAGAGAAAAUUUGGUUACUCAAAAUAUGUCCAACUAUUCCAACAUACCCAAACCAAAUACCCAUAUUGACGGGUUUUGAGCGGAUAGUGACUGCUUCUUAGUUAGGAUCUCGACAAUACGAAGCAAUAGGUUGGUUAUUAGUUAAUUUUCUAUAAUUACCCAAAAAAAUUCUUUUUUUAAAGAAAAAAAUAACGAGACACACACUAAGCAUAGCAAUUAUAUUAAAUGAUUUAUCAAUUUUCAUUAAAUCUUAUAGAAAGAGGUAUAAUUUCUUUUUUUUUAGGGAUUUCGGGAAAAAAAGGCUCUUGUCAUUUUUUAUUCUAUCACUGCACAGAAUGCGAAGACAAGAUUAGUUAUUCUUCAUCUACGAAUAUCCAAAUUUUUACACCUAAUACUCCAUGGAUAGUUCGAAUUGGAUAGCAACAAUAAUCAAUUUUAGCGCGAAUUGUUUGGAGAGGAAGUUUUUGUUUCCUUCUACGCGCUGAGCAUGGCAGGUUCUGCAGUUCCAAGAAGGGCAAGACUUCACCAUCCUGUGAGGUUACUUAUCCCCAAAAAAUUAGCUACUCCGUAUUAUAUUUUAUGUUUUAUGGUUCUCCAAAUAAGGUGAAAUGACAUCCUUAUCGGUCAUUGAACAAAGAGCUGUUGUAGGUUUCCUCGCCAACAAAACUGAUUCCUAGCUGACCUGUAUUAUAUUUCAUGUUAUCAAUAUUUGAACAUGCCUUACUAGUUUCCAUUCUAUAAUUCUUGUCAAAAUAUUACAUGUAUCUACACGCUUAUCAAAAUAGAUGUAUUUUUAGACAAAUUUGAGACAAGAAUUUGAGACAAGAAUUAUGAAGCCAAGAGAAUAAUACAUAAUUCUUGACGAAAUGUUACAUGUAUCUAGACGUUUUUAAGAAUAGAUGCAUCUAUUUUUGAACAAAUUUAAGACAAGAAUUAUGAAACCUAGAGAAUAUACGCAUAUCAGCAACAAUAGGUUAAAAGUAAAGCUGCGUGAAAUGCAAAGAGCUGUUGUAGGUUUCCUUUUCGACUUCCCAAAAAUGUAAUUAAUAUUUAAUUAACAUUGUUGGACAUACCAAGAUCGCCUGAUUUGUUAAGUUACCAAAGCUAUUAUGUAUUGCAAGGUAAUAUAACCAGAUCCGGCUUACAAGCUCACUGAACCACAUGCAUGAAAAAGCUUAUUUCACCACCCACGCUGUCACAUGACAGAGACAUGGUUCAGCUAUCUGAAUACAUCGUACGGGCAAAAUUCGACUGACUAAAUCCCGAAACAAAAAAUUAUAUGGACCAUCUGCGGGUAAUCCACCUGCGAUUGCCCAAUCAUAUACACUCUACAACCGACCUUCCUAAACUAUUAAGCAAACUUGGGGAUGCAUCCACCACAGGGCCCAUCAACAAAUAUUCAUCAAUCAAUGGGAGAUGGUGCUCGGGACCAAAACAGCAUCGUAACAAGUACGUAGUGUUCUAAUCCCACUACGACCCGACAACAAGCCAACAUCGGCAAGACAUUAUCCACGACGAUUCUGUUGCUGGCUUCUAUUGCAAGAACUGCGCCUCAAAAUUGGCCUCCAAAAACAAGUUGACCAAGGCUGCAAAAACCCGAUGCUUGCAAUCACCAAAUCACAGGAUACUGACCUGUGUAUUGUUCACAAAACCAAAGACAAACAACCAUGCUAUAACUUUGUCACUGUGCAUUUGCUUUCUCCAACUUUUCUUUCUCAAUUUCAACUUUUCUUUCCGCAGCAUGUUGAGCUAUGCCAUUAGCAAGUGCCUGGUAGCUGAAAUCCAGAGUCUGCAUAAGGUUCUGGAACCUAGCUGGAUCGGAUGCUUUUAUAGCUGAAAGAAAUUACUAUUACCUUGUCAGGCAGCUUUGGGCAGGUACAUAGCGUAAAAACAAUUUGUAGGUAAAAAAUUUCUUUACCUUGGAUGGUUUCAACAAAGAAGAUAAAUGGAUCCACCUCAUCUAUCGGUGUUUGCAGCUCCUCAUCAUCGCUGAAAUCGUCAUCAGAAUCGUUGUCGUCGUCAUCAUUAUCAUGGAGCUGGAAACCUCUAGCCUGAAUUACCAGAAGCAUGCAAAGAGUAAGCAUAGGUGCUAAUAAAAACAAAAAAUAAAAUUAUACUCAAAAUACUACGGAGCAUGCAACAUCUUUGCCCCAGGGAUCUUUCACUCAUCCUUUGCAGACAACCACUUGGAUGCCCUUUCCAAGUUCUUGUGGGGUCAUGCUACAAUUAAUAACUGAACACUGAACAGUAUGUCUUGGUUGUAGACUUACAUUAUUUUUUAUUCGGGAUUGGUUUCUACUUUUAAAGAACAGUUAUCAAAAGUUUGAACUGACCGUUUCCAUCCUAGAACUUAUUAACCCAUAUAAUUAUUUCUUAACAGUGCGACACGCUGCUGGUUUACAUGUAAUACUUAUGAUGUUAAGUAUGGCAAAAAUAGAUGAUGCAUCUACACGAAUCGAUUAUACGCAAUCUUGUUCUGCUUGAACUUUUGUGGAGAAGUGUCAUCCAGUUUACCAGGAGAGUAAAUGUUGUGUCCGGAAGAUGUAACGGGAAAUUAUUCUUAAGACACUACGCUACCCAAUCUCCAUAAAGAUGAUUGUUGCAGCAACCAUGAGAUUGCAAAACAAUAUUCUAACCGUGAUACAGUUUAGAAUUUCAAUGAUGGUAUACAUGGGUGAUCCGUGUAUGUCUACAAGCAUUGCUCAUGUGAUCCUUGAGAAGUGCAAUCAUGAAGAGAAAAUCAACUUAUAUAUCUUGCUAGUGUAUGCAUGUAUAUGUCUCAUCCAUAAUACUCUCUCUGAUCCAUAUUAGUUGUCGAAAUAUUACAUGUAUUUAGACGCUUUUUAGGCAUAGAUACAUCCAUAUUUGGGCAAAUUUGAGACAUUUAAUAUGGAUCGGAGGGACUAUUUCAUAUGGUAUUCUAAAAUUUAAAAGGAAUAACAUCACCACAUGUACAAAUAAAGAGAAGCAAGACAUAACCAUAUUAGAAGUGUUACAGCCAGGAUAGUAUGGUCUAUUUUUGCCCCCAGACCUUUCUUCCAGUGUUUCUACCAUGGUUUUUAAAGCAUCCAGACGGGGGGCGCCUCAACGCCUAGGCGCUCAAAGCACGAAGCGAGGUGACGCCUUAGUCAUUUUUUGGAACUGUUGAAUAUGGCCCAAGGCCCAUUAAGUGGACUGAACGGAGGGUUUUCUUCCUUCUCCUCUCCCGUGCUCCCCGGUCCCCACGAACUGCAGCCGCCACCCCCACAGACCACCAAAUCUAUGAGCACUCAAGGGAGGGCCGGCGGAGGAAGGUCCUAGCCGGAGAGGGGAAGGGCCGGCGGAGGAGCAGGCUUGGCCGGAGAAGGAGAGGCCGGCAGAGGAGGAUGGGAUCUGGCAGGAAGCUUCCUGGCGGCGGAGGAGGAUGGGAUCUGGCGGGAGCUCCUCUCUCUCUUAGCUCCUCUCUCUCUUUUCCCUCGAUCUAUACAACUGCUGUGUUCCCCUCUCUCCCCCCGGUCUGUUUCCCCCCCAAUUUCUCUGUUUCUCCCGCCGAUUUCUGUUUCCCGCUCGACCUUUGUCGUACUAUUGGCCCACGGGGUCCCACUGAUACGGGACGCAUGGGUCGCAAGUGACGAAGCCCCACCACAGGUUGGCCUCCCGGGAAGGAUAAGCCCGGGGAGCCCACCCCAAAGAGACGGUUAUUGGCUACGGCAAAGCCAAGAGUUGGAACAGGAGAGGUGCCCGCUUCGGUGGGUGCCCGGGAACUCAGGUACCGGAAAGAGGAAGGCACGCUGCCCCGGCAAUGGGCUGGGUGUGCUUGCCGGGAAGGGGCUCCCAGCAACCCGCGCUCGGGCAUGCAGGUGGGACCCGCAGAACAGUGAAGACAGGACGAGACAGCAGAAGCAGUGCAUUUAAUGCACCGACAGGAGUCACAUCAGCAAGGCUAGUCUUGCUCAGCAAGGCUAGAGCGGCUACCCUAUAAGUCCAUUUUAUUUACCGUGUACAGUGGCCUGGGCGCUGCAUGGCGCCUAGCGUGGAUCAACAGUAGAGUAAGUUUUGUGGCAAUGACACGCGUGUAGCAAACGUGUCACGCAGCAUGCAUCGGCACCUGUGGUAUCCCCUUGUCUAUAAAAGGAGGACCAGUCAAAGGGUUGGAACCCUAGUCAGUAACAAGUAAUAUUGCAUCCACUUGUAGCAGAACCCCUUAGAAGGACAAGUAGCUUACCGAGCGCACUAAUUCGUGAAUACAACCAAAGGCAGGACGUAGGGCGUUACACCUCCGGGAGGCCCGAACCUGGGUAAAUCCGAUUGUCUACACUUCGUGUCUUUUGUCACGUCGGCGAUCACCGGAGCGCUCGCCUCGCCCCUCACCGAACAACAAGGGGGUGUCCAACAUCCCCGGUGCCGGGGACCCGUGCUCCGACAACCUUCUAUCGACAGCGUCCAGAAACGAGCGAAGCGGCAAUUUCAGCGCCUAAACGACGCCCCUGGACGCUUUAGUUCGAAUUCUAAGGCGAGAACGACGCCUUGACGUCGCUGGGCGCUUCGACGCUUUGAAAACCAUGGUUUCUACAACCAACCUGAUAACCCAAUGCUUUCAUAAGACUGAUCCAGAUCCUAAAGAGUGGAUCUCAAGAUGCCGCUGGGUACCUGAUACCCACUGCCUUAUCCAUACCCAAACGAACGAGUCGGGUAUGGGCGAGAAUUUUUUUGCCCAGCCAAGUCGGGGAGGGUAUGGGCACUAUCCACGAUUCCCCAAUCGCCAAAUCCAGGUCGCCAGGCCUCCAUUCCCAAAUGCUUCGUCCCCAAAUCCAGCUCGCUCGUCCCUGCCUCGAUCCCCAAAUCAAAAUCACUUCAUCCCUCAAUCUGAAAAUCAGACUCGCUCCGCCCCUCGAUCCUCAAAUCAAAAUCGCCAGUACCGCUGAGGAGGGGGUUGUCAUGCUCGGGCGGAAGUGGAAGACACGGCGAGCGAAGGCCUCGUCGAAUUUGGCGCCGCGCCGCCUGGCGCCUCCCUGGGACGCGGCAAGCGAUACUAGCGCUGCAUCGGUCGACAAGUUCUCAUGAUGCUGAUCUUGGACGAGAUUGCGCCACUGCAGGCGACAAGAAGUUAGCCUGCACCAGCCUGCUGCUGGCCUCCGCGCACGCCAGCAGCGCGUAAAGCAUCAGGGUCGAGGAGGACCGUGGCCGCUAUGUGCGAGGAGGAGGAGGAUCAUGCUCGGCGAUCUGAGAAAUUUGUCACGGGUAAAAAGGGUAAUGGGUAAUUACGGGGAGGGUAGACAUGGGGAUUUCAUUUUCUGAGUAUGGGGAGGGUAAAAUACAGGUUAAGCCAAACCCUCCCCAACGGCAUCCUGAAGUGGAUCAGGAGCUGGAAGCUGAAAAAGAGGGAUCUGGAGCUCUACCAAACAUGGCUUAUGUAUUAAUGUGUAGCAGUUUGAAGGAAAAACACAUCAAGUAUGCUCUUCACCAGAGACUGCAAUAUUUCCAUUAACUAUUCUGUCAUCACAAUCAUUUUAAGAUAACAUUAACAUGGUAAGCAUCUGGAAUAAAAAUUAAAGCAAGACAAUAAGGUCUCUGAAUGUAAAUUAUAUUUGAAUCAAGAUCACAACACAAACCUGUACAAGUUUCUGUAUACUGAGACUAGUUACUUCAUCCUGAUCUUCAUCAUUGACCCCCAUAUCCUUAUCGUCCUCAUCCUCUUCUUCAUCGGCAUCAAAUUCAUCCAGAUCAUCAGUAGCAGUAUCAUUUUGCCUCUUAGAUUCUGGUUUAUAAAAGCAAAAGAUUGAGAUUAAACAGAAGAAGAAAUAUAAACACUAAAUUUUUGUACUAUAGUACUAGUAUACAAGUAAAAAUAAUGUUUGAAGUCUUAGAUGCUCUUUCUUUUCUUUGCCUCUAACAAAAUCACCUUAUUAUUUAAUUUAAUGAAUAUACAGUGGUAGACCACUCUACUGUUUUUAUUUUUUUUAAGAAUACUGUACAAGGUAACAGCUUAAGUCCAUGUUUAAUGUCAGGAGCAUAAUAAUUCCUAAAGGGCUAGCGGUUCAGCGGAGUAUUAUACAAUAAACAAGAGAUUUGCACCUGCAACUUGAUCCUUGUACGCGAUAAGCAGCUCGAGUGUUGCUUUGAAAAUGCGCUCCAAAGCCUCUGCUGGAAUAUGAUUAGCUGGAAGGCUAAUAAGUGAAAUCAAUCCCAAGCAGCAGACUUUCUUGUCAUGCUCUCUGCAAAUAAAGCAAAACACCAUUUCUUGAGCCAAGACGUCAUAUAAAACACAACAGUAUAUAUAAUCCUACCAUCAUGAGCUAACAAAACAAACCUUUUGAAGUUCACCCGCUUGCCGUUUUUUUUUACUUGUUGUAACAUGACAAACCAAAGAUUGAAAAUUUGUGUUGCAACUCCAAGUUUAUGCAACAUUGCCAGUGUCAGUGAAGGAUUGUAGUAGAACGCAUUAGCUAUCUGCAGUUGGCAUUGGAUGAAGUUAGAUAUAGGUUCUUACUCCCUCCGUUCCAUAAUUCUUGUCAUGGUUUUAGUUCAAAUUUGAACUAAUGGUUAGAACAUGCACUUCGCUGAUGAGAUUGACUUAACAUGAGUACAUGACUAUCAAGGGGCCUAUAACCCAUGGAAUUGGUAACUAUGGUGUACCCGAACUUGCAAAUACUAUAGCUUUGCAUUAUUGCAAGAAUCAAAGCAUUUAGUAUUUAGGAGGGUAAUUUAGUUUUCAAACUCUUUGAAGAUUUGUCACUAGCCAAUAUAAAAAUAAUUAAACAAGAUUGCAUGCAAAUGAAUAGAUGUAAUUACCCAAUUGCAUUUGGCUAGCUGACUUUAUACUUGUGUAUUCGUAAAUCAUAUAUCAACUCUAUCCAUAAGGUCUGUAUAAUGUGAACGCUAAAGACAUGUGAAACUUCGCGAACAAGUCUAGCAGCCGAAGGAAACUAGCAGCCUGCCAAUUAAACUAUGUGGGGACCCGUACAAUCACACCAAGCAAAGGAAAGGGUACGAGUGAUCUCUUUCUCAAUUUUCAUGAAGAAAGGAUGAAGAGCGAACUUUUUUUGGACCAGAGUGGAUUUCGUACUCCAAAAAGUACUCGAAAUACCAAACAGGGACUUAUAUAGAAAUGGUGAUUUGGUCUGUGCCUCACCAAUUUAGGCCAAAUCUAAGCUAAAACUUCUUCAUUAUUACCCUUUUGUUGCAAACAUGGCACUUAAACUGUAAUAUUUGGUAAUACUUUGAGUUUAGCUUAGGUUUCACAAGAUUUUAUCUAGUUCUCACUGAUUAGGACCAAUAAUGAGGUACAGGCAGGCCCAGAGUGAACUGGCUCAGGAUUGUAAAACCUUGCUGCACAACCAAUUUUGAUGCUACUUAUAGAGUACUGCAUAAUCUACUCUACAGUGACACAUGAUGCUACUUUUAUACACAACAACUGAUACAGAAAGCUGAAAACAAAAUAAUACUCCAUCCGUCCCAUAUUAAGUGACUUUCUAUUACAUGUAUCUAGACGUAUUUUAGUAUAUAGAUACGUCCAUAUUUAGACAAAUUUGAGUCACUUAAUAUGGGACGCAGGGAGUACAACAAAUGCCCACAGCUGCACUACAAUCAAGCAUUUUAGCUGAUUAGCAUGUUUAGAUCAAAGAGAGAAGGGCAAGGCACAUAUUUCUUACCACUUGCACAAGGAGAGAUUUAAGAUAUGGCUUCUCUGCUCGAUGGAGCCUGUCAAUCGUAAGCCUGAGAUACGGCUCAACCCAAUGAUCGACUUGACCUUUGCAGUUUUGAAAAAACACUUCAAUGAGUUUGGGUGCCGGCACAAUAUCAGAAUCUUCCAUGUUUUGGUCGGUCAUAACCUUGAAGUGUGAACAUUAAACCGUAAGUCAAAAUUAUGAAACAUUCAGAACAAAUUGCAGUUAAAGAAUGCACCUAAUCCACACUCACAGAUGAUAGUCCUUUCCAUAGGCUUUGUUGAUAAUCAGGAUCUUUGCAGGCAACAAAAUGUUCAGUACCACGAGAAAUGUAGUUGUCUAGUGGGACAAGAAUAUCUGCAAGGCAACAAAAAUAUUUCACAAUGAGCUGCAAAAUGGUCUCCAAAAUAACGUAUAAUGCAAUUGCUUCUGAAUGUCCACCAUAAUAAUUGCAACCAGUGGCUACCAAGCCAGUUACAUUUGAAAGACUAUUAACAGCUGGCAAACAAGCUUCCUAGCAGAUACAUGAGUAGUUAGUAAGUAAGCACUUCAUAAUAACAGCCUGCAGACCUGAAUUGUAUAUAUAUAUAUAUAUAUAUAUAUAUAUAUAAUAUCAAACAUGUUUAACAGUGCAACAAAAGACAUGAUCAUUCCUGAUGUUCACAUCUCAAAAGAGAAACACGAUGCCGAUGGAUUAGCCUUUUCGAGCAAUAGAUAUUAGAUACCAUGAUGCUAAAUUAUACGUCAUGAUUCCAGUUUAGGCCUGUAUGGAUAGAGGUCCAGGCGUCCGCAGGCCCGCAUAGGCCGCGCGCGUAAUAUUGUUUUCCAGAUUCACAGACACUGCCUACGAUAAGUGGGAUUUGCAGGCGCACACUGCGUAGUCCCCUAUGGGCCUCUCCAUGCUCCUUGUCUCCAGGCAACUGCUACCUUCCACCCACUCAUCGACAGAAUUGCCAAUCGAUUACCCAACCGGAAGUUGAAAUUCUUACUAAGGUGGGUUGGUUGAUUAUCAUUAGUGUCAUCCUCUCGGUGAUCCCAAUUCAUCAGCUGCUGGUUUUAGCCAUGUUAAAUAAGGAAGUCAAACAGGUGGACAAAAUCAGAUGUGGCUUGCUAUGGGCAGGACACGCCCAAGUGUAGCCACUGCAACAUAAUUUGGGUGUGCAUCAUUAUUUGCUUCAUGUACAUAACUCUUGGCAUUAGGUAAGAAGCCUGUUCUGGGGAGACCACUAGGUGCUAAGUUGCUACCAAGAUGGAAAAGCAACAUGCAGUGUCGCUCUGGUGCUGUACAGCAUGGUCCCAAAAUGUCACAGCAAGUGCUGUUUGGUCGAGCAGGCUGAUGCAGAUCCAGCGAUAUUACACGGCAUCAGCCCUGCGCUCUCUAUAGCACGGAUUGGAGUGGACAUGUGACUUCACAGCGGCAUAUGUGACAUGAACCCGAUGGUUUUCGUUAUUUAGUCUAGCGUAAAGCCUAUAUACGGAACAGUGAAUAUAUCAAUCUUACCAAUUUGAUAUACCUUAUGAUGUACACUUUACAAACCCAUUCAAUGGAUAAUGUAGGAUACAAUCACUAAAUAAACAGAUAAAUACUUUCAAGUAAAGAUUUUACAAGGUUGAUGAUGAGGAUGGCAAAAUCAUGAAAAUAUUAAAUUAGCAAAGAAGCAGAACAAAACAAAGGAAAUGAGAAAUUAUAUAAUAACAUGUAGCAUGGUGUCUUUCACUAAAAAAGAAGUAGCAUGAUUUCAAAAUUUCAAUGAAGACGUCAACACAAAGAUAGUAUAGUCCCUUUGUUCCCAACUAGUUAGCACUUUUAACCAAACCAGACAAACAAAGUAAUCCAAGUUUUGGAUGAAAUGUGACAAACAAUCCCGUUAUAUCUCAAGCACUUAACAAGGAAAGUACAGUGAGGGGUGUAAUCAGGUUGAUCUAGGAACAAUGACUCAGAAUUAUGAAAGUGCCACACAUUUGGACAGAAAUUUUUGGGUCAAGAGUGCUAACUACUACGACACAGAUGGUGUAACUACCAGAAAGCCUGCAAUGUGAAUGAUCUAAAAUUUAAUUUCCAGCAAUCCAGCAUACAGCAAAUUUAACAGCAACCCAUCCAAAACUAGACUUACUCCCAAAGAAAUCAAUGGCCCAAUCAUUUAGAGCCUCCAUCAUCACCGGCCACAAGCUCCACAUGUUCAAUGAUAUUGCUGGGGAGUAAAACGUCAUAUAGGACAGUAUUUCUAGAACUUCUUCAUAAACAUCUGCAAAACAGAGUCAAAUUGCAUCAGCAAAUUUGAAGUAAAAGGAACAGUCAAGUUUAUAAAAUCAAAACUGAUAUUAACAUAUAAACAAAAUAUCUCUAUCAAACAUCUGAUAAUUAUUUGAGUUCUUGCAUCUUUACUAUUCCUCCGAUCCUAAAUUCUUGUCUCAAAUUUGCCCAAAUAUGGAUGUAUCUAUUCUUAAAAAGUGUCUAGAUGCAUGUAAUAUUUCGACAACAAUUUAGGAUCGGAGGGAGUAGCUAAUACAGGGGAAGGGAUAGAAGCUAAUUGAGUAAUUGUAACUACCUACAGGCUUCUAACGAAUUGAAAGGCUUGCUUCUCACUUUCUUAAAAAAGAUUGCUUUUACUACACCUCAAAAGUACCAACACCCUAAACAACCAAGAAUUCAAGUAAGGCGUAACUACAAAUUGAUUUGCAAACAGCUAUAGUUGAGACUAUAUUAUCCUUGAAAUGUAACACAUCCAUUAUAAUAAUCAGACAAUACAUAUACCUUGACCAUCUGAAGUCAACAUCCUGCGCAAAAUAGGCAACAAAGUGGACUCUAUUUGGAUAAAAAGAUGGGGAAGAUUGCUAACGGACUCAAGGAUUGUGCUUAAAGCACGCAAGCAACCUACAGCAGCUAAAGCCCCAGAGUCCUCAACCUCAUCAUCAGCUUCUGAACUAGCCAUGCAUCUCCAGAAGACAGCAGCCUAUCAACAUUAGUAAGCAUGAAGUUUCAGCAAGGUAGCAGCACUGCAGCACAUAACCAUAUUGAGAUAAAUAUAAAUCAAGGAGCAACAUACCAAACUCUGGCACAAUCCAAGCGCAUAUGGUGCCAUCUCUUCACCAAAUCUAUCAACAAUUGUCUCAAGAGUGAAAACAAGGUCCUCAUUCUCAACUUCACUCAUAAGCUUAAAAAAUUCUGCAAAUAAAAUAAAAAACAAUUAAACCAAGACAAAACGACAUCCAUAACAAGGUUGAAGAAAGUAGUUCCUACCAUCAAGAAGCUGAGGAAGAAUUGGACGGAUCUCAUCUAGAUCUGUAGAACAAGAUAGGACUUGUAAUGAACAAAUAAAACAAGAUCAACAAGUGACUAAGAACCUAGGAAAUGGAAUGAAACUUACCUUUGCAUGCUUCGACAAAAGAACGGAGAGCAAAGACUGAAUCAACCCUGACAGGAAGUUCUGGAUCACGCAAACCAGAUAUAACACAAUGCAUAGCUUUGCGAAAAUUAUCCUGGUCUGAGAAGUUGAUGUGCGCAUACUGCCCAGCAACCCAUGCUGCCUAUUUAUUAUUACCCAUAUAAUGCAUUAGCUUGAUGUGAACAAAAGUAGUGAGUAUAUCUAGGAAAAAUUAGGAGCAAUGAUUUUUUUUAACUAAACUAGAACACCGUAACAGAAAUAAAGAAAAAUAACAAAAUCGAUCCUAAAUAGUACUCACUCCAAUCCAUAAAAAGUAUCGUCCAUUUUGUACUAAGUUAGUACAAAUUUUGUACUAAGUGGCGACACUUUUUAUGGAUCGGAGGGAGUAGAUAGCAAACUUAUAUUAAUUAUAACAGAGCAAAUUAAGUGCUCUGUAGACGAAUUUGAAUAAAAUGUCUCCUAAAGAUAAUAAUCAUUUCAAAUGUGGCAACAGCGGUCACAAUUUGCAGUCAAGAGAGAUGGCAGUCGUGCAGCGGGCAGCGGCACGAUCAUCUCCGACGGCGUUAGAGCAAUCACAAGCAGCGUCUCAGACAGGGUGCGCUCGAGUGGCGGGUCGUCCGGUCAUGCAACACACAUGCAGGCAUGUAUGCAGAGGCAUAUGCACGCAUAUGGCCCGUGUCAGAUGCUUUGGAGCUGGAGGGCUUGAACAAGGAUGUGUGCAAGCUGAGCAUUAAGCAGCCCCAUACAUUUGUACAUUGGUUUCUCUUUGCAUGGGAGUCAGAAAUAGUAUCAAUCUCUACAUAAAGCCAUGUUGCACUUCUAGAGGAAGGAACUACAUGCCACAAAGAGAUCCGGACAAACUGAAGAAGGCAGAGAGUGCAGAUGAGCUGGGCACACAAGACUACAAGAGAAUGAAGGGUGCGCCAUCAUCUCCAUUUUCAACAUCCACAUGGAAAAUUCAUGCAGGUCUCUCUGACAAAAGUGGGGCCAUCAAGGCCUUGGUCCUUGGAGCUAGCUGACAGCACGAGGACAUGCUCUCUGGCGAAAGGGGGUGUAGUGUUACGGUCAUGGGGGCAGCAGAAGAUAGGCAUAAACGUGAAGGCAUUGGAUAGAUCAUGUUUAGAUCAAGUAAUAUGUAUCCUGGUUUGAUACGAUUGGGUCUAUUAGGAAAUAGUUCAGUCCGUAUUCUGACCAGGAUAGGGCACUCACCCUCAACAAUCUAGCGGCAGGCUUGUCCUUGACAUGAUUAGAGAGGCUCCGAGGCUUUGGGAAACUUUUCAUUAUUGGUUGAUUGGUUAAAACUAUUCACUUUUUAGGGGCCAGAUCCAAAAAAUGUCUUUAGCAGGGCCCCUACUAGGGUCACUAUUUUAGGGAGGCCCCUAAAACACCCCCUGAAGCCCCUUUCCUAGGGGUCCCUUGGGGAGCCCCUAUCCUCCCCUCCGCCCAUGCCCCUAUCAGAGUCAGCCUUUGCAGAUGCCUUUGCAGCACUGCCACCACCCCACGACGUCACAAUUCCGGCCCACCCCCUACGCUCCUCUGGCCGCAUCGUCUCCACAUGUGAGGAGUGCUUGUGGAGAAGAAAGAAUAAAUAAAUAAAUAAAAUACUAGUCCCUGACAAGUAGGUCCCACAUGUCAAAGAAAAAAAGGGCUGUGGAAUAGGGGCCUGGGCCAUUGCUGAAGCUCCUUGUAAUUUUUGAAACCCUAAAAAAUAGGAGAACCCCUUUAUGCUGUUUAGGGGCCCUGUUUUAGGGGCUACUGCUGAAGAUGCUCUUAGGGCAUCUGCAAAGGCUGACUCUGAUUGACUCCUAUUUGACAUUAGUUGAUGUGGAAGUAAGAGAAAUAGGAGAGGAGAGAAUUGACUCUUCGUGAAUAGUCAGACACUUAAGGCAGGAAUCAAUUAAGAGUCAGCUAAGAGUCGACCUUUUAACCAUUGUAUAACAUCGCAUUUAAUGCUAAGAACUCAUCUAGAGUCAGUUUAAAGACACAAGCCAUUGCACGCGUUAUUUUACUGUUGACUACCUGACAUCGAGAGCCAGUACUGACUCUACUAUUGCGUAUGCCCUUACCUGCUAGUCAUUUAUAUAAGACGACUUGGGGCGCGGGCCUAGUUUUGAAAACCGGACCGGUAAUCGAACCGGCUAGCCUCUCGGUUCGGGUUUUUCCGGUCGAACCGCCGGUUCACCGGUUGAACCGGUCUGGUUUUUUAAGAUAUAUAAAAUAAUCUAUUUUAACUAAAUACUGCAAAAAAAAUUCCCACUCGAGGUGCGUCAGUGAGCGGCCUGGCGGCGCUGCGGGCCGCGAGGCACGCGGCGGCCGGCGCCGAGAGCGGCGAGCGGGUGCGGCGAGGCGCGCAGCGGCCGGUGAUGGUGGCGGCGAGCGGGCGCGGGGAGGGGCGCGGCGGCCGGUGCUGGUGGCGGCGAGCGGGUGUGGGGAGGGGGCGGCGGCCGCCGCUGGCGCGCGGCUGCCGGUGCUCGGGGCGGCCAGGCGCGGCGGCGGGCGGGCGUGGGAUCCGGCGAGACGGGGAACGGCAAGUGAACCGGGCGGUUCGAGCGAAACCGCCCGGUUCCGGUUCACCUGGUUUUUCCCGGUCCGCUUGGCCGUCCGGUGCAGUGCACGAAACAGACCGCUGGGAGCUGCGGUUCCGGUUUUUUCCGAUCGGACCGCCGGUCCUGUCCGGUUUUCAAAACCAGGGGCGCGGGAUGGUGGCGUGGUGCUGCGGGAUGGAGCGUGGAGGCCAGGCGGAGUGGUGGCUGGGGAUGGCAAGACGGCCAUGCAUGGGCGUGAAUAUAUUGAGCACACUUGUCCAUAAGUCAGAUCUCAAUUCAAACUCAAGACUGAACCAUACCACUACUUUCCUAGUUUAAUUGCACUCUUCCUAAUUUAAGUAUGCCCUUUCUAUUAGACUCAAUCAUAUCCGACGAAGAUACAUACUACUUGAUUUAUUCCUUUUAAUCAGUCUUCCUAUCUCCAACAAAAUCUAUCCAAUGCGUUCACGUUUAUGCCUAUCUUCUGCUAUUCUGUGCACCCACGAUCACAACAAGCAUAGUACUUAGAAAAUUAGUUGAAAAAUUAGGAUCUUGGAUACAGUGUAAGUAAACAUUCUAACUAUUUCGGGUUUGAGGUGGUACAAAUUUCAGGGGCAUAGAAGUAUAUUUCCAACUUCUAUAAGUGAAGAAGGGAAGCAGAAAUGGGAAGUGGUAUACACAAAAGAGGUCGAACUGCUAGCCAUGUUUGAGCACAGUACCUUCGCGCGCAAGUGUCCACAAUGACUACUGAAUUCUGGAAAGACAUGUUGAACCAACAUUCGCUCCAGCUCAGCCUUAUAUGGAUCUGUUUGUUUCAAUCUAUCACAUAAUGUCCCAAUGGCAAGAAGUGCACCAUCUUUUUGGCGAUAUGGCUUCAAUUCAACAGAUGCUUCAUCAUACCUGCCAAGGUUUUCUGGUAUAAGAUAGUUCAUAAAGGCUGAGGCACACAAAAUAGGUCACAACUCACAAGAAUGACACAUACCUCCUAAAUAUCUCCACAAUAAAAUGGACAAACUUUUGUAGGUUGCCUUUUCCCCGUUUCCUUACCAAUUCACUCACAAAAUCCAUAGCGGCUGUUCGAGGACUAUACAAAUCUUCAAUUAUAUCUGAAUGCAAAAUAAUAAAAGCAACUGAAUAUAGUGCAUGCUACCUGAAAUAAUUUGUGCGAGUUAACGAUCAUGCUAAUUUUACCAUAGCCUUUCCGGACAUAUUCAUGCGGAUCUUCAUCCCAUAACAUUUGAUCAUUGUCAUUGAAGCACAUCAGUGGAAAUAUUAUCUCAAACAGGAUUAUGUCAAUUUGUGGUUGCAUCAGCUGAUACAUGCUGUUCUUUGUUACACUGCAAGAAAAAUGCAACCACAGGCAGUCACCUAUCAUCUCAAAGAUACAUAUAUAUUUUAUAAAUGUGGUAGACAAAACAACUGAUGCAAGAAUCAGUCAGAUUCAGAUAAAAAAAGAUGUCCAGGAAAAUUUCAACAUGCAACUAGUAAAUGUCAACUCAGCAUUAGAAAAUUUCAACAUUAUUUUUAGAUGAACAGAAAUUUCAACAGAAAUUAAGAACAUAUAACUAGUUACAGAACACACAUCCUGCAUGCCAAAUUCUUCAUCCUUAGGAAAUUCGAAGCCAAAUUUGUGACAUUAGUACUCAGCAUAGCAAAUUGUGUUACUGGAAUUAUGUAACAGAGCUAGAGAGACGCUCACAGCAAGCUCUGAGAGACAUCCAGAAAUAAGUAAAGACAGAGACAAAGGAUAAAAUGCAAUCAUAAUUAAGCAAGCUAGUUUGGAAUUGCAUCAUGCUGCUAGAAAAGAAAAACCUGACAUACCUGUUUGUAAGAUAUUGAAGGAUGAGAUUGAUAACCCUAUCGGGCAAAUAGCCACCAGUACGGAUUGCAUUGAGCAGCUGUAAAUGACAUCCCAAAAUUUUUCCAGCAUAGUUCUUUUGAAACAUUUGAGCAAAAGCUUUGCUCUCUGGUUUAUGAACCUUCAUAUCAGCAAACCUGUCAAUAACAAUCAGAAAACAAGGUCAAAACAAUGAUUAGCAACUUAAGUAACAAGUCAAUUCCAUACUGACCGACUGUAUAGGCGGUUCAAGAUAUGGGUAAUCCAUUUCUUGACUUUCCACCAGCCCCAAGCUUUCCUAGCAUCAGCAUCCAGUGGUUGCCCUUCCGCUGGAACUGGCCUUUCCAACAAGUUUAAGAAUAGAACAAUCCAUCUAUUGAAGAUAUUUGGUUCAAACAGUUGCCUUGGAAUUUCUAGCUGCACAAAGUAUAUGACAAGAACAUAAGCAGAGUAGAAAAACUGGGAAGAAAACAUAAUUUUAUAAGGCCAGGAACAUACAUAAAUUGAGGACCAGAAUAUUUUGCAGAUCAGCUUGAUCAAGUCAGCUACUUCAAUUGGAGGAUUGGCAAUCUGGACAAGUGUGCUCAAUAUAUUCAACAAACGAGGGAAACACUCCUCAACAAUUUGAUGCAAGGGUAUCCUUUCCUCCUCUGACUUGAACCUAAGCCAUGAAUAAAUAAGAUAAUUGUGCUAGUUCAUAUAAAUGGAACACAAUCAUCGUUUUGUGAUGUCAUCAAGCAAAAGCUUCAUUGUACAAAAUUUAUGUUCUGCAUCCUUCAUCUAAGCAGAAAUCUAAAAUAACAAUGCUAUCUUGACAAUAUUGCUCUGUGUUCCCUGUAGACAAUCUCCACAGCACUCUUCCAGAAAAAAUUAAAAUGUGUAGACAAAGUUUCACAACAAAAGCAACACAAAUAAAUCUUUAGUUAUUUUGAGUUAUGGAAUCAAAACAUGUCAAAGCAGAAUUACUGGAAAUGCAACUAUUAAGCAAAUAAAUAGAAGGAAAAGGUGGAGCAUAUACUAACUCAUAUUUCCUGGACAGGAUCCUUAGCACAUAUAGAGCUCCAAAAAUUUGAUCCUGUGAUUCAAGGUUAUGUGUAACCCAGUGUAGAAGACUAGGCCACUGCUCAGGAUAAUCUGCAAGGAUCAAGGUCUUGAUACUUUCUCCAAGCUGUGCUCUAAGAUAGUUAUGAAAGAUUUGUCAAUUAUCCAUAUGUUUCCCUAACAUCAACAAUGAAGAAUAAGAUGCAACCAUGGCUUAGAUCAAACUCAAACCUGCCUAGCCACAAGGCUGUACAAGAAGGCCAGUGCAAAGAUUAACAGGCAUCAACGAUUUGAAGAACCACAAGCUUGAAUCAAUUUGAACAAGGGGGUUUAUUGAAGAAUAAAAAGGAAAAGUGGGGCACACAUGGAUCUGACUUCACUAACACCAAGAUCAACGCCACAAUCACCAAAUAGAGUAGAAAGGAGAAAGGAGUAGAGACCAAGCCUAGGGCGUGUUCUCUGGCAAAACCGGCGCCAACGCGAGGGCAAGAUCUCCAGUCAAGAAGAGCCGCCAGACCCACCUCUCCGGUAGCAUACUCCUUCAAAAAAACGCCCCUAAGGCAACGAUGGAAUAUAAAAGGAGAGGGAAUUUGCCAGACCCUCCCUCCUCCUCACCCUCCAGCUGGCAAGGCCACCUGAGAGGAGGGAGAGAGCAGGCACGGUCGCGGAGCAGAUGGGAGCUGUAGCAACAGGAAGGAGAAGAGAGCAGCAAGGGUGGGGGGCAAUGGCCAGUGUCCCAGAAUUCAGUUUAUCUGGUUAAAAAAAUGCCCAUAUACCAGACACAUUUGGCACCACAACUCUUGCAAGAGGCUAUGACAGGAAAAAAAAAUCUUAGAAGAAAAAAAGGUGGAUUGCAACAAAGUUAUUUACCUUAGCAGCGGAGGCAAUUGAGUUACAAAGCCCAGUAUAUUCUCACGAACCAUGGACUUGUCAUCUUCUGGAAUUUUUCGCGUUUCUUCUACAUAAAGGGAAAACAUCGUAAGCUGUAGAAACACAUACGGGAAUUAGUGCUCGACUACUGCCCUUGACGCACCAGGAUCAAUAGGUGACCAGGCUUUUGAAACAAAGUUCUUGAAGUGAAUGCUUGCGACCUGUCUGACAGCCAUAUCACAAUUUCCAUCCACAAUUAUCUGUAACAAUCUCACCAGAUGUUGUGGGGUAUACUGAAACUGCAGGAACCACAGGAGCUUCAGUACAAUGGUCCAAACUAAAAAGCACAUAUGUAAAGCAUCGCAGCAACAUGAUUUAUAGAAGAAAAACACAGAUAAAUUCUGAAUAACAAUGACCAGUACUAAAGGUAAGGUCGCAUCAUUUAGAACACUCUACUUUGUUCCUUUGGGUAUUUACCAAGUAAUCACUGAGUAUAUGGUAUUUAGAAACGGCACAAUCACUAAGUAUACGGUAUUAUCACAGUAGAAAGCCUUUUGCUGCAAAAAUGAUGAUUGAAAUAAGAUAACUUGUGCAGAAUCAUUGGAGGCCCCUUAAUACAUAUAAAAUUUGGGGAUCCUACCAUGUUUCAGCUUUAAUGCCAGUCUACUUGAUUGAACAGGUUGAUAAGCCACCAUCUAUGAGAUGUCCAUGAGCUGGAUGUCAAUAUGCGAACUAGAACAUCUGUAUGAGCUAGGAAACUAAUUAAAUCCAACUACAUGGCAUUGUGCAGCAAGCAACAAACCAGCACAGAAGUCCAGCUCAUACAAUAUAGCAACAACAACCGAGUGGAUAUGGAACCAAGAAAUAUUACUGAUGUAGUAAUGCGAGUGAUUCGAUUGAGCGGGAUUUCAAGGUCAAACCCAAGCACGGAGAAACGCGGCAGUGAAUCGGGUUGAAAGUGAAAGUCGCCAAAAAGUGGCGGAAUGCUCUGGAAACCAAUUCGCCAAAAAGUGACCGAACGAACCACCACCCCAGUCGAAUCCGAUCCAUUACAGCGCGGCAACCACCGCAGGAAACCCGAUAGUGCGUCGACACGAGCAGCGGGGCGAGAGAGAAUAGAGCGUGAUCAAGGCGGCAGUGGGGCGCUAACCUGGUUGAGGCUGGCCUCAGCGGCUUUGCGCUCCUCGGGGGCGUGGCUGAGCGCCGCACGAAGCACUAGUGUCAGGUUGGUCAGAUCCAUCGCCGCGGCCAGGCUGACCUCGAGCACCGACGGCAGCAGCGGCAGGGCGGCGAGGAGCCAGGGCCGUGGGCGAGGCCGGAACCCCGAGACAGGGUUCUUGAUCGGCGACGAGGGAGGAUUGAGAGUGGGUGGGCGGGGGCGUGGAGUCGUCCUCACACUUCUGGCCUCGCGGAGACUUCGGAGGAGAGAAGCGUGCGUGCGCGCCGCGCGGGGCCGUGCGUGCCCGAGGCAGAGAAAGGGAGGAGUAGAUCGGUGUGGGUGGGGGAAGGGGGGGGGGGGACGGUAUUUAACUCUAGGGUUUGGUCAAGGGGUUUUGCUCGGCCUACACCCGAGCAGGCCCGGCCUGCGGGCACGACCGUCGACCGCUACUGUUUCUGGAUUCCGUGCGCCGCGCCGCGCUGCUCCGGGCGAAACUGGCCGCGGGGGCGGGCCAGAGAACACUCAACAUCAGUUCCGCUUGAGCAGGCCGACUUUUGUCCCUUCGUAAUUUUUCAGACUCAGCGGGCUCCUUAGAAACAACACCCGUAUCCAGUAUGUGCUAAGCCAAAAGAAUCCAUCUUAAGUCGUGACCUAAUUAGGGGUGUACCUAGGGUUUCCAAUAUACUCUGACGGCGCCGACGUCUGUGUCCACAAAUUCUACUUUUCUCCACGUUUAUUAGUUCAGGGAAGCUUUGCGCUGAUCACCUCGGCGCCCCUGCUCUGCCUCUGCCGUGUUGCCUGCAUGGCGAGCCAGACGAAUGAAGUGCCCCUGGCGGGCGAUGAUGUUAACCAUGCUGACAGAUCUGAACCGAGCUUGGAAGAACACCUCAAGAAACUGCAUCUGCAGGGGAGGAAGGUACGGAUCUGGAUUUCUCUGCCAAAUCGGAUGGAUUGACAGAGGGUGACGAGGGCAUCACUAGUCCUUUGUCAUCUUUGUCUAAUGAUGAUCUUGCUGUUCAAGAUAAACCCAAUGAUCUACGCAUUAGACCAAUUACACGAGCACGUGCCAAGUUAUUAGAACAACAGGUGAACUCACUCCUAACUGCACCUAAUGUUUCUAUUGAUGAGAAUUUUAUACUGUCUAAGUUUUUGUAUCUUUGUGUAAUCAGAUUUGAGGCUGAGGCAACCGUGGAGCGUGGAGCAGAGUAGGCCGCGUGCGAGGAUUAUCAUGUGUUGUUAUCCAACAUCAAGAUAUGCGUGAGCGAGGAGAGGGAGGCAGGCAUACCACAAAUGAAGAUGGAGGAUACAAAUCGCUAGAAUAAUAACUUGUGUGCAAGGGGCAGCCAACGACAAAAAUGAUCUGCCCACCACAAGUUGAGUACAAGUAUGAGGCGCACCAGGACAGCCUACGACAAGUCCGACACGUCUAAGGGGUGCCCGGACCUGCGAGUUCUCGUUUAAGCCAAGUCCCAUUCGGAUUGCCUGUAUGUGUCUGAGUCGAACCUAGUUUGAGUCUGAGUCUGAGUCCGUUUGCGUGUUUGGCUGCCCCUCGCCUAUAUAUACAAGGGGAAAGCCUAGGGUUAGGGUUAGAUCACGUUUUAGCUAUUUUCGAGGGUAUGGUUAAUUGUGAGAAGCAUUCAUCUGAAAUCCUAUACACCAUACUCGUUUCGAUUGGGUGUUUUUAUCUACUGAAAUUUCGAGCGUAAUCUGUCGUUCCACUGAGAAUUGGAAGAUUGCGAAACAGCUUGUGGUUGGCGGACUACUACGCAAAUGUGUGAUGUUGCGAAUUUCCAUUGGGUUGCAAGUUUGUCGUGCGGCGGCGAGUGAACAGCCGGAAGAUUUGUAGAAUCAUACAAGUUAUGCACGUUGCUCUCUGAGAAGAUCGGGCCACCCUUAUCAUCUUGGUAUCAGAUUUCCAUUGUUUACUCGGUGAGCAUAAUUUUACCCGUAGUUAGAUUUGGUUUUCAUUCUAUCCAGAAAAGGACAUACAAAAAAAUUUAGGUUAGAUUUUGCCAUAGCCUUAGUUGCACCGUUUUUACUUGUGUUUAGUUGCUGGUCGUUUUCCUUUGCGUAUCCUUUUCUUCCGUUUAGUUGAUCUUAUAGGUUUGUUUCCGAGUCUUUGUUCGGAUCCACCAGAUUGGUUUUUCUCCUUGUUCUAGUCGGAGUCGGCGAGAUCAGUUUGUGUUCGAGUCCUACUCCAAGUCGGUUUGCUGUUUCUGUGUCCAACACUUAGAUCGGUUUUCCUUUCCAAUCCGAGUUCUAUCUGGCUUCAGUUGGGGGUCGGUUUCCCUUUCCAAUCCGAGUUGUCGAGUCCGAAUACGUUUUGGUUUCCGAGUGAUAGCCUUUUCUUCUUUGUGUAAACUUACUUAUUUGAGACUAGCAUAUCUUUUGCUCUACGGGCUGCUCUUGUUUUUCCUUUUAGUAUCCGAUCUGUAAGUUGAUCCGAGUUCCGGAAAGUUUCGGACACAAGGAAAGAGGAGGGGAGAGCCAAAAAAAAAAGAGUCUGGAAACCUCUCCGAAAUUUUUUCGAGCCUCUACUAUUUUUACACUUCCGGAAUUGUUUUUAGCUAUCCGCCGUUCUAGCGGAAAAUUUGUGAUCCAAAAUUUGUUGUUUUCACGCAGCGACGUAGCUUUUGCUAGUGUCUCUCCUUGUGCAUUGCAACACGAGCUUUCCUCCGACGUAUAUCAUAUUUUCAGCUCUUCCAUGUAGUUGCAUUUGCCCCAAUUAUCUCCACCGUCUGUCUUUCCCUUGUGAGUUGAGUCAUACGAUCAGCACUAGGCCUUGUAAUUUGGUGUUGUUAGGUAUCCCAACCAAGCUCCACCUUAUACACCUUAGUUGUCGUGUGAUAGUCUUGACCCAUAAAAUUCGCUUGAUCACACACCCGUGUGUUUCAGCCACCGCGGUGAUAAGUAGCUUUUUCAAUUCACUUCGGAACGGUAAGAUACCUUGUUAUUUUCAAUUUUGAGUGAGUUGAGUGUUUCCACAUAUAUAUAUACACACUUGGUUGCUGCUGUUUUUGUGUCUACCAUGGCUAUAGAAGCUGAUCAGUACGAUGUGGCGAAGAAGCAAGAUGCUACAGCCCUGGUGCAGUUCUAUCAAUAUGAGGCGCUUUGUAUGCACUUUCAGCGUCAACUCGGCCUCAAUAUUGAUCCCCUCGCAGAGCAAGUGUAGAACAUGGAGCUGAAGGUGGACAAUACAGAGAAGACCGUGAAUGACACGCAUCAAUCUCUCACCGCGUUGCAGCAAUCGGUUGACGCGCUCCAGCGGUCCAUUGAUGCUAUUUAAACCACUUUGGAUGGGUUGCAAGGCGAUGAAGAGAGUGUCCAUGCUCGUGAGGAUGACGGCAGUCAACGUUAACGGUUUCAGCAAGUCAAUCGUGAUUGCCGAGUGCACGAUGACAUUCCCAAUCGUCGCUGGAUGGGUGGUCGUGGUGGUGGUCCGCAUGGUCGUGGAUUUGCUGAUCAUGAUGUUGACGGUGAUUUCAGGAAGCCACACCAUCAUGAUGAUGAUGGCUUGGGCAUGCCCAAGUUUACAAUUCCAAAGUUUGAAGGCUCCACUGAUGUUGAAGAGUAUCUCAAUUGGGAGCUGAAGGUUGAGAAGUUAUGGCGCAUGCAUGAGUACACCGAAGAUAGAAAGAUCAAGUUGGCGUCCUCUGAAUUUGAUGGUUAUGCUUUGCUAUGGUGGGAGAACCUUGUGCAAACACGAGAAGAGGAAGGAUUGCCCGCUAUUGUCACUUGGUUGUCUAUGAAGAGAGAGAUGCGUGAGCGUUUUAUUCCACGCAACUACACCCGUUCUAUUUAUGAUAAGUUGCAGAAUUUGAAGCAAGGUACCAAGUCAGUGGAUGACUAUCAUCAGGAGAUGGAGCUUAUUAUGCAGCGUGCCCGCGUACGUGAAGAUGCUGAACAAGCCAUGCAUCGUUUUCUUUCAGGUCUGAACUUCAAUAUUAAGCGCAUUGUCCAGCAUUAUCAGUACCAUGACAUCACAGAGUUGCUGCAUCAAGCACGUGAAGCAGAGGCUCAGUUGGCGGAAGAUGCGAAGUUUGCCGCACGUAAUACCGCUGCCAAGGGUCGUUUUACACCAUGGACAACGAGCAGCGUGUCUACUCCUAGUACGGUAUCCAGGUCACGUGGCACUUUCAACACCAAGCCCGAGGUUGCUGUUUCUACUACCAAGAAGCCGGUGUAGCCCGCUACUAGUUCUGCCUCGUCCUCUAAUUCCCCUGCUCGUAACAGGGAUAUCAUUUGCCAUACCUUCGGCGGACGAGGCCAUAUCCAGCAAGAUUUCCCCAAUAAGAGGAUUAUGCUUGUGAAUGAAGAAACCGGUGAAUAUGAAUCCGGUGAUGAGGUUGAUCCCGAAUCUGUUUUUGAGGAAGAUGAGGAGGAUCCCCAUGCUAUUGUUUAUGCUGAUGCUACACAUCUUCCAACCAUAGUUUGUACGCCAAAAGUUUUGAGUGUGGUGCCUAGCUCGGCCGAGGAGCGCCGUUGUUUCACACCAAGGUCAUUGUGGGACACGACAAGGCAUGCAAGGUGAUUAUCAAUGGAGGAAGUUGUCACAAUCUAGCUAGUAAAGAGCUUUGCACAAAACUGAAGUUGAAGUAUUUACCGCACCCCAAACAAUACUAUAUUCUGUGGCUUAGUGAUCACGGCGAGAUGAAGAUUAGCCACAUGGUGCGUGUUGAGUUUCAGAUUGGACCAUAUAAGGACACCGUUGAGUGUGAUGUGGUUCCUGUGACGGUGUGGCAUUUGCUUUUGGAACGUCCGUGGCAAUCAGAUCGAGAUGUUCGUCAUCAUGGGCGAGCUAAUACUUAUAGUCUCCAUUGGCAUGGCAAGGAGGUGAUCUUACAUCCUAUGACACCACAACAGAUUGUUAAUGAAUCUUGUCAAAAAGUUGAAGUAAAUCGUGAGAAUGAGCGUGAGAGAUUAGAUAGGUGAGCGACUCCACAUUCGGUGAGUGAGUGCCAAAAGCCAAAUUUGAGUGGUAAACAAAACAGUGAGGGAGAGAAUUCCUUAGUAAUGCUAGCCACCAAAUCAGAUUUGAGAGAGUUCAGCGAGGAUCCUACUUUGGAACCUUUUGUGCUUAUGUGCAAAGGUGUUCUUCUUUCUACUAACUAUAUAACCCCGCUGCCUAUUAGUGUUUCUCAUGUUUUGCAGGAAUUCAACGAUGUUUUUCGGAUGAAGUCCCCGCUGGUUUGCCACCAUUGAGAGGGAUUGAGCAUCAAAUUGACUUGAUUUCAGUAGCGUCGCUGCCCAAUCGUCCACCAUACCGUACGAACCCCGACGAGAUGAAGGAAAUUCAGAAACAAGUACAACCGCUUCUCGACAAAGGUUAUAUUCGCGUAAGCUUAAGUCCUUGUGUUGUUCCUGUUAUUUUAGUGCCUAAGAAAGAUGGUACUUGAUGCAUGUGUGUAGAUUGUAGAGAGAUUAAUAACAUCACUAUUCGAUAUCUAUCGUGGCGGUGUCACGGUAGAUGCCAUAGGAUGGCUUAACUUGGGGCCGAUGGACGAUGGAGGAUCCGGAGGAGGGAGGACGUGGAGGGAAACACGCAUAAAUCACACAAGCACACACAGAUCUACCCAUGUUCGGAGUCCUCUUGCCGAGGUAAGACUCCUACUCCUGCUUUCUUGUAUUAGCCGGGAUAGACAAGCUAUACAAUGGCGCUCCUUGAGCUGUAUUCUUAAGGAAGAAGAAGAAGAAGGGGAAAAAUCCUAGAUGUCUAAGUGCUCAGUCCCUCUCCACAGACAUGUCACACUGACAUGUGGGUCGAGUCUAACGUCAUCUUCUUUGGGCCCCGCCGGGCACGCGGCUUGGUUCCCUCCAGGUAGCACCGCAGGGGACAAGACAACUUUACUUUUCCCUGGCAUCUUGCAACGAGUAUAGCUAUCCUCUGCCGGCUUCCGUCAGAGAUUCUCUUUCGGUGCUUCUUUUGUGCAGUCACCUGGCACCGGUACGUAAGCGCUGACUGCUUUUCUGAGAUAAUGAUGGCGCUGCUUUACUCUGCACUGUGUGGUCAGGAUAAGACCGUUGAGAGAUCUCGGCCAUCGCCGAGAUGAAGGUGCUCGUUCUUAUCCUGCAAACUCAUAAGACAAGAUAGUCAUGCCGGCAUACGCCCGGGAUGCCGGCUUAGUGUUAGUUUGACGUUACGAUGCCGGCAUGCAUAACCAUGCCGGCUUUGCCUCCGUCAUCUCGGCUAGAGCAUGUCGUCAUGACCCUACCCGGGGUUAUACCCCCGACACUAGUCCCGAAGCUGUUGCGGUUCGGCAGGGAAGAAUGUUGGGCCACGACAGUUUCCCAUAGACAAACCAUUAAAGCCUACGAGGGCUUAGCCGAGGAGGAUGCCGAGACAACCCCGAGUUCUCUUACCGAGAUCAAGUUAUCCUGACAUAUCGGGUCGGCGCUCUUAUCCAGCCCCUGGCCGAGAUUUCUUCUCCUUCAUGCCCGACAGUGGAAAACUCACUCCUGCCGACUUUGAUGCCACCUGUUGCUUGUGAUCUGGGCUCUUCUAAAAUAACGGGAGGAUAAGACACGAGUUACUGCCGUUGCGCUUUUUGAGGUGAGCGCGUCGUCCCAUCGGACAGUAAAGCCGACAGAGCCAUUAAGAGGGGAAUUUGAGUUCCCACGCAGACACUUAUCCUCCCGGAUCUUGCGGGAUUCUCGGCGCCACGCCGCGCAGUAACCAAGCUUGUGCGCUUUAAUGGGGUUAACGGCUCAAGAACCGUGCGCGUUCUUCCCGUUGGCCACGGGGAUCGUGGGUGCGGAGGAUCCGCACCCCAUUACUGUGCCGCGGGUAUAAAUAACAGGGGGAGGGCGAGGGUAAAAAACCCUUCGCACUCCUCGCCUUCUUCGCAUUCCUCUGCUCUCUCGCUCCUUGCGCACUCUGCCGCCGUUGCUAGCUCGGAACUCCUCCGCCGCUACGGUUUCUUGCUCUCACCAUCGAGCUUGCCGCCGCUAGUUCGCUCGCAUCCGCCUGAGUCUCCGCCGCACUUGCUUGCUUGCCUGAGCCUCGCGCAAGCACCUUCCUCACCGAAAACUCCAAACCCUAGAUCUACUCUCCAUCCAUGGCGUCUUCUUCCCAGAACCCCGCCGUCGACCCUGCUGCUCAGCAGGCUCAGGAGAGGACCGAUUCCGAGCGAGCCGGCUGGGAGGGGUCCGAUGUCACUCCGGCGGACAUCGAGUGGCUCCGCCUCUCCUGGCGGAUCCCGGAGGACGUCGAAUCCCGGGUUCCCGGCAACGAGACCGUGCCGACUCCUGAGCUUGGUGAGCAUGUCGUUUUCCUUGCUCACUUCGAACGCGAUUUCGCUCUUCCUGCUAGCGAUUUUCUUAGGAAUUUCCUAGAUUUCUUUGGCCUCCAGCCGCACCACCUUCCGGCGAAUGCCAUCCUCACUCUCUCGGCAUUCGUCACUUGCUGCGAGGGCUAUCUCGGCCUCUGGCCCUCCAUCGACCUGUGGUCCCGGUACUUCAUGUUCCGGUCACAGCUUCUUCCUUGACAAGGAGAAUCCCGGCGCCGCGAAGCCGAUGACCCAAUGCGGCGCCGCCACCGUCAUUCCUCGCCGGGGUUCUGCCUUCCCCCGGAUUCAGGGUCUUGAGUCUUGUAAAAAAUGGCUCAAGACCUUUUUCUACGUCAAGAACACCUCCGACACCGACAGAAUCAACCUACCGGGAUUCGAAGUCGGCCCUCCGGAGGAGAAGAGCAACUAGACCUAUGACCCGAAGGAGACCCUCCCGGAGGUCAACAAGAUCCACGCCGGCAUCCUUGAACUCAAGGAUAACGGGAUGAUGGCUGACGACCUGUUAGCCACCUUCGUGUAUCGGCGUCUCUGUCCGCUCCAGCGCCGAGUACACAAGAUGUGUUUUUAUGGCGGCCAAUUCGACCCGGACAGAGUGUUGACCUUCAAGCUCACUCAUGCUGAAGUCCGGCGCCGGGUCAAAGCGAUCGCCAAGACAAACAUGUCGGAGCAAUGGACAUGGGGCAUGCCGGCAUUCAGCCGGGAUCGCCACGCUCCUCCGGUAAGUUUUUGUUCUCAUUUAACUCCUGUUCAUAUCCGACACAUGGUUAUGCCGGCAUUUAUCCGGCAAAGGCUUAUCUCUGCUCAACCUGAUUUCUUUAUGCUGAGGUUGUCUCUUCAGCAUAGCGAAGUCGGGAAUUCCCCGGACAAACGCUUUGCGGCCCCUCGCAGGUCCGUUGACGCCGAGGAUCCGGACUCCGAGGACUUCAUGCCGAUUGCCCAUGCCGCCCUCGUUGUGUCAAAUGUAAGGCUCUCCAACAUUUUCUCGCAGUCCUUAUAGUAUUCGUCACCAAAAUGCUUAUUCCUGCUUUAUCCCGGAAAUAGCCGACUCGGGCGAGCGUGCUGCUGUGGCGUUGGAUCCGGCUGCUGCUGUGGCACCGGUCCGGGAGAAACGCGCAGUCAUAAAGCGCGCCGCCGAGAAAGAUCUUCCGCAGAAUGUGAAGCGGAAGAAAACUGCGGCAUGUGGACCCAAACCCAAGCUCCUGAUUGCUGGGUAAGACCAAUAUUACCUCAAUCGUUGAUAUCAGUUUUCUUCUUUAUUGCCAUGCCAGCGACUAACUUUUACUUCUGUAGGGCGGCUUUGACGGCCACGCAAUCUUGGACGUGUAUCACGUCGGAGAUUCCGGUGGCUCCAUCUCCCCGUGCCGAGGCUGCGACCCAAGCCACGAGUGAGCCCGAGACCGCAGUGGAUCCGACAUCCUUCGUCUAGGAUGUCGGCCCGAGCGCAGACGCGCCGAACGUCGUCUCAGCCGGGACAUCCGCAGCCGGGACUGCCCCCUCCUCGGCAGCAACCGAGACGUUGACGGAGCCGCAGGCCACGGAGACAGCGCAACAGCUGGCAACGGGGCCUCAAGAAACCCAAGGGCCGCAACCGACUUCAACAGCUCCAUCGCUCCUGCAAAGGCCAAGAAGGCUAAGAGCUCCGCAACUGCGACGGGAUCGGCCCCUCCGGGUUCCUCUGGCCCACAGCCUUCUGGAAGGCACCAGGGAGUUCCCCUCCGAACGUCCAGUGGGCACAGCUGGGGGUCGCUGGGCCAGUUUGUAACGGACUGGAACAGCACCGACAAUUACGAGGUGACCUCCAGCACCCUUCAGGCGGCUCGGCAAAGCCCGUUGGUGGGACCUCCACCUGCGGCGACUCCAGAGUUGGUGGCUACCCGGAUGUACCAAGCAAGGGUGGCCUUGUUUGAGGCCAACCGAUCUGCAGAGUUAUGAAAAAUUUCUUAAAAGAUUUUGCUCUUAAUUCCAGCAUAGUAUCCAUACUCCUAGUGCCUGAGGUUUAGGGCGAGUAAGAAUUAAUCGGUGUGAAGCUUAUCCCCUUGAAAUUUCAAACACUCUGCAACACUUAGAAACUCCAAACACUUAUUCUCCGAGAUUCAGAGCGGGUUUAGAAUAGUCGGCCUGAAGCUUUAGAAGCUUCAAACACUUAUUUCCCGAAAUUCAAGCCGGGUUUAGAAUAGUCGGCCUCAAGCUUUAGAAACUCCAAACACUUAUUCCCUGAGAUUCAGGCCGGGUUUAGAAUAGUCGGCCUGAAGCUUUAGAAGCUUCACACACUUAUUCCCCGAGAUUCAGGCCGAGUUUAGAAUAGUCGGCCUGAAGGUUUAGAAGCUUCAAACGCUUAUUCCCCGAGAUUCAGGCCGGGUUUAGAAUAGUCGGCCUGAAGGUUUAGAAGCUUCAAACGCUUAUUCCCCGAGAUUCAGGCCGGGUUUAGAAUAGUCGGCCUGAAGCUUUAGAAUCUUCAAACACUUAUUUCCUGAGAUUCAGGCCGGGUUUAGAAUAGCCGGCCUGAAGCUUUAGAAGCUUCAAACACUUAUUCCCCGAGAUUCAGGCCAGGUUUAGAAUAGUCGGCCUGAAGCUUGUAAUUGCCGACCUCCUAUUGCACUAAACAAACCAGUGAAUUAUUGCUUUGCAGUCCUGCAUGAACAAGCGCACCGCUACCUUCAAGACUUUGCUAGCAAAGUACAAGAAGUUGGAGGAUGAGGUGAAGAAGUGCAAGGGUCUGGUCGCCGAGACCGAGACCCGCGCCGUUGCCGCCGAGAAAGAGGAUGCCGAGAAGACCCGACGGUUCAAGGUUGUCCGGCAUCAGCUCAUCGAGAUCGAGACCAUGCUGACCAGUAAGUUGCCUUGACACAAAUUUCUUCAUCUGAUCACUUGUCCGAGUAAUAGUAAUAAAAUGCCGAGACUCAUUACUAUCCUUUGCGCUUUUUGUCAGACUUUUUCCCACAAUCGGUCGAGACCGCCCAAGCCGCCGUGAUCAAGGUGCGUAGGAAGAGGGAUCCAGCCUGGACAACCCCUUCGAAUACGACUUAGAGGAUUAUCUGGUUAGCAUUGCUAGCCGGGUAAAGCCUCUAAAAUCGUUCGGGGUGAACAUGUUGAACGUCGGCAUCUGUGCAUUCCGGGCUCUGUGGCCGGGAGAGGAGGCUUCGACCGGCAUCCCCGAAUUGGCAACGCGCCUGCUGGAGGGGGGGAUCGCCUCAACGAGUGGCGGGAAUCGGCCGCGCGCGACGGCGCCGACGAGGCCUUGUCGUUCGUACUAUCUUGGUACGACGGCAUCAACCUUGACAUGCUGCAGUCAAUGCGUGCCGGUUCCCCCUACCUCACGAACCCCGAGCUGGUUGCGAAGCGCAAGGAGCGGGCCUAUUCCUUCAUCCAGUAUGCCGACGUGCAUACAUUUGUGGAGGGCCCGACAUCUGAAGCAAAGGCCGAGAUGACCGACGGAGACGUGGAAAAGGCAGUGGAUGAGGAGAUCGCCGUCGAGUCGGCCUCCACCGUGAUGGAUGCUCCGAGUUCCGGCGCCAACAACCCUUCUGUCUCUUUUUAGCUAUGUCAGAAAAAACUUUAGAAUUAUCAGAUCCUCGGAAUGCCGGGUGCAAAUGUAACCGGAAUACCAUACUUUUGUUUGCAAGGCACCAUGUUUUUAAUUUAAUUAAGUCUUUUGUUUAUCGAAUUUCCGACCGAGUCCCCGAGUUCAUCUUUUCUCUUAGUGAAAUUUUAUGACUUCGGUUCUUUUGUCUGCCUGAUCGGCGUUCGACGUAUGAAUCGCAAAGUGAUAAAACCACCCUUUCGAAAAAAGUAACUCGAUGGAUUCGCUUGGCAAUAACCGAGUUAAGAAAGAAAUGCCGAGUUAAAAGAACGUGCAUCUUGGAUCGCUUUAUUGCUUGUUUCCGCAAUCACUUUUCAUGUGUUCGGUUAUCUUAUACCCGUCUCUAGCUUGCCAUGAAGCCGAGUUGCGGACAACAGCGAAGUCAUAGAGGGGAUUUUCAACACCGACACAUUACUAAACUGACAUAAGAUUACACAACUAAGCCAUGCCGACAUACGAAAGAUAAUUGCAAUACAGCACUUAAAUGAUAUGGAAGUCCCCGAGUUUCUUUUAAGAACCCGACGGAUAAUUUCAUUGUCUUAAAAGAUUCAGCAUAAGAAAAAAACGAUACAAAUACUGAGCUCUCAAGUAUAGAACGGACGAAGCAAAGCGACGUUCCAUGGCCGCUUGGUCUCCUCGCUUGACCGGUCCAUCCUUUUCGCCUUGGGAUCUUGUGCAUCUAUAAGAUAGUAGGAAUCAUUGUGAAGCGCUUUGCUCACAAUGAAGGGUCCUUCCCAUGGGGGUGAUGGUUUGUGCAUGCCGGCUGUGCGCUGCACAAGUCGGAGGACGAGGUCCCCUUCCCUGAAUACUCGCGGGUUGACCUUUUGGCUGUGAUAAUGCCUUAGGUGCUGUUGAUAGAAGGCCGACCGAGACAGAGCCAAUUCCCGUGCUUCUUCGAGCAGGUCGACUUCAUUUUCUCGGGCCUCUUUUACCUCGGCGUCCAUAUACAUGGUUACUCGUGGAGAGUCAUGUUCAAUGUCGGCUGGUAGGGCACGAGGAAGAAUGGCGUGUAGCCUGUAGAGUGAUUGGGAGUCGUCCUGAGACUCCAUAGCACAGCCGGGAGUUCGUCCAGCCAGCAUCCCGGAGUACGUUCCAAUGGUUUGAUUAGCCGAGGUUUUAUGCCGGCUAAAUCCGUGCCGUUUGCUCUUUCCACUUGUCCAUUGGACUGAGGAUGUGCUACGGAAGCGAUAUCCAGGCGGAUUUUCUUUUCCGCACAAAAUCGCGCGAAAGGUCCCUCUGCGAAGUUCGUUUCAUUAUCCGUGAUGACACUAUGCGGGUACCCAUAUCUCAAGAUGAUGUCCUUCAGGAAUGAUACCGCAGUUUUGCCGUCACACUUUCGUAUCGGCUUCACCUCAAUCCACUUGGUGAACUUGUCGACCAUAACCAAGAUAUGCGUCAUGCCUCCUCGCGCCCGCUUGAACAGUCCCACCAUAUCCAAACACCAAACAGCAAACUGCCAAGUGAUUGGAAUAGUCUUGAGCUCGGAUGCCAGCAUAUGAAUCUUGAUGGCAUAUCUCUGGCAGCCGUUACACUUCCUGACCAUGUCUUCUGCUUCCUGUAGUGCACUUGGCUAGUAGAAACAAUGUCGGAAUGCCUUGCCCACUAGCGUUCGUGAAGAUGUAUGAUGGUCGCACUCUACCUGAUGAAUAUCCCAGAGUAUUUCUUGCCCUUCUUCUGGAUCGACGCAUCGCUACAGGACAUUUGUGACACUCCUCUUGUAUAGCUCUCCAUUGAUGGUGGUGUACGCCUUCGCCCUUCUCUGAAUUUUGUCUUGCCGUCACUUCCUCUUCUGGGAGACUCACAUCCUUGAGGGAGGACAUUAUCGAUUGCACCCAAGCCAGCACAGGACGAGUAGUGAAAAUCGGUUCAUCCGGUACGUCUACCUCCAUUGGCUCAAUUGCCAUUGCUUUUGCCGUGUUCAGGCGCUCAGUCCCCGGGUUACCGGAACUGUCACCGCUGUCAAUGUCCAUGGGGGUGACAUCGGCUUCUGAGCUCGCCGGGAUAAAUAUCGAUUCCGAUUUUGGUGUUGGCUUGAUGGAUGGUUUGCGUUAAUGCUCUAAUGCCACACCAGCCGGAAUAGCCUGUCGCGUUGAGCCGAGUUUCGAUUGUGUGUCGGCUGCCUCAUUUUUCGUCUGCGGUAUAUGGUGAAACUCGCACCCUUCAAAGUAACCACUGAUCUUCUGAACGUGGAAACGGUAUAGCGCCAUAUUGGCAUCUAAUGCAUCCCAAUUGCCGGAAGCUUGCUGGACUACCAGAUCGGAAUGACCAAAGCAUUGAAUUCGGCGGACUCCAAUUUCUUUCGUCAUUUUCAGUCCGUGCACAAGUGCCUCAUACUCGGCAACAUUUUUGGAUGCUGCGAAGUGAAUUUGCAAUACGUACUUAAGUUGGUCGCGCUUUGGCGAGGUCAGAACUAUGUAGGCACCAAGCCCACUUUUCAUCUUAGAGCCGUCAAAAUGCAUUUUCCAGUAGUUAGUUUCCGGGGGCGGUGGUUCAUACUCCAUCUCAGCCCAAUCCACCAAGAAAUCCGUCAGAGUCUGAGAUUUCACCGCAUCUCGUCUGUCGUACUGCAGCGCAUAAGGUGCUAACUCGACGGCCCACUUUGCGACCCGGCCGCUCGCGUCUUUGUUAUUCAUGAUUUUCGAGACGGGCGCCUCACAUAUAACUCGGAUCUGAUGUGCCUCAAAGUAAUGCUUCAGCUUCUUUGCCACCAUAUACACGCCAUACGCCAUUUUCUGGUAAUGGGGGUAAUUCUGCUUAGACGACGAUAGCACCUCACUCAAGUAAUAUACCGGCCUUUGCACCGAUUUGUCGUUUUAAUCUUUUUCCACCAACAUGACGGCGCUAACGACUCGGUUCGUUGCUACUAUGUAUAACAGCAUUGGCUCCUUCUCCAUUGGCGAGGCUAAUAUUGGUGCCGUAGCAAUCAUUUUCUUCAGCUCCUGGAAAGCUAGGUCUGCCUAUGGCGUCCACACAAAUUUGUCGGUUUUCUUCAUCAGCUGGUAUAAGGGCAUAGUCUUUUCAUCUAGCCGACUAACGAAACAACUCAGCGAUGCUAGGCAUCCAGUGAAUUUUUGCACAUCUUUGAGGCACUUCGGCAGUUUCAUUCUUUCUAUAGCGGCAAUUUUCACAUGGUUCGUUUCUAUACCUCGGCUUGAUACCAGAAACCCGAGCAAUUUUCCUGCCGGCACACCGAAUGUGCAUUUGGCUUGGUUCAGUUUCAUUCGGAACCUCCUCAGAUUUGCAAAUGUUUUCCGGAUAUCAUCCAGGAGCGUGGCGCUUUCCUUGGUUUUUAUGACGACAUCGUCGACAUAUACCUUGAGGCCUUGAGUCAUUGUAAUGGGCUUGGACUCUCCCUGAGACCUAGAGUCUUGCAUAUAUAAAAGGUCUAGGAGGGGGGAGCCAGGACAAGCAACAACGAGCAAGCCUCUCACAUACACCCAUCUCCACGUAGAACCCUAGAGUCGCGAGACUCCCCUUCGCCAGAUCUACUCUGCGCAUCAUAGCCCCAGCGGCUCCAUUGUAAUCUCUCCAUCAAAAUCAAGAUCAGACAAGCAGGACGUAGGGGUAUUACCUUCCGAGGGCCCUGAACCUGGGUAAAUCGUGUCCCUUGUGUCCUUGUUAGCUGACGGAGUUGCCGAUACGCACGCUACGUGUCUUCUCCCUGAUCUAAAGCUCAUCAACAUGGGCAUUGUCAAAGGUGACCCUUCGUCAUUGGCGCCGACCGUGGGGAAGACGUGUGUCGGAUCUACGAUUCCAGCGGCCUCAUCUUCAUCAGGCGAGUCGUCGACUCAGAUUUGCGAAUGUUUUCCGGAUAUCAUCCAGGAGCGUGGCGCUUUCCUUGGUUUUUAUGACGACAUCGUCGACAUAUACCUGCACAUUUUUGCUGAGCUGAUCGUGCAAACAUUUCUGCAUGCAUCUUUGAUAAGUGGCCCCUGCAUUUCUCAAACCAAAUGGCAUAGUGCGAUAGCAAUAAUCCCCGGACGGGGUGAUAAAUGAUGUCUUUAUUUGAUCAUUAGGGUUCUGUGGUAUCUGGUGAAAACCAGAGUAGGCGUCUACAAAAGACAGCAACUCACACUCGGCAGUGGAGUCGAUCACUUGAUCGAUCCGAGGUAACGGAAAUGGAUCUUUGGAACAUGCCUUGUUUAAGCUGGGGUAGUCGAUACACAUGCGCCAUACCUUGGCAGUAGUUGGGUCAUCUUUCUUCUUCUCAACCAUGACCGGGUUCGACAGUCAGUUGGGAUGCAACACUUCCAUGAUAAAGCCGGCAGCUAAGAGCCGGGAUACCUCUUCCGAUAUGAAUUUUCUUCUGUCGUCGGCGAAGCGUCGAAGGGGCUGCUUCACCGGUCUUGCAUCUGGUCUGACAUGUAAUGAGUGCUCAGCCAACUCCCUCGGCACACCCGACAGGUCUUGAUUUGACCAUGCAAAGAUAUCCCGAUUCUCACGGAGGAAGCUGCUGAGCUCGCCUUCCUAUUUCUCUCCCAGGCCGGCACCAAUGAUGACUGACGUGGUUAUGACUAAUCACGUACUCAACUCAAGGAUACCCGUCAUGGCCCACCACGGGGUCCAUGAGGAGAACGACUAGAACUCCUGGAGUCAACAUGCCAAUCUUGACGACUCGAGAUAAGGAAGCUUUAAAUAUAACAUAUCUCAUCAUCGUAAUGGGCUUGGACUCUCCCUGAGACCUAGACUCCUGCAUAUAUAAAAGACUAGGAGGGGGGGAGCCAGGACAAGCAACAACGAGCAAGCCUCUCGCAUACACCCAUCUCCACGUAGAACCCUAGAGUCGCGAGACUCCCCUUUGCCAGAUCUACUCUGCGCAUCAUAGCCCCGGCGGCUCCAUUGUAAUCUCUCCAUCGAAAUCAAGAUCAGACAAGCAGGACGUAGGGGUAUUACCUUCCGAGGGCCCUGAACCUGGGUAAAUCGUGUCCCUUGUGUCCUUGUUAGCCGACGGAGUCACCGAUACGCACGCUACGUGUCUUCUCCCUGAUCUAAAGCUCAUCAACAUGGGCAUUGUCAAAGAUGACCCUUCGUCAAUGACGGUGCGGUCCGGGAACUCGCUGUCAACCUGUACCUUCUUUGUCUCCUUGGCUGCUUGAAAAGCCACACUUCCAUGGGGAUUGGUCAUAUCCGGCAGGCCAAUUUGCGCCGCCUGAGCCAUCGCAACAGCCUCUUGUAACUUCUUCUUCUCGCCAGCGAUGACAAGCGACUCGGCUAGAGCAAAUCCGUCCGCUGCACACUCCAUUGAGCGUUUGUAGUUGCCAGCAAUGGUUAUGGUACCAUUUGGUCCCGGCAUCUUUAUCUUCAGAUAGCCAAUGUGAGUAGUAGCCAUGAACUUGGCAAGUGCCGGUCUGUCAAGCAGCGCAUGGUACGGACUGCUAAGGCCACCACCUCGAACACUAGGUUCUCAGUCCGACAGUUCUUCCUGGUGCCAAAUAAGACAUCCACUAGGAUCUUGCCUCCCGGGGCACAAGACACUCCCGGCACAAUACCGUGAAAGGUAGUCCGGCUGGGCUCAAGCAUGUAUCAGUAAUGCCGAGCUUAAGCAUCGUGUCCCGGUACAGGAUAUUGAUGCUGCUCCCAUUAUCAAUGAGAACCCGAGUGAACUUGACGUUAAUGUCGGGCCCGAUGAGUGUUGGGUCGACCACCAGAGCAUAUCCACCAGGGUUGGGCAUAACCUUAGGAUGGUCUGCCUGGUUCCAGUUGAUCUCCUGCUCCGACCAAUACAUGAACUUUGGAACAACCGGCAUAACAGCAUUGACCUCCAUCUCUCGCCUGCGCUGACUUUGCUUGUCAGUUGGCUCAGUGAUGAAGAUCAUGUAGCUUUGGUGAUUGAAGCGAUCCCCCUUCACCAACGGUUCGAUCUCUGUGCUUACUGUGCUAGUCCCUGGAUCGACUCACUAGCACACACAGUUUCAUGAUGAAAUAUACAGAAGCAAAGGUCAAAGUACUUUAUUACAUCGCAUCAUCCAGAAUUUAAUAAUACUUACAACCUCGCAUGACCUCCUAGGCCAGCAUAACAAAUAAUGUUCAAAACCAUGAUAACAAUGUAUGAUGAAACUGCAGUGGAAAGGUAGAGUAAAAGGGCCUCAUCUACUCCCAGAGGAGAGAGCAUGUUGGAAUGUAAGCACAUGACACAAAGAAAUAUCGACGAAUCUCACUCUUCGUCAGUUUCACCUGCAUUAUUAAUUGCAGCCACUACGUGGUCAAUACAUUUGAAUGUAUUGGCAAGCUCACUAGAGUUAUAAAGGACCUACCAAGUACAUGCAUAGUUUGGCUAAGUGGGGUUUGGCUACUUUGCAUAAAAACAUCAUUAUUCAAAUCCUAUCGUUUGUUUUUAGACAAAUAGUUUUGAAUUCUAUUGGACAUGGGGUAGAAACACCCAUGCUCCUAUUAACCUAGGCACAUUAAGUAGAAACAUCAAUGCUCCUACCUAGUUCUAACCAUUCAUUUUAUUAGGAAAUUAGAAUGAGUGAGACUUUCCUUACAGCCCCAAUAUCCAGUUGCUCAUAAUUGUCCGUAACCGGGGACACGGCUAAGUACUUAGUUUGACACCCUCGAGAGGUGGUACACUUUACCCACAAGAAUUCGACGUGUUAAUCCCUUGCUGUCCUCCGGGUGGAGUAGCAACGGCAUCGACUUCAAGAAUUUUCAGAACAUGUUCACCCAAACCACCUGAGGGACCCGCGCUCCCACCUACACAACUACCUCAGUACAAUCCCUCGGAUCUGGGUAAACAUUUCUUACUCCAUCCAGGCAGAGCCCAUAUUACCAUGUGGUUGUACUGGAAGCUACUAAACAGGAAACUAGUCCAGUCUCUGGUUAUCCCGGGUGGCAUCCCACAUUGUGACGAAGUCGCUCCCCGAAUCCACGGGAGAGACGUCCAUGGACGAUCCAUCUCCGAAUCCACGGAGACUCGACUCAGAGGGACCCAUAGAAAUGGACCUAACGUCAUGACAUCCGAAUACUCAAAGCAGCCCACAGGACGGUUCAUUGAAUUACUUGUUUUGCCAUACACAAGGAAAACUAUAUUUGUAAUUCAAUAGUAUCACAUUGUAAUAAUACCACCCUCGUAUAUUAUCAUAGCAUAGCAUUUUACUACUACGAUGGCAAUUGGUGGUAAGGUCAUGACAAAGGGUAUCCUAUACUAGUAGGACAGAUCAUAGCUAGUAUAGAUACAAUAAUAACCCUAACAAUGCAACUAAUAAAAUCUAGUGCAUAAUAAAAUAAUGGGUAAAUGAUCAAAGUGAACUUGCCUUGAUAGUAGUUGGUAUUCAAACACUCUUCGUAAUCACACAGUUCGCUCUCCGAGAAAACUAUACAAUCAGGCAAACAUACACAUACAUAAACACACCAUACAAACAAAGAAUAUGUAUGCCAUGAUGCAAUGCAAAUUAUGUGACAUGAGUUUUGGUUUAUUUUAUUUGGGUGAUCUACUGAUUCAAAGCAUUGAUAAUUAAGCACAUGCGAUUAGGGUUUUUAAACAAAAGCAAAAGUUAGGGUUUAAAACCUAAAAUGAGGUUUUAUUUGCAUCUGCAAAGCAAUUUAAUUCAAAAUAUUUAUUUCUCUGCCCCAUUGAACAGAGCACAAUAAAACAAAUUUUUGGGCUCUGGUUUCAUUCAAAAAGGAUCUCUAAAUAAUUAGUUAUGAUUUAAACGGCAUAAAACCCUAAUCUGUAAUUUGAAUGUGAUUCAAAUAAUCAAAUUUGAAAUUGGAAAGUGCCAAAAGAUCACUAAAUUUGGCCAAUUAGAUUUAAAGUUAUGAUCAUUUGAAGUUACAGGGGCCUAUCUGCAAAAAGACCAUUUAAUUAUUCCGGGGGGGUUAAAAUUACAUUCUCAUUUUAUAAACCAGGGGCCACGUGGCGCGUUAUUAUUGGACGGUACCGGUUCGGUUUAUAAAUAUAUCCGAGCCAUUAGAUCUAACUUAUAAAGAUCGGACGCUCCAAAGUGCGUACCGGUUCGUUUUAUAAGUGAUCUAAUCCUAGCCAUCGAUCUAGAUCGGACGGACGAGAGGCUAGGGUUUCUUACCGGGCGGCGGCGGGCUGCCGGAGUUGGAGGAGACGGCGGCGCGGGCACGGGCGCGGCGGCGCGGGGCGCUCCGGCGAGGCGGGCGACGCGGGGGUGGUCGGGAACGGCGCGGCGCGGCACGACGGAGACGGGGGCGCGGUCGGCGGCGCUCGGGGAUGACACGGUCGGCGCCUAGGACGAGGAAGACGCGACGGCGCGGGGCGGCUCCGGCGAAGCUUCGGGCGGCGGUGCGGGCGGUGCUGCAGGGCACAAAGAUGGAGAAGGAGCGCGUCAAACGAACCGCGAGGAGGAGAGAAAGAAUAUGGGGGAGGUCCGGUCGUUCUGGGCGUACCGUGUAGGUGACGGCGAGCUCGGGACGGCGGCGGGCACGGAGCUACUCCGGCGAGCGAUUCCGGUGGCCUGGCGGCGUGCGAGCAGGGGCGAGAGCUUUAAAGGGACGCGAGAGGAGCACUUCGGGAAGGUCCGAGCAGACAGGGCGGCAGAGAUUGCGCGCGGCGGCGUCCAUGGCAGGCGGUGCGGGGAUUGCGGGAGCUUUCCCCGCGAGGACGAAGCCCUCUUGACAGUUGGGCCCCACCUGUCAGCGGGUGCAGGGCGCGCGCGCGGACCGGGCAGUCGGGGCCGGUCGGGCGCGGGCGGACUGGGCCGGUUCGGCCCAUUUUGGCCGGGCCGGUCCGGUUUACCCCUUUUUUUCUUUUAGGCCUUUUCUUUUUCUGUUUUUUUCUCAUUUCUUUGAUAUCUUUUGUGUUUGAACUCCAAAUUGGUCCAAAUAAAUUCCAGAAAUUUGUAAAAUCAUUUUCUACCAAGAUACAACUUUUGGGAGUAGUUUCCCCUCAAAAUAAAAUAUAUAAAAAUCAUUUGUCCUAUAAAUGCCGUUAGGGCUAUAUAACUAUUUGAAUAUAAUACUUUUUCAACUCCAAAUAAUUAUCCAAAAACUAUGAGAUAGCUUAUAUAUGCAUUAAACCCCUUUUAUGCAUAAACCCUAUUGGUUUGAAAAUUCCAAAGCUCAAAUGGGUGUAAACCAAAUCUUUUAAAGACUUUUGAGAUUCAAAUUUGAAUUCAAACAUGCAAUUGUGGCACGAUGCUCAUGGAUGCAAUGCACUUGUAAAGGUUUGAAAUUUUGGGAUGUUACAGUGAUGCUCCUUGUACUCAUUUCUUCUGACAUAACCCGGGAUAUCUUGGUCUUCCACCUGGUUGACAUCAUUGUUUUCCUGAGGGGGUCCAUGGAUCUGUGCGUUAGCGCCUGUGAGCGGUGGAGGGGUGGGGUGGGGGGGUAACCGACUUGCCUUGCCCUUCUCGGCCCGCUACAUCCAACUGCAUUGCCGCGUUGUGUGAUUCGCCGGCUUGUUGGGGUUAGUCGUGUGGAAAUGACAAGGCUGAUCCAGCAUCACUUCAAACGUAUACUUUGGCUUAUCUUGCCAGGGCUUCUUUUGUUCUCCCUUCUUGACCCACUGCUGAUUUCCUGUUUUCUGACGCUGACUAGGGCCAGCAUCAGGUUGAUCCUGAAUAGCGGCGACAUGGGCUGGCCCAUAUCGGUAAUCCGGCCUGUCAUCCCUUCUCUUGUUGCGGUGAUCUUGAUGAUUGUUCCUCCGGAAUGCCCCGACUGGAUUGUAUGUCGGCUGCUCCCUUUGCGGUUCUGCCGGCAUCAGCAAUGGCUGAGUUGGAUCGCCAAGCGCAUACAUGUCGACGAUCCGAAUCAUCUCAGAUAGGGUAGCUGGCAUCUUUCUUUGCAGCUUCUGCCACAACAUGCUGCCGUGCCGACAUCCUUGGGCAAACCAAGCUAUGACUUGUGAUUCCACUAUCCCUUCACAGAAAUUGUGGAGAUUGUUCCAUCUUGUCAGGUAAUCCCGGUCAGUCUCGUUGUCUCUUUGCUUGCACAUGGACAACUGCUGAGGGCGAUUUGGCCUCUUGUAAGUGCAAGUAAAAUGGCUGACGAAAGCUUCUUCAAAGUCUAUACCAGCAAAUUGAUGCUGCCUUCCGGCAAAUUGUUCAGCCAUAUCCUUGCCGGCCCUACCAACAUCUAGGGUACAUAACAUACCGCCCAUCUGCGGUUGCCGCCUGCCACACUUACUACAGCGAUAUAGUCCAGCCAAUCUUCCGGCUUAGUACUGCCGUCAUAUGUUCUUGUACCCCUGGGCAGCUGGAAACCCGGGGCUGGUCUCUCUCUCAUGAUCCGAUGUGCAAAGCAACACGGUCCCGGAGGGCCUUGCUCCUCCAGAAGCUCAGACAUAUAAAUUCUGUCAAGCCGAUGUCGGGCAUCCAGGGGCGACACUUGCCUGUUCCCAACUUAGGCUCCAAGCGGACCAAGAUUAUCACGCUCUCGCCUGAUAUAACCCUCGUCGCCCAUGGCCGAAUAUCUGUUGUCGUAAUGGUCGUACCGGCGAUCUUCACCUUGAUAAGGGGGUUACGCCCGACACCCUGCUGACCUGCGGCAGUAUUGGGUGCCGGACCCCGAGGUCGGUGUCCAUGAUCAAAUGAGUAGCGUUCUUGCUGGUCACGGCGAUUGUCGCCGGGACAUAGACCACUCUGGCUGUCAUCAACCCUUCUGACUAUCUGUUUCUCGACCAUGGCUGGGUCAUAACGCUCCAGCUGCUUAUCCCGGCCUGAAUUGACACUUUUGUCUCGCUUGCCACAGGCGAAGACGCUUGCUUCUCAACUCGGCCUCCGACAUCCGCUGCCGAGUGGAUAACCUGAGAUGCACCGGGCUUGCCGUGCAUUCUCAUGUAUGCCUCAUUCUGCUCAUUAGCUGUGCGGAGCAGCUCUUUCAUGCGCAGCAGCUGCUGUCGGAGUGCCUCUCCUAUAAGAUUUGGUAGCUCUUCGGCCGCAGCUUCAGCAGCUCUGAGAUUCUUGACAGGGGUAUUGUAUUUCGGCUUUAGCGCCGAGGCGUAACUUGCCGAUACUGCUGGCACACCCCUGCCAUCUCUUGUCAUCUCGGCAUUCAAGUUAGCUACAAGAUCUAGUGCACUGGAACUCGUGGUUAUGCACCCGAAUCUUUUAGUAUGGAACAUUGUCUUUUCUAAGUAAAAACCCCUAGUAUCUGAAAGAAUGAAAAGGUGCUUUCGUUCUUGUGGAUUAAGAAGCCCUCGUACCUUAAUGAAAGGAAAAUCGUAAUUUUUCGUUAGGUAUUUGACCAAAUACGAUCGUCUAGUUCUUAUAGAACCUAUCACUAAAAUACCCGAUAGGGCUAAGCGGAACGAAAAGGGUUUUCCAUGAGAUGGUAAAUGAAAACGAUUAGCCCCACACGAGGUUUGGGAAUAAGUGAUUGUCUGAUAAUGAGCAAGGAAUAUACGUCUUUCUGCUAAAGAGGAUCUAUUAAACUCAUAAUUCAUUAGAUCCUUGUUAUCAAUGCCAACUAGGUAUCAUAAGUAAAUGGAUCUCGGUUGUUCAAUCCUUUGAUAACCAAGGUCAUUCUUUGCUAAAGAGAAAUGAUCACUAUGAGUCAGACUCAAUAGAAUUGGAUCCAUUCCAAAUAGAGAGAAUUAGGAUUCUUGAUCCCUCUCAAUCUCUCUUUCAAUUCGAGGAUCCAGAGAGGUGUUUUCAUAGUCAUCUCCGAAUAUUUGCCAUCUCCGAAUAUUUUCGAUUUCAUUUUUCUAUGAUAUGUCUUUCUAUAUGAAAAUUGGUUAUUUACGAUGUAGGAUGAUCCCUGUUAAGCAUCCAUGGCUGAAUGGUUAAAGCGCCCAACUCAUAAUUGGUAAAUUUGCGGGUUCAAUUCCUGCUGGAUGCACGCGAACGGGAACGUUCCAUAAGUCUAUUGGAACUGGCUCUCUAUCCAUGGAAUCUCAUCCAUCAUCCAUACAUAACGAAUUGGUAUGGUAUAUUCAUACCAUAACAUAAGAACAAUAAGAACUCGAAUUCUUAUCGAUACUGGGACUCAGAGCAUAGGAGGGAAAGUCGAUUUAUGGAUGGAAUCAAAUACACAGUAUUUACAGAAAAAAGUCUUCGUUUAUUGGGAAAGAAUCAAUAUACUUUUAAUGUUGAAUCAGGAUUCACUAAGACAGAAAUAAAGCAUUGUGUCGAACUCUUCUUUGGUGUUAAGGUAGUAGCUGUGAAUAGCCAUCGACUACCCGGAAAGGGUAGAAGAAUAGGACCUAUUCUGGGACAUACAAUGCAUUACAGACGUAUGAUCAUUACCCUUCAACCGGGUUAUUCUAUUCCACUUCUAGAUAGAGAAAAAAACUAAAGGAGAAUACUUAAUAAUACGGCGAAACAUUUAUAUAAAACACCUAUCUCGAGUACACGCAAGGGAACCGUAGACAGGCAAGUGAAAUCCAAUCCACGAAAUAAUUUGAUCCAUGGACGGCACCGUUGUGGUAAAGGUCGUAAUUCCAGAGGAAUCAUUACCGCAAGGCAUAGAGGGGGAGGUCAUAAAUGCCUAUACCGUAAAAUCGAUUUUCGACGGAAUCAAAAAGACAUAUCUGGUAGAAUCGUAACCAUAGAAUACGACCCUAAUCGAAAUGCAUACAUUUGUCUCAUACACUAUGGGGAUGGUGAGAAGAGAUAUAUUUUACAUCCCAGAGGGGCUAUAAUUGGAGAUACUAUUGUUUCUGGUACAAAAGUUCUUAUAACAAUGGGAAAUGCCCUACCUUUGAGUGCGGUUUGAACUAUUGAUUUACGUAAUUGGAAGUAACCAAUUAGGUUUACGACGAAACCUAGAAAUCGAUCACUGAUCCAAUUUGACUAUCUCUACGGGAUAGACCUUAACAGAAAACUGUUGAGUAACGGCAGCAAGUGAUUGAGUUCAGUAGUUCCUCAUAGAAAAUUAUUGACUCUAGAGAUAUGGUAAUAUGGAGAAGACAAAAUUGUUUGAAGCACGCACAAAACCGGAAGCGCCCCUUGUUUCAAAGAGAGUAGGACGGGUUAUUCACAUUUAAUUUGAUGGUCAGAGGCGAAUUGAAAGCUAAGCAGUGGUAAUUAAGACCCCCGGGGAAAAAAGGGAUGUCUCCUACGUUACCCAUAAUAUGUGGAAGUAUCAACGUAAUUUCAUAGAGUCAUUCGAUCUGAAUGCUACAUGAAGAACAUAAGCCAGAUGACGGAACGCGGAGACCUAGGAUGUGGAAGAUCCUAACAUGAGCGAUUCGGCAGAUUUGGAUUCCUUUCCUAUAUAUCCACUCAUGUGGUACUUCAUCAUAUGAUUUAUAUAAGAUCCAUCUGUCUAGAGAUCGUCAUAUACAUCUAGAAAGCCGUAUGCUUUGGAAGAAGCUUGUACAGUUUGGGAAGGGGUUUUUUGAGAGAAAAGAAGAAUCUACUUCAACCGAUAUGCCCUUAGGCACGGCCAUGCAUAACAUAGAAAUCACACGUGGAAGGGGUGGCCAAUUAGCUAGAGCAGCAGGUGCUGUAGCGAAACUUAUUGCAAAAGAGGGUAAAUCAGCCACUUUAAGAUUACCAUUUGGGGAGGUCCGUUUAGUAUCCCAAAACUGCUUAGCAACAGUCGGACAAGUGGGUAAUGUUGGGGUGAACCAAAAAAGUUUGGGUAGAGCCGGAUCUAAGUGUUGGCUAGGUAAACGCCCCAUAGUAAGAGGGGUAGUUAUGAACCCCCAUGGGGGCGGUGAAGGGAAAGCCCCCAUUGGUAGAAAAAAACCCACAACCCCUUGGGGUUAUCCUGCGCUUGGAAGAAGAACUAGGAAAAGGAAACGUAGGGCUUUGAAACCAAAUACGUUACCUACAAUGGAAGUAAACAUGUUAGUAACGGAACCCUCUUCAAAUAGAUCUAAUGGAUAAGCUACAUAACAGAUCCAUUGACUGUCUUCCCCAGGAACAGGCUCGAUGUCAUAGCAUCGUCCUUUGUAACAAUCAAGACUAGUAAGUCCAUCAGUCCAAACAGUUGUCCAUGUACCAAUAGAAGAUUCGGCAGCUACUGCAGCCCCUACUUCUUCGGGCGGAACCCCAGGUUGAGGAGAUACUCGGAAUGCUACCAAGAUAUCAGUAUCCUUGGUUUCAUACUCCGGGGUGUAGUAAGUCAAUCUAUAAUCUUUAACACCAGCUUUAAAUCCAACACUUGCUUUAGUUUCUGUUUGUGGUGACAUAAGUCCCUCCUUACAACUCUUGAAUUAAGAAUUCUCACAAUAACAAGUUCUACUCGAUGUGAAUUAGGCGUAAAUGAAACUUUAGCAAAAAUCUCAUAAAAAAAAGAGAUAUUCAAUUAAUAGCAACUCAUUACAGAAAAUUGAGGGCAUGCUUAAGUUAAUUAAUAUUUUUCAUUCAUAUAUAAUGCGUACACCCUGUGUAUGUUCUAUCCUAUAGGAAUUUCACUAUAGGAAUUCGAUAGGAAUUGAGUUGUUGUUAUGGUAAGUUAACACCGUUCGUUAUUAAACCAAGGAUUUGAUUUAACAAAUCCAUCAUUAUUGUAUACUCUUUGAUAGAUAUAGCGCAACCCAAAUCAAUCCUUAACCUUUUUUUUUACAAAUUAUUAAAGGGCCCCUUUCUUAUUUUGAAAAGAAAUACCUAACUAAAUACUAAGAAAUUUUUUUGUUGACAGCAAUCUAUGCUUCACAGUAGUAUAUAUUUUGUAUAGCGAAGUCCUAGAUAGGAAAGUAGAGUAGGCACGGAUCCUCCACAAAAGGAAAAAUCUAUCUUAUGAAAAAAAGAUUGAUUGAACUUUCCAACGGCCUCAUUCCAUGAGUAAAGGGUUGAAAGGGAUUCGCUUGGGCAACGAAAUCAAGUCCUGUUCCCCUUUUUUCUCUUAUUGAAUUAACUAAUUGAUUUCCUUUUUACUUUUGGAUUUUUGGAUAUUUUUUUGGAUUUGGUAUUAUUCAACAAGAAAAAAUUAAAUUUUUUGACAAAAUCCUUUUCUUUUAUUAUGUGAUAAUUAUGAGAACCAAUCCUACUACUUCUCGUCCCGGGGUUUCCCCAAUUGAAGAAAAAAGUACAGGCCGUAUCGAUCAAAUUAUUGGACCCGUGCUGGACGUCACUUUUCCCCCCAGUAAGUUACCUUAUAUUUAUAACGCUUUGGUAGUCCAGAGUAGAGACACUGCCGAUAAGCAAAUUAAUGUGACUUGUGAGGUACAACAAUUAUUAGGAAAUAAUCGAGUUAGAGCUGUAGCUAUAAGUGCUACAGAUGGGUUGAUGAGAGGAAUGGAAGUGAUUGACACAGGAGCUCCUCUCAGUGUUCCGGUCGGCGGAGCUACUCUCGGGCGAAUUUUCAACGUUCUUGGGGAGCCUGUUGACAAUUUGGGUCCUGUAGAUAGUAGUGCAACGUUCCCUAUUCAUAGAUCUGCGCCUGCCUUUAUCGAGUUAGAUACGAAAUUAUCCAUCUUUGAAACAGGUAUUAAGGUCGUCGAUCUUUUAGCUCCUUAUCGACGUGGAGGAAAAAUAGGACUAUUUGGGGGGGGCUGGGGUAGGUAAAACAGUACUCAUCAUGGAAUUAAUCAACAACAUUGCUAAAGCUCAUGGGGGCGUAUCCGUAUUUGGUGGAGUAGGGGAACGGACUCGUGAAGGAAAUGAUCUUUAUAUGGAAAUGAGGGAAUCCGGAGUAAUUAAUGAAAAAAAUAUUGAGGAAUCAAAGGUAGCUCUAGUCUAUGGCCAAAUGAAUGAACCACCGGGAGCUCAUAUGAGAGUUGGUUUAACUGCCCUAACUAUGGCGGAAUAUUUCCGAGAUGUUAAUAAGCAAGACGUGCUUUUAUUCAUCGAUAAUAUCUUUCGUUUUGUUCAAGCAGGAUUGGAGGUAUCCGCUUUAUUAGGGAGAAUGCCCUCCGCGGUGGGUUAUCAACCUACUCUUAGUACAGAAAUGGGUUCUUUGCAAGAAAGAAUUGCUUCUACUAAAAAGGGAUCUAUAACUUCGAUCCAAGCGGUUUAUGUACCUGCGGACGAUUUGACUGACCCUGCUCUUGCCACAACAUUUGCCCAUUUGGAUGCUACUACCGUACUUUCCAGAGGAUUAGCUUCCAAGGGUAUUUAUCCAGCAGUAGAUCCUUUAGAUUCAACCUCAACUAUGUUACAGCCUCGGAUCGUUGGCAACGAACAUUAUGAAACUGCGCAAAGAGUUAAGGAAACUUUACAACGUUACAAGGAACUUCAGGACAUUAUCGCAAUUCUUGGAUUGGAUGAAUUAUCGGAGGAGGAUCGUUUAACUAUAGCAAGAGCGCGAAAAAUUGAGCGUUUCUUAUCACAACCGUUCUUUGUAGCAGAAGUUUUUACUGGUUCUGCAGGAAAGUAUGUUGGUCUUGCAGAAACAAUUAGGGGAUUUCAACUAAUCCUUUCGGAGAAUUAGAUGGCCUACCCGAGCAGGCUUUUUAUUUGGUGGGUAACAUCGAUGAAGCUAGCACGAAAGCUAUAACCUUAGAAGAGGAGAACAAAUCGAAGAAAUGAAAUUAAAUCUUUAUGUACUGACUCCUAAGCGAAUUAUUUGGGAUUGUGAAGUGAAAGAAAUCAUUUUAUCCACUAAUAGUGGUCAAAUUGGGGUAUUACUAAACCAUGCCCCCAUUAAUAUAGCAGUAGAUAUGGGUCCUUUGAGAAUACGCCUCCUCAACGACCAAUGGUUAACGGCGGUUCUGUGGAGCGGUUUUGCGAAGUUAAUAAUGAGAUCAUUAUUUUAGGAAAUGAUGCGGAACUGGGUAGUGAUAUUGAUCCGGAAGAAGCUCAACAGGCACUUAAAAUAGCCGAAGAUAACUUGAGUAAAGCUGAGGGUACGAAAGAAUUGGUUGAAGCGAAACUAGCUCUCAGACGAGCUAGGAUACGAAUCGAGGCUGUCAAUUGGAUUCCCCCAUCCAAUUGAAGACAAUCCAAUGGUUUAUAGUUGAUACAAAGAUAAAGGGAAGAGGGGUAGAAAAAGUUAUUAGAUAGCGAAGCGAAAUAAGCCCAAUGCUAUCUAGUAAUUUUUCUACCUACCUACCUACUAUUGGAUUUGAACCAAUGACUCCCGCCGUAUGCAAUACUCUAACCACUGAGUUAAGUAGGCAAUUUAUGAUCACAAAGGAAGACCCAUUACUUCGAUCGAUUAUAUAUCGAAUCCCUUUUCUAAGCAAUAACGCUUCCUUAUUGGUAUGUUAUAUACUAAACAGAUACAUAUUUAAAGAGAUACCCUCUGGCAUUAGAGAAUAUUCAUCUUGACAAUAAAUUAUCUAUAUGUUAAGAUAUCUCUGAUAAGGGCUAUAGCUCAGUUCGGUAGAGCAACUCGUUUACACGUGCGCCAAUGCUUUUCAAAGGAGCUUAUUAUGCAAUGAAUAUAAUGGAUCUUAUUGCAAAAUCAAUGUCUUACUUCAUAGAUUCGACAGAAUAGGAGAACAGUAGCCUGACAAAGAGUCAGUUCAGUCCGAUUCAGGUCCCCAUUCUGGUGCCUAAUCAAAUCGAACCCUUAUGGAUUUGCUAGUUGAUAAGGUAAAUAUCCAGCCCACUAAAUGCUAGGCAUAAUGAGGAUAAGGGCCUCCAAAAAACUUCCUUUCGUUCUAUGAACUUUAAGGUGUAUGAAGUCUCAUAGUUAACUCUUGCAGUGGAACGAUAGAGACUCCAUUUCACUUAGGUUGAUUUAAUUUAGGCCGGAGGCAGACCUAAGUCAAGGUAAUCCUCCUUUGAAACACUUUGGUAUUGCUCCUAGAUAGACCAUAAUACAAAUAAUCAAUCAGAGCACAGGGAGCCAUCUCAUUAUCUUUCCGUAAAGAAAAACUAUGGUGGACUAACUGAUCUUUAAAUCAGUUGAUGAAAGAGCCCAAUGCAAAAAAAUGCAUGUUGGGUCUUUGAAAUAGUUCGAAUCAUUUCGAUAAUAAUCUGUUUGAUCUGUUUUACCGAGAAGGUCUACGGUUCGAAUCCGUAUAGCCCUAAUAUGUCCUAUUUUUGGAUUUUAGUAUAGAUAUCCUAUGUUUUCCUUAGUAUAGCUUUUAUUUUCACAUUAGUACUUGUUUAUAGACUGGGCGGGCGCCUGCGACAUAGAAUAGGCGUAAAAGCAUUACCACAGGCUCAUUCAUCAAAAAUCAUAGAGAUAGGAAACGAAAAAGUGAUUUCUAUCAAAUCAAUAGAAGAAAAGAGCCCUUCCCUGAUUUGAAUCCCGCCCUUCUUCAAAUAGGGUAUCUCUAGACUUCCCUAUAAAAACUGCAAUGAUUUUCUCCAUCUUGCGAAUUUAUACUUUGUUUUAAGUAUAUUACUUUGCUUAUAUAUACAUUAUCUAAAUAGAUCUACUUAAAAUCCUAAAUAGAAAAAAAUAUAGAAAGAAUUAAAGUAAAGAGUAAAUAAGAAAACAGAAUAUUAUGUCUCAUAGUUCUGAAAUAGAGUUCCUUAUUUUUUUAUAGUAUUACUUCUCAGUCUACUGCAUAGACUAGUCCUCUUAUGUUAAUUAGGUUCUAAAGAUUAUAGAGAAAGCAAAAUAAAGUGAAGGGAUAAAGUAUUUUUUAUAUAAGAAUUAGAUCUAUACCAUAUCUAAAUAGAAUGGAAAAAAAAGAAGGGGAGUUGGGAUUCCAUUGGAUGAAUCUUUAAAGAAGACACAGCACAGAGAAAACAAAGGCUAAACUAAGCGAUUUUGUUUGAACAAAACAGAUUCUUGUUUCACCGAGGAAAAGAGAUAAGUUCUGGAUGAAUUGACAAUGCAUAAUUGAAUUGAUUAAUUUAAGUCUCGUCUAUUCUACAUUAAUGGGAGUACAUUAUGUUUCUGCUUCACGAAUAUGAUAUUUUUUGGACAUUUCUAAUAAUAGCAAGCCUUAUUCCGAUUUUGGCAUUUUGGAUUUCAGGGCUUUUAGCCCCGAUUAGUGAAGGACCCGAAAAGCUUUCUAGUUAUGAAUCGGGUAUAGAACCCAUGGGAGGGGCUUGGCUACAAUUCCGAAUACGCUAUUACAUGUUUGCGCUAGUUUUUGUUAUUUUUGAUGUGGAAACCGUCUUUCUCUACCCUUGGGCAAUGAGUUUCGACGUAUUGGGUGUAUCCGUUUUUAUCGAAGCUUUCAUUUUCGUGCUUAUCCUAGUUGUUGGUUUAGUUUAUGCAUGGCGAAAAGGAGCCUUGGAAUGGUCUUAACUGAAUAUUUAGAAGAAAAAAAAGAAGAAAAAGAUUCCAUUGAGACAGUUAUGAGUUUGAUUGAGUUUCCUUUACUUGACCAAACAAGUUCCAAUUCUGUUAUUUCAACUACACCAAACGAUCUUUCAAAUUGGUCAAGACUCUCCAGUUUAUGGCCCCUUCUAUACGGUAGCAGUUGUUGUUUCAUUGAAUUUGCUUCAUUAAUAGGCUCGCGAUUCGACUUUGAUCGUUAUGGAUUGGUACCAAGAUCAAGUCCUAGGCAAGCGGACCUAAUUUUAACAGCUGGUACAGUAACAAUGAAAAUGGCUCCUUCUUUAGUGAGGUUAUACGAGCAAAUGCCUGAACCAAAAUAUGUCAUUGCUAUGGGAGCUUGUACUAUUACAGGGGGAAUGUUCAGUACGGAUUCCUAUAGUACUGUUCGAGGAGUUGAUAAGUUAAUUCCUGUGGAUGUCUACUUGCCGGGUUGCCCACCUAAAUCGGAGGCGGUUAUAGAUGCCCUAACAAAACUUCGUAAGAAGAUAUCGCGAGAAAUAGUUGAGGAUCGAAUUCGAUCUCAAAAUAAAAACCGAUGUUUUACUACCAGUCACAAGCUUUAUGUUCGGCGCAGUACUCAUACUGGAACUUACGAGCAAGAAUUGCUCUAUCAAUCACCAUCUACUUUAGAUAUAUCUUCUGAAAAUUUUUACAAAUCCAAAAGUAUAGUACCUUCCUACAAAUUAGUGAAUUAGGAGGGGGGUUCUUUUGUCUAGAAAAAUAAAAAGCAAGGCAAUCUUUGAAACUUGCAUCCGAAAUGUGAAAUAUUUAUACAAAACAAAGAGGGAGAGAUCAAGACAAUGCAGCAGGGUUGGUUAUCUAAUUGGCUAGUCAAACAUAAGGUGGUUCAUAGAUCUUUGGGCUUUGAUCACCGAGGAAUAGAGACUUUACAAAUAAAAGCGGGGGAUUGGGAUUCCAUUGCUGUCAUUUUAUACGUAUAUGGUUACAAUUAUUUACGCUCCCAAUGUGCUUAUGAUGUAGCACCCGGUGGAUCUUUAGCUAGCGUGUAUCAUCUUACGAGAAUACAGUAUGGCAUAGAUAACCCAGAAGAAGUAUGCAUAAAAGUCUUUGCCCAAAAGGAUAAUCCUAGAAUUCCGUCUGUCUUCCGGAUUUGGAGAAGUGCCGAUUUUCAAGAACGCGAAUCUUAUGAUAUGGUGGGAAUCUCUUAUUUCCACGGUUACGCACCUCCCCAACUCGGCUAGGGUUAGUAAACGACGUAGAACUAAGACCAUGGGCUUUGUUAUACUCACGGAGUGAAAUAUCCAGUUGUUGCCGAGUGUGAGCGACGUCAACAGCUUCCUUCAGCAGCUUUUGUCGCUCCAACUCCAACUCUGCCUGCAACUGGGUCGGGUUAGCGUUCGACGCCACCGGCGUAGUCAGCCGUUCGAUGGAGGCUUGGAGCUGGGUCAGCUUCGGCGGCAGGGCCGACGUGCCGGCUUGAGCGGUGAUGUUCUUCGGCUUCUCCAAGGGGAGUUUCCCCGUUCUGCCGGAUUUGGUUGGGGCCGUGCCACUUCCUGCAGCGUCCCUUCCAGAAUUAGCACCAUGAGUCGUCACCAUGACCUCCACACGGUCAGCGGGACAGUUGACAUGCCGGCCGCGAACCGUGCGGACGGCGGGGGGGUCUUCGAUGACCAACCCCCUGCUCUGGGUACUUGCAAGGGCUUUUAGUAUCAACAUAAACCUCGUGCAUGCCGAAGUUGAUGAAGCGGCCCACGCAGGGAAGCGGUGUGUCGUUGAAGCAGCCCGCGUUGUUCUCGAUGAAGCCCAGAGAGCCGAAUCUCUGGACCAAACCGGAGACCACGCGCUCUCCGGUGACGAGGAAGCUUCCCGUCCGGAGGAAGACUCCAGCCAGCGCCGCUACAGGCCCCACGGUGGGCGCCAACUAUCGUGGUGGUGACACGGCAGAUGCCAUAGGAUGGGUUAACUUGGGGCCGAUGGACGAUGGAGGAUCCGGAGGAGGGAGAAUGUGAAGGGAAACACGCACAAAUCACACAAGCACACACAGAUCUACCCAGGUUCGGAGCCCUCUUGCCGAGGUAAGACUCUUACUCCUGCUUUCUUGUAUUAGCCGGGGUAGACAAGCUAUACAAUGGCACUCCUUGAGCUGUAUUCUUGAGGAAGAAGAAGAAGGGGAAAAAUCCUAGAUGUCUAAGUGCUCCGUCCCUCUCUACAGAGGGGUAACGUUCUAUUUAUAGGCCGCCCAUGUGGUUCCUGUGACGGUGUGUCAUUUGCUUUUGGGACGUCCGUGGCAAUCAGAUCGAGAUGUUCGUCAUCAUGGGCGAGCUAAUACUUAUAGUCUCCAUUGGCAUGGCAAGGAGGUGAUCUUAUGUCCUAUGACACCACAACAGAUUGUUAAUGAAUCUCAUCAAAAAGUUGAAGUAAAUCGUGAGAAUGAGCGUGAGAGAUUAGAUAGGCGAGGGACUCCACAUUCGGUGAGUGAGUACCAAAAGCCAAAUUUGAGUGGUAAACAGAACAGUGAGGGAGAGAAUUCCUUAGUAAUGCUAGCCACCAAAUCAGAUUUGAGAGAGUUCCGCGAGGAUCCUACCCAGGUUCGGAGCCCUCUUGCCGAGGUAAGACUCCUACUCCUGCUUUCUUGUAUUAGCCAGGAUAGACAAGCUAUACAAUGGCGCUCCUUGAGCUGUAAGAAAAAGAAGAAGGGGAAAAAUCCUAGAUGUCUAAGUGCUCCGUUGUAAGACCCCGGGACCAGAAUUAUAAAAUUUAGCCCAACAUUACUAACCUUUGCAUAAUUCAAGAGUCAGGUUCUUAACCUACGAUAAACACUUCAAUACAUACACGCAUUAAUGUGCUCAUCGCAGGAUUUUGCAACAUGAAUAUCAUGACCAAAACUCUACAGAAGAGAGUAAUUACAAAGCUCAUACAAGGAGCAGAAUAACAAAUAUUAUAAAGAGAGGACACAUGUCCCAACAUUACAUCAUUACAUCAGCGGAAGUCGAAUUAUGCCCGAGUACGGACAAGAAUACAACAUGACCUGAAGAGGCUGGAAGCUGGAAGGAAACCCGCCACGAGUCUCAGAACCCUGAUCUGGAUCUCCUGGCUAAACAUCGAAUCCAACGUCGUGCUCCACGAAGAAGCUAGCGGCUCACCUGCUCUACUGAAACCUGUGAAGAAAACAAUGUUGCAAAGCAACUGAGUACAAAGUAUUCGCAAGACUUACGGGGAGAUCUAUGCUAGUAUGCAACAUGUCUCAAAGGAGGGUAAAGUGGGGUUAUGCAGCAGCAACAAUAUCUAGAGAGACACUCUAUUAACAACGUCUAAGUAGAGGAUGAGAAGCGUCUACUAAGUGAGGUGAUUGACCUGUUUACUAAACACCAAACCACACAAUCCUUAUAUCACCCCCUCAACAUUAAUUGUUUUGGACCUUUCUUUGAUGGAAAUAAUGAUGCUGAAGCUUAUAUUGAUUGGGAAAUAGCUCUAAUUGAGCAAUUCACAUGCUUCCAUGUACUAGAUAGUCGUAAGGUCCAAAUUGCUAGUAGUAGAUUUCGUUUUGAUGCAUUAUCAUGGUGGAGUGAGAUAGUUAGAGAAAACAAAAUACCUCACACUUGGAUUGAUACGAAGAAAAUCAUGAGAGAAAAAUAUGUUCCUCCAAGUUAUGCUUAUGAGUUGCGUUCCAAAUUACGACGUUUGACACAAGAUGAUAAAACUGUUGAUGAUUACUACCAUGAGUUCCAAAUUUUAACCUUGCGAUCUGGUUUAGAUGAAACCGAACAAAGAAAAAUGGAUAGGUUUUAUUCUGGGCUUAAUUUUGAAAUUUCUUACGUGAUUGAAUAUGGGGAUUACGACUCUCUAUUGUGUUUGCUUAAUCUUGCUCGUGAAGCUGAGAGAAAGUUAGAAAGAAGGUAUAAUACAAAUGAGGCGAGCCCACAAGGUAAUGUUACAGAGGUUUGUGUUGCUGAACUAAAUAUGACGUGUAUUGAAAUAAAUGAGAUAUUUGAUGAACAUGCUGCCCCUUGUAAAAUUGUUGAUUUACUUGCCGAUUUGAGCGCACCCAUUGAUUCAAUUGAUAAUGAUUUAUGUGAUGAGUUAUCUGCUGUUUUGGAACAGACUUGUGACGGGAUGAUUAAAUUUGAUUUAUGUUGCAUUGAAUUAAUUAAACAUGAAGAAGUGUUUCUUAUGGUUCCGCCUAAUAAUUCUCUGUGUUCUAUUAAACUUGAUGCACCUAUAUAUUUGUCACAUGCAAUGGAUAAAGGUUCCGAGUUAACAAUUUCAAAAUCUUUUGCUAAUGCCCAUGGAUACACUAUUCAAUUAAUUGGAGAACAUGACGUGAACAAUAAAUUUUGGGUGCAUCAGAUUUGCAUUGCUUGUGAUAACUUUCUUGAUUUGAGAGAAAAUAAUAUGUUGCAUAUGCUUAACCAUUUUGAUAUGACCUCCAAUAUUGGUGUUGAUUAUUUGCCAAUUAGUUCUUUACACGAUUGUUCGAAUAUUAGUGCUUUGACAUGCUCUAAAUUUCAGCAUCUUGUAGUAACUAAUUUGGGUAACAUUAUUAAUUAUUAUUCUCCAGUGUUGGGAUGGUAUAAUGGUGAGCGGUGCAAACCAAAUACAAGAUGUUGUUUCACUUAUAUAUGCAAAACAUAUUGUCAAUCUUCUUGCUGGAAUGAUAUUCAUGAUGAUUGUGUGACUAAUUAUCUCAUGAGAUUGUGUUAUAAAACAUUAAUUGUGCAACAUGGGAGUGGAGUUAAAAAUAACGAUAUAUACAUAUACCAUGCGCAUACCUUGUCCCUUUUGUUUGCAUAUUUUCAGCAUAAACGACGCCGAGGACGGCUUUCCUUUCAAGAAAGGGAGGAUGAUAUGGACAUGCUAACCAUGGAUACGACCAUUAGAACCCUAAUUGUUGGUGUCUCUAAUAAUUAUAAUCAGGUGAAUUCAAUUACAAAAUGUUUUCAAUAUGUUACUUGCAAAGAGGCGGAGCUACUAUCUUGUGUAAUCUUAUUAUGUAGGCAUCUUAUUGAACUUUACAAGUCCAAAGUGAAGAUGAAGUGUUAUAGCCUGCAAAGGGAGAUUCAAAGUGAAGCCUAUCAAGUCUACUUUCCAACAAAUCAAACGGCACAUGAUUCGGAGCUUGCUAGAGAAAGAUAUCACGAAUUAAAGUUGAAUCCGAUUCGGGUCCGAGCUGUCAGGAGACCCGAAUUUGUUUUAAUCACCCAGGCCGCAUCUGGAGUCCAAAUCAAGCAAAAAAGUACUUGUUGGAAAGUUAAUUACAAGACCUUUCCAACGGAUCUGGCCCCAUCAAGAGAUUCGACUCGUGCUGACCGUGGCGGACAAAACAAGCUGACGGAUCUGUUUUUCUGUUUCCUAAAGAGUUGUAGUUUGUUAGGAAAGUUAGAGAUAGAGUUGGAUUUCGGACUCCUUAAUCAAGGUGGACGAAAAUAUCUCUCCCUCCUCCUUUAUAUACCCCAUGAACCCCCUAAGGAGCUUUGGGUUUUGAUUAGAUAAAGUUUAGCCAUCUUUGCUACUUUCGUGUAAUCGCGUGUGUCGGUUAGACCACCUGUUUUAUCGUCAAGACUCCAACUUAUCGUCUCAUUGAGACAUUGGUUUGAUAUAGUAUAUUCGCAAUUUUAGAUUGCAUCUGCUAUUUAUCUUGUUCUUGCUUGUUCUUUGAUUGCUUGCAGGAACAAAGACCUUCGUGGUCAGGUUGAUCGUGCCCCCGCGUGAUCAAUAACCCUCUGGAGUUGGUGUAUCGAUUGCUAAGGCGCUGCCUCCUAGGCCGUAGUCGGAUCGUCAACGUCACCUUCUACCCAAAUCGAGAGUUACCAAUCUCAUCGAAAGAUCGGGCCACCCGCACCCGUAUCAUUUAUAUAAGUUCAAAGUAUUUUAUUUGGAACCAUUUGCAUAUUAUGAUUUUAUCGGACUAUUAUUCGCAUCUUAAUAAAUCCUAUUUUCCUUUUUAAGGAUUUAUUAGCACACUAAGUUUCCAAUUUGGAUGCCAUGACCAUUUGAGAGCAUCGUUGGAAUAUUUAAAUUGAUUAGAAAUGUUCUCCAACUUUUAUCUAAAUAAUAAAGAGAGGGAAUAAUAUGACUUUCCUAGUUAUAAGGUUGGAAACAUAUUUAAUGAUGCACCUAUGUUUUCUCAAUUUUUAUUUUGACAUGUUAAUAUUGUUUUUGAUAAGAAGUUAUCAAAUAUUCGAGAAGAGGAUAACGUGACAUCCUCAUGUGCAAAUGUUAUUCGAACAUUUAUUCCGUCGUUGAGAGUGGGAUAACGUGACUUCCCAAAUAUAUAUAUGGUUGAAAACAUCUGCGAUGGUUUAGAUGAUUUGUGAUUUGGUGUUAUAAAGCUAUUUGGGAAUUUAGUGAACCAUAUAAAUAUUAUAGGAUUUUAUUUGAUGUUCAACCCAAUGAGGUACUUAGCUAAGGAAGGGUUUUACUGCAAAGUAUGCCACUCCAAUAUUUUAUUGGAGUUUAAACUAAUUUAUGAAACAAAGAUUUCAUAAUAGAUUUCAAAACCUAUUUUAUUUAUUACUUAUAAAGCCCUAAUGACAUUUAUAUAAGAAAAAAUAUUUUCACUUAUUUUAUUUUGAAAGGAUUCAAGUCCCAAAAGUUCACAGUUUGGAGGAUUUGAAUUUACAAAUUUACUGGAGUUUAUUUGGACUUAUUUGGAGUUAGGAAUCAAAAGUUAUUAAUAAAAACAGAAAUGGAAAAAAAAAGGAAAACAAAAAAAGAAAGAAUGGACCGACCCAACUAGGCUGGCCCAUCGUGUUCUUCCUCCUCUCCACAAGAAGGAAACCCCUCCUUCUAUAUUUUCUUCCUUUGAUUUUUUUCCUUCCCGUGCGUCUCUCUUUGAAAGGAAACCACCCCAUCAAUUCUCACCAUCCCAGGAACCGAUUCAGGCAAUCAAUUUGAAGUUUCCUCUCAUAAUCGCAGUUUCCAAAAGAGGCGCUCCGAAUGCCGCCCGUCGACAUCCACGCCCGAUCUCCCUCCUCGACCAAUAUAAAAGGAUUCCACGCGCAUCACUUUGAGCCUUUGCCUCUCCUCUCCCAUUCCCAUGUGGAAAGCUUCGCCUCUAAACCUCUGUACAGCCGGCUACGUCGACGUCUUCCUCCACCGGUCACCGGUAAGGUUGCUGCGAUCAAUGAUCAAGAAGAACCUGCGUGCAUGGGAGGAGUGUUUGCCGCAUGUGGAAUUUGAAUAUAACAGGGCAGUACAUUCAUCAACGCAGCUUUGUCCGUUUGAGGUGGUAUAUAGUUUCAAACCCAUUACGCCAGUUGAUUUGCUGCCACUUCCAAGUCAAGAGCGUGUGAAUAUGGAGGCGUGCAAGCAUGCUGAUUUUGAUCGGAAGAGACAUGUAACAUCCCAAAAAUUUCAAACUUUUACAUGUGCAUUGCAUCCAUAAGCAUCAUGCCACAAUUGCAUAUUUGAAUUCAAAUUUGAAUCUCAAAAGGCUUCGGAAAGAUUUUAUUUCAAUUUAAACCCUAGGGUUUACACCCAUUUGAGCUUUGGAUCUUCAAACCAAUAGGGUUUAUUUAUAAAAGGGGUUUAUUGCAUAAAUAAGCCAUCCCAUAAUUAUUUGGAGUUGAAAAACUAUUUUAUUUAAAUAGUUAUAUAGCCGUAAAGGCAUUUAUAGGGAAAAUGUAUUUUUAGAUAUUUUAUUUUGAGGGGAAAUUACUCCCAAAAGUUGUAUCAUGAUAAAACAUGAUUUUACAAAUUUUCUGGAAUUUAUUUGGACCAAUUUGGGGCUCAAAAUCAAAAGAUAUCAAAGAAAUAAGAAAAAGAGAAAAAGAAAAGGCUACAAGAAAAAAAAAGGGGAAAACCGGACCGGCCCCGCCGUUUUGGGCCGAACCGGCCCCGCUUCGGCCAAGCCCGCCCGAACCGGACCCGCCCAGCGCCGCGCGCGCGCGCUUGAGCCACCGACAGGUGGGGCCCACCUGUCGGGGUCGUCUUCUCCGCGGCGAAAGCCCCGGAUUUCCGCCGCCCGCGCCGCCGCCUGCCGUUUUCGCCGCCGCGUGCCGUCUCCGCCGCAAUCUCCUCCCCCCCCUUCCUGAUUUCGCAGCCCCGACCGCGUCCAUAUAAAGGCCACCGCCUCCUCUCUCUUCCCCUAAACCCCCUCGCCACCACGCCGCCAGGCCGCCGGAAUACCUUGCCGGGGCAAGGAGUCCCCCCCGCCGCCGUUUUUGCUUCGGGUCGACACCACCGGUGAGCCUCUUCGCCCGAACCUUGCAAUUUCUGGACUGCAUCGUCCUCGCGCCUAUUUUGACACGCGCGGAUUUGUCCUAGGUGCGCCCUAGCAGCCGGAGCAGUGCCGACGUCCUCGCCGGAGCCCGCGCCCUCGCCGUCGAGAGUCCCCGUAGUCCUAGACGUCGCCCUCGACCUCGUUUCGUCGUGCGGACCGCGUCACGGUCUUCGCCUCAUCGCGCCGUGCGCACCCAUGUCUUCCCUGAGCCGCCCGCGUCGCCGGAACCGCCCGUGCCGCUGCCGCCCGUGCCUGCGCCGCGGUCCCCCCCGUCUCCGGUGACCGCCGCCACCGCCAGGUAAACCCUGGCGCAUCUCGGCCGUCCAUUUCAUCCCAACGGCUAAGAUUAGAAGCCCUCGCGCCCUUUAAAACGAACCGCUAUCGUCCAAUGAGAUUGUGACACGUGGCACCUAUUUUAUAAAACAAAAAAUGUAAUUUAAUUCCCAGAAUAAUUAGAAAUGGCACUUUUGCAGAAAAGCCCUCGAAACUUCAAAUGAUCAUAUUUUUUAAUCUGUUUGGCCAAAUUUGACGAUCCACACCUUUCUGGAAUCAUUAAGAAAUGUAUAAUUUUUUGGCACUGUGCAAUUUCAAAUUUGAGUUUUUGAAUCACAGUCAAUUUACAGAAUAGGGUUUAGUGCCAUUUAAAUCAUAACUAAUUAUUUAGAAGUCCUUUUUAAAUGAAACCAGUGCCCAAAAACUUGUUUUUUUAUCCUCUGUCCAUUGGGACAGAGCACCAAAUGUUUUGAACUAAAUUAUUUGGCUGAUGCCAAUAAAACUAAAAUUUAGGGUUUUGGUAAAUUGUUUUUGCCUUUUGUUUAAAACCCUAAUGCAUUAAUGUUUAAUUACCAAUGCUUGGGAUCAGUUGAUCAUCCAAAUAAAAUAAACCCAAUCAUGUCACAUGCUUGCAUCACAUCAUAGGAUAUUUUCUUUUGCCAUGAUGUGAAUUUUGUGUUUAUGUAUCCAUUGUUUGUAUUUGAAUAGUUUUCUCGGAUAGCGAACCUUGUGAUUGUGACGAGUGUUUGAACUCCAACCGCUACCAAGGCAAGUUCACUUUGACCAUCAUCCCAUUAUUUUAUUAUGCACUAGAUUUUAUUAGUUGCAUUGUUCGGAAUAUUAUGGUAUCUAUGCUAGCUAUGAUCUCUCUUAGUAGUAUCGGAUACCUUUGCCAUGUUCUUACCACCAAUUGCCAUCGUCGUAGUAAAAUGCCAUGCUAUGAUAAUAUACAAGGGUGGUAUUAUUACAAUGUGAUACUAUUGAAUUCCAAUAUGAUUUUCCUAGUGUAUGGCAAAACAAGUAAUUCAAUGAAUCGUUCUGGGUGGGCGGCUUUGAGUUUUCGGAUGUCGUGACGUUAGGUCCAUUUCUAUGGGGCCCACUGAGUCGUCUCCCCGUGAGAUUCGGGGAGCGUCCAUGGUCGUCUCCCCGUGAGAUUCGGGGAGCGCUUGCGUCACAAUGUGGAAUGCCACCCGGGGUAACCAGAGACUGGACUAGUUUCCUGUUUAGUAGCUUCCAGUACAACCACAUGGUAUUAUGGGCUCUGCCAGGAUGGACGUAAGAAAUAUGAACCUGGAUCCGAGGUGACAUCGGUAUGUAGCAGUGUAGGUCGGAACGCGUCCCUCAGGUGGUUUGGGGGAAUAUGUUCUGAAAAUUCCUGUAAUCGAUGCCGUUGCUACUCUACCCUUAGGACAGCAAGGGAUUAACACGUCGAUUUCUUGUGGGUAAAGUGUACCACCUCUCGAGAGUGUCAAACUAAGUACUUAGCCUUGUCCCCGGUUACGGACAAUUAUGAGCAACUAGAUAUUGGGCUGUAAGGAAGGUCUCACUCAUUCCAAUUUCCUAAUAAAAUGAAUGGAUUGAACUGGGAAGGAGCAUUGAUGUAUCUACUCAAUGUGCCUAGGUUAAGAGGAGCAUUGAUGUAUGUACUCAAUGUGCCUAGGUUAAUAGGAGCAUGGGUGUUUCUACCCCGUGUCCAAUAGAAUUCAAAACUAUUUGUUUAAAAAUGAUAGGAUUGAAUAAUGAUGCUUUUAUGCAACUAGCCAAACCCUCCUAGCCAAAUUAUGCAUGUACUUGGUAGGUCCUUUAUAACUCUGGUGAACUUGCCAAUAAAUUCAAAUGUAUCGACCACGUAGGGGCUGCAAUUAACAAUGCAGGUGGAUCCGACGAUGAGUGAGGUUCGUCGUUAUGUUGUGGGUCAUGUGCUUACAUUCCAACAUGCUCUCACCUUGGAGUACUUGUGGCCCUUAUGUUCUACCCUUUUCCGCUGCAGUAUUUUGAAACAUUGUUUUAUGAUGUUCAAACAGUAUUUGCUUUAUGCUGACCCAAGAGGUCAUGCGAGGUUGUAAGUACUAUUUAAAUCCUAGAUGAUGCGAUGUAAUAAUGUACUUUUCACCUUUGCUUAUGUAUAUUUCAUCAUGAAACUGUGUGUGCUAGUGAGUCGAUCCAGGGACUAGCACAGUAAGCACAGAGAUCGAACCCUGUAAGGGGGAGGAUCGCUUCAGAUGGUAUCAGAGCAAUGUGUUGCCUGUAGGAACGUGACCCUAGUUUGGAUUAGGAUGAGACAAAACCAAGGACCAAACCUUAGGAUUAUUUCUUAUUCAUAUCUGAUCUAUAUAUAUACACAUAUAAUUUACUCCUUAUCCCUAUUCAUCGAACACAUUGCAUUUAUAUCUUACAUAUGCAUGACAUGUUUAUUGCUUUUAUUCCUACAUAUACACCAAAUACUAUGCCUUAUACCACAGAUGCAUGUUUAUUUUAUUAUACCACAGAUACAUAUUUAUUUUGCUAUACCAUCCACCACUAUAAUCAUGUUGCUAUGUUAUUAACAUAUUAUUAUGCAUCCAAUUUUAUUCCACCAUAUAUAUAUUAAAUUUUAUCGCUUUACUCCCACUCUACUACCUUUAAACUAUUUUUUUUACAUACAUUCGACCAUUUUGAUCAUGUCACUGAUACUCCCUUACCUUCCUUCUUGUUUUGUAUAGAUGGGAAGCCCAACACCUUUCGGCAACGUACCGCCGUUUACCCGAGUCUACUACCCCUCCACAGACGACGACCAGUUGUUCAGUGCCUCUUUGGCAGCACUGUGUGCGUCUCUUGACCUGCCACCACCCAGGUUCAGAGGCCGAGUCGAGCCCGCCGUGCCAGAAGGAUGGCAGCCACGGUGGGAGAUUGAGGCGAAGAUCCGCGGGCAUGAGAUCGCGCCUGCUACACAGGAUAUCACCUUCAUCGCCCGCUACCCCACCUUCGAGCAAGGCCUUCAGUUCGCCAUGCAGUGCGCCUUCGCGCAGGUGUGCCGGGACUAUCAGCACAAGUUUACCGAGACCUCUCCUUUCCGUCUCUUUGGAAGGCGGAACCACACGUGCCAGGCCAUGCCAGCAGCCGACGACCAGGAGGUGUCCGAGGUGGCUGCCUAGUUCUAGAGCAUGGAGAAGAACACCGAGGAUCAAGAGACCUGCCUUGGUGAGGAGAUGACCAGGACCGACGAUGCUGAGAAGCUAGUCGGUCAUCUACUGGAAGAGAAGACCCAAUGGCAGGAAGAUAAGGCAUUGCUACAGAACACCGUCCUCAACAUGGGAGAUGCCAUUGACCAGUUGAAGUACGAGAGAGACCUGGCUCGCUACUACUGCGAGCAGUUCAAGGCCUUCAUCGAGGCAGCAGCCGUAGCCGCCGCCGAGCCAGCACCAACUGCCGCACCGGCACCAGACCAGGCCCCACCUCCACCACAGGAUCAGGAGGUGGUACCUCAGGAGGUAGCGCCGACUGAGCAGGAGGAGCCCCAGGAGGUCCACGAGAUGGACACCCCUGCCACCAACACCCGCUCCAAGAGGAAGAGGGUGAAUGGAGCCACGACGACAGCCACACCUCCCUAGUCUCGUAGCCUGCCAGUCUUGUAUCAGUUAACUAUCGUUAUCAGUUUUGCGAGUUAGUCAUUGACCAAUGUAGAUCGAUUGCAUUUUCCUGUACUCUUUUCUUAUGGGCAGUACCCCAUCAUGAACAAGUGUGUUUUGCUAUAUUUUCCAAAAUCUUUUUAUGAUUGAUUGAGUGUAUGAUUGAUAUAUGCUUGAGUCAAUAUCUUGUUUUGGGGGACUUAGACAUCCUUAGCUCUAUUCUAUCUUGAUACGGGUGCGGGUGGCCCGAUCUUUCGAUGAUAUUGAUAACUCUCGAUUUGGGUAGGAGGUGACGUUGACGAUCCGACUACGGCCUAGGAGAGCGCCUUAGCAAUCGAUACACCAACUCCAGAGGGUUAUUGAUCACGCGGGGGCACGAUCAACCUGACCACGAAGGUGUUGUUCCUGCAAGCAAUCGAAGAACAAGCAAGAACAAGAUAAAUACCAGAUGCAAUCUAAAAUUGCGAAUAUACUAUAUCAAACCAAUGUCUCAACGAGACGAUAAGUUGGGGUUCCGAAAGCGGUAAAACAGGUGGUCUAAACGACACACGCGAUUACACGAAGUAGUAGCGAUGGCUAACUUUUAGCUAAACAAAACCCAAGGCUCCUUAGGGGGCUCAUGGGUUAUAUAAAGGAGGAGGGAGAGAUAUUUUCGUCCACCUUGAGUAUUGAGUCCGAAAUCCAACUCUAUCUCUAACUUUCCUAACAAACUACAACUCUUUAGAAAACAGAAAAACAGAUCCGUCAGCUUGUUUUGUCCGCCACGGUCAGCACGAGUCGGAUCUCUUGAUGGGGCCAGAUCCGUUGGAAAGGUCUUGUAAUUACCUUUCCAACAAGUACUUGUUUGCUUGAUUUGGACUCCGGAUGCGGCCUGGGUGAUUAAAACAAAUUUGGGUCUCCUGACAGCUCGGACCCGAAUCGGAUUCAACUUUAAUUCGUGAUAUCUUUCUCUAGCAAGCUCCGAAUCAUGUGCCGUUUGAUUUGUUGGAAAGUAGACUUGAUAGGCUUCACUUUGAAUCUCCCUUUGCAGGCUAUAACACUUCAUCUUCACUUUGGACUUGUAAAGUUCAAUAAGAUGCCUACAUAAUAAGAUUACACAAGAUAGUAGCUCCGCCUCUUUGCAAGUAACAUAUUGAAAACAUUUUGUAAUUGAAUUCAUCUGAUUAUAAUUAUUAGAGACACCAACAAUUAGGGUUCUAAUGGUUGUAUCCAUGGUUAGCAUGUCCAUAUCAUCCUCCCUUUCUUGAAAGGAAAGCCGUCCUCAGCGUCGUUUAUGCUGAAAAUAUGCAAACAAAAGGGACAAGGUAUGCGCAUGGUAUAUGUAUAUAUCGUUAUUUUUAACUCCACUCCCAUGUUGCACAAUUAAUGUUUUAUAACACAAUCUCAUGAGAUAAUUAGUCACACAAUCAUCAUGAAUAUCAUUCCAGCAAGAAGAUUGACAAUAUGUUUUGCAUAUAUAAGUGAAACAACAUCUUGUAUUUGGUUUGCACCGCUCACCAUUAUACCAUCCCAACACUGGAGAAUAAUAAUUAAUAAUGUUACCCAAAUUAGUUACUACAAGAUGCUGAAAUUUAGAGCAUGUCAAAGCACUAAUAUUCGAAUAAUCGUGUAAAGAACUAAUUGGCAAAUAAUCAACACCACUAUUGGAGGUCAUAUCAAAAUGGUUAAGCAUAUGCAACAUAUUAUUUUUCUCUCAAAUCAAGAAAGUUAUCACAAGCAAUGCAAAUCUGAUGCACCCAAAAUUUAUUGUUCACGUCAUGUUCUCCAAUUAAUUGAAUAGUGUAUCCAUGGGCAUUAGCAAAAGAUUUUGAAAUUGUUAACUCGGAACCUUUAUCCAUUGCAUGUGACAAAUAUAUAGGUGCAUCAAGUUUAAUAGAACACAGAGAAUUAUUAGGCGGAACCAUAAGAAACACUUCUUCAUGUUUAAUUAAUUCAAUGCAACAUAAAUCAAAUUUAAUCAUCGCGUCACAAGUCUGUUCCAAAACAGCAGAUAACUCAUCACAUAAAUCAUUAUCAUUUGAAUCAAUGGGUGCGCUCAAAUCGGCAAGUAAAUCAACAAUUUUACAAGGGGCAGCAUGUUCAUCAAAUAUCUCAUUUAUUUCAAUACACGUCAUAUUUAGUUCAGCAACACAAACCUCUGUAACAUUACCUUGUGGGCUCGCCUCAUUUGUAUUAUACCUUCUUUCUAACUUUCUCUCAGCUUCACGAGCAAGAUUAAGCAAACACAAUAGAGAGUCGUAAUCCCCAUAUUCAAUCACGUAAGAAAUUUCAAAAUUAAGCCCAUAAUAAAACCUAUCCAUUUUUCUUUGUUCGGUUUCAUCUAAACCAGAUCGCAAGGUUAAAAUUUGGAACUCAUGGUAGUAAUCAUCAACAGUUUUAUCAUCUUGUGUCAAACGUCGUAAUUUGGAACGCAACUCAUAAGCAUAACUUGGAGAAACAUAUUUUUCUCUCAUGAUUUUCUUCGUAUCAAUCCAAGUGUGAGGUAUUUUGUUUUCUCUAACUAUCUCACUCCACCAUGAUAAUGCAUCAAAACGAAAUCUACUACUAGCAAUUUGGACCUUACGACUAUCUAGUACAUGGAAGCAUGUGAAUUGCUCAAUUAGAGCUAUUUCCCAAUCAAUAUAAGCUUCAGCAUCAUUAUUUCCAUCAAAGAAAGGUCCAAAACAAUUAAUGACAUUACAAGGAUUGCGAUAUACCUUUUCCUUGCCAAUGUCAACAACAGACGAGGAGGAUGGAUGUGGUGAAAAACGCUCAUGUCGGUCACUUGAUAGCAUAGGCCUAUUUUCCAUCCUUUGUGUAAGUCCUGUCAUGGUUAGUAUAAGACAAGAAACAAAACACAGGAAUAUGUUCCUAUCAACUAAUAGGAUGUGGCUACAAGUCGCUCAACUAUCAAGCUAAAAAUCAAGUUCUUACAAGUUCUUACCAUGCAAAAUAGGAAGGUGAUGGCCAGCGGCGUGACCAAGCCCUCCGAAGAUUAAAUGUAUCGAUGCCUCGGUAACAAAGCAACCUAGGUGUAGAAUCUGUGGAGCUUGGAGGCUUUUGUGAGUAGCAAAGAAUAGCAAAUAAUCAAAUCAGCAAUGCAAAGUUGAAAAUAUGCUCAAUAAUGCUAGUCCUAGCUGCUGGAGUCGAUAAGAACGAAUUACAGAAAUAAUCUAAGCCUAGAUACUGAAGAAGAUAGGAUAGAAAGAUCAAACGAUGGCACAACAAGUAAAUCCCUGAGAUUUUUUUCUUCUUUUUUCUUUUUGUGGCCUUCGGUUUGGCUUCUUAUUCUUUUCUUCUUUUUUUUUCUUUUUUUUUUAACCCCAGAAACUCACGCAAAAGAAGGACCGGAAAACUGUACGUCGGUCUAUCGAAGAACAGCAAAGGCUGCAGUAACAAAAAUUCAGAAAAAUAUGAAAAAAUAUGGGUUAGAAGCGUAUCGACACAAGCUUUCUAGCAAGGGCAAGAUCACUCAAAACGGAUGUCGGACGGUGGAGAAAACUGAGAAACACCGGGCUGCAGCGACGCCGGAAAACGGAUGCAGAAACUUGGAAGCUCCGAAAGUCCACCUUACAAACUGAAUUUGAGGGUCAAAGUGUAGGGCUAUGCCCUGGAUAUUUCCUGAUGCGCCUCGUCGUGAGCUUUCCAAAAAGUCCAAGAACGUCCAAAUCCGAGUUAGUACGCAAAAGAUACGCCCGUUUUACUGAACACGGGUCAAACCCACCCGAAACUAAAAUUCUACUCGGACUCGGGUCCGAAACUGACUCGAACUCUUUCUCUUUUUUUUUUGUUUUUUUUUUCUCUCUUUCCUUUUUUUUUCUUUCCUUUCUUUUUUUUUCAACUUUCCAAACAACUUGAUCUCUAAACCAAAUUCGAUCGAUGAUGAAACACUUUUCAAAAGCACUCCUUAUUGGACUCGGACUCGAACUCACGGCUGAAAACUAUUACUUGCCGACUCGAUGUAGAACUCGAAGAGAGACACAAUGUAGGACUUGACGAGGGACUCGGUGUAGGACUCGAAGAGAGACUUGGUGUAGGACUCGAUGAGGGACUCGGUGUAGGACUCAAAGAGGGACUCGGUGGAAGAUAUGGUGGCGGCGGGAGAUUAUGGCAAUCGAUACACCAACUCCAGAGGGUUAUUGAUCACGCGGGGGCACGAUCAACCUGACCACGAAGGUCUUUGUUCCUGCAAGCAAUCGAAGAACAAGCAAGAACAAGAUAAAUACCAGAUGCAAUCUAAAAUUGCGAAUAUACUAUAUCAAACCAAUGUCUCAACGAGACGAUAAGUUGGGGUUCCGAAAGCGGUAAAACAGGUGGUCUAACCGACACACGCGAUUACACGAAGUAGUAGCGAUGGCUAACUUUUAACUAAACAAAACCCAAGGCUCCUUAGGGGGGCUCAUGGGGUAUAUAAAGGAGGAGGGAGAGAUAUUUUCGUCCACCUUGAGUAUGGAGUCCGAAAUCCAACUCUAUCUCUAACUUUCCUAACAAACUACAACUCUUUAGAAAACAGAAAAAUAGAUCCGUCAGCUUGUUUUGUCCGCCACGGUUAGCACGAGUCGAAUCUCUUGAUGGGGCCAGAUCCGUUGGAAAGGUCUUGUAAUUACCUUUCCAACAAGUACUUGUUUGCCUUAUUUGGACUCCGGAUGCGUCCUGGGUGAUGUUUCCUCAUCUAUGCUACCCAAAAACAGAUGCCUCCGAGAUGCCAGAACCCCGCCAACAACGCCGAGGCUAACAACGCCGAAGCUAACGGGAAUGCUGCCACCAUGCAGCAACUAUUGGCCGCCCAGACCCAGUUCUUCUAGCUAAUUACUCACGAAAUGGCCAACAACAACAACAACAAUCAACAGAACAACAACAACCAGCAGCACCACCCACCUCAAGUGGAUAUGCUGACCAGAUUUCUGCGUUUGCGACAGCCCACUUUUUCAGCUCCACUGAGCCCAUUAUGGCUGAUGAUUGGCUUCGUUCAGUCAACAAGAAUUUGGUCACCAUCAACUGCACUGAGGAAGAGAAAGUGCGGUUUGCAGCUCAUUUGCUAGAAGGACCCGCAGCGUCAUGGUGGGAAAAUUUUCAGAUCACCACCCCCAUCGAAGAUGUCACCUGGGACAUGUUCCAGGAAGCUUUCCGCACCACCCACAUCUCUGCGGGAGUGCUUAGUCUGAAGAAGAAGGAAUUUCACAGGCUGCGUCUGGGAAGCCGCUCUGUGUCGGAAUAUAUAGAAGUAUUCAACCAGCUGUCCCGCUACGCGCCGGACGAUGUGAACACUGAUGCCAAGCGCAGAGAGAAGUUCUUGGACGGUUUGAACGACGAGCUGUCAGUUCAACUUGCUGUUGCUUACACCCCCACUAACCAGUCCUUGAUUGACAAGGCCAUCAUUUUGGAAAGUAAGCUCACUCAAAUGGAGAGCCGCAAGAAGAGACUUCACUAAGGAGGCCCUCACACCGGCCCGCACCAGAAGUAGCGCACCUCCUAUGAUAGAAGUGGCAGUUCCUCCUUGAGCAGGAACAGGAAUCAGAGCAGCCACCGCAGUGGAAGUAAUGGUCACAACCACCGCCAGGGAAACCAAGGACACCACCAUCAGGGUGGCAAUGGGAACCGGCACCAUCAGCAGCACCACCAGCAGCAUCAGUUCUCUCGCCCAAGGCCCACCAAUGGCAAUGGGAAUGGCAGGAAGAACGGCAAUGGUCAGAACCACAACGCCAACAAGGACCUGAGCAAGGUGAGUGUUACAAGUGUCACAAGAUGGGGCACUACGCCACCAACUGCCCGAACAACUAGGAUGGCACUGGGAACAAGCCCAAUCCGUUCCAGAAGGGCCACGCGAAUCACGUGGACGUGGAAGAGAUCACCGAGGAACCAGGUAUCAUACUUGGCAGCUUCCACAUUAAUUCUUUUGAAGUACUAGUUCUUUUCGACACUGGUGCAUCACAUGCAUUCAUUUCAAGAGUAUUGGUAGAAAGAGGAAAAUUACCCUCUGAGACCAUGGGUAGACCCAUGAAAGUGAAUUCACUGGGUGGAACAAUACUAGCAACCUGACACUGCCACCAGCUACCCCUAAGUAUUGGGAGACAUGUUUUUUCCCUUUGAUCUCAUAGUGAUAGAUUCCCGAGGACUGGACCUAAUCCUGAGAAUGGACUGGUUGACCUUGUAUGAAGGUUUAGUAGACUGUGCCCAGAGGACUGUCACACUCACAACCCCUGACAAAAGACGCAUCCGGUACAAGUCAACCCAUGAGCUUAAGAGACCCAAGAUUAAUACUCUUAAGGGGGUUAGCAUGGACGAAGUACCCAUGGUGAAGGAAUACCCGGACGUAUUCCCAGAGGAAUUACCAGGCAUGCCACCGGACCGUGAUGUUGAAUUCCUCAUUGAGUUAAUGCCAGGAAGUGGACCCAUAGCCAAGAGACCAUAUAAGAUGGCCAUGGAUGAAUUAAAGGGGUUAAAGAAGCAGCUAACUGAACAGUUAGCGAAAAGUUUCAUCCGCCCCAGUUCAUCACCAUGGGGAGCACCUGUCCUGUUUGUGGAAAAGAAGGACAAGACUCAACAGAUGUGCAUCAACUUUCGUUCACUAAAUGAGGCGACGAUAAAGAAUAGAUAUCCUUUGCCCAUAAUCAAUGAUCUUUUCGAUCAAUUGAAGUGAGCUCAAGUGUUCUCAAAGAUCGACCUGCGAUCAGGAUAUUUUCAGCUAAAGAUCCGAGAGAUGGAUAUACCCAAGACAACAUUCACCACUAGGUAUGGAUUGUAUGAGUAUACAGUGAUGCCAUUUAGUUUGACCAAUGCACCUGCAUACUUCAUGAACAUGAUGAAUAAGGUGUUCAUGGAUUUCUUGGACAAGUUUGUCAUACUAUUCAUCGAUGGCAUCUUGAUCUAUUCCAAGAGCAAGGAAGAGCAUGAGCAGCAUCUGCGCAUGAUUUUGGAGAAGUUGAGAGCGCACAAGUUGUACGCCAAAUUCAGCAAGUGGGAUUUUUGGUUGUCAGAAGUUAGUUUCCUUGGACACAUAGUGUCAGGAGCCGGAGUAGCUGUUGACCCAGCUAAGGUUGCAGCAGUUACAGAAUGGGAGGCACCGAAGAAUGUCGGAGAAGUCCGCAGCUUCCUUGGACUGGCUGGUUACUACCGGAGGUUCAUUGAGAAUUUCUCCAAAAUAGCAAAACCCAUGACUGAGCUCUUAAAGAAGGAGAAGAAGUUUGCCUGGCAUGAGAUAUGUGAAGAGAGCUUCCAGGAUUUGAAGAAAAGACUAGUGUCUGCGCCCAUCUUUGUUUUGCCUGACCUGCAACAGUAUUUUCAAGUAUACUGUGACGCCUCACGUCAAGGAUUGGGAAGAGUGUUGAUGCAAGGAGGUAGAGUCAUAGCGUACGCUUCGCGCAACUAAAGAGCCACGAAGGCAACUAUCCCACUCAUGACUUGGAAUUAGCUUCGGUAGUGCACGCCCUGAAGACUUGGAGACACUACCUGAUGGGGAAACACUGUGAGUUCUUUACUGAUCACAAGAGCCUGAACUACAUAUUCACUCAGAAGGAGUUGAAUCUGAGGCAGAGAAGAUGGUUAGAACUGAUAAAGGACUAUGACCUGAGUCUGCAAUACCAUCCAGGCAAGGCUAAUGUUGUAGCCGAUGCAUUGAGCCGCAAGGGCUAUAUAAAUGGACUAACAGCUGGAGAUUUAACGCCUGAAUUGUGCGAACAGUUCAAGGACCUCAGACUGAAAAUAGUACCGAAAGGUUAUUUAGCCACUUUGGAAGUACAGCCCACGUUGUUGGAUAAGAUUAGAGAAGCACAGAAGGGCGAUUUGGAAAUAAAGGAAGUAAAAGAGAAUAUGAAUAUCGGAAAGGCUAAAGAUUUCUGAGAGGACGACCAGGGUACCAUAUGGUUCGGAAAACGCAUUUGCGUACCACAGGAUCCGGAAAUCAGAAAGUUGAUACUGCAAGAAGCCCAUGAUUCACCGUACUCAAUCCACCUCGGGAACACUAAGAUGUAUAUGGACCUAAAGGAAACAUUUUGGUGGUCCGGAUUAAAGCGAGACAUCGCCGAGUUCAUUGCCUUGUGCAAUGUGUGCAGCAGAGUUAAGGCAGAGCAUCAGAAACCAGUAGGAUGGAAGUGGGAUAAAGUAGGCAUGGAUUUUAUCACCGGGUUACCAAGGACCAGAUCCGGAUAUGAUUUCAUUUGCGCAGUGGUUGACCGUUUGACCAAGGUUGCCCACUUUAUACCGGUAAAGACUACCUACACUAGUGCACAGUUAGCGAAGCGCUACAUGUCAAGGAUCGUGUGUUUACACGGAGUACCCAAGGAAAUAGUUUCAGACAGAGGUACCCAAUUUACCUCAAGAUUUUGGGGACAACUACAUGAGUCUCUAGGAACGAGACUAGAAUUCAGUACAGCAUUUCAUCCGCAGACGGAUGGACAGACCGAGAGAGUAAAUCAGAUCCUUGAAGAUAUGUUGAGAGCUUGCGCUCUAGAUUAUGGAUCCAGUUGGGAUGACAAUCUGCCGUAUGCAGAAUUCUCAUACAACAACAGCUUCCAACCCAGCAUAGGAAUGUCACCGUUUGAAGCUUUGUAUGGAAGGAGGUGCAGGACACCAUUGUUGUGGGAUGGUGUAGGAGACCGUAGCCUAUUCGGCCCAGAUUUGAUAAAGGAUGCCGAGGAAAAGGUUAGGCUCAUCCGAGAUAGACUAAAGGUAGCUCAAUCAAGGCAGAAGAGCUACGUGGAUUCCAAACGUAGGGAGGUUACCUACGAGAUUGAAGGUAGAGCAUAUCUCAGAGUGUCACCGAUACGCGGAGUUAAGAGAUUUGGAAUCAAGGGAAAGUUAGCACCCUGUUUCAUUGGACCUUUCAAGAUCUUGUCACGCCAAGGAGAAGUGGCUUACAAGUUGGAUUUACCAGAAGCACUGUCCAAUGUCCACAAUGUCUUCCAUGUAUCCCAACUAAAGAAGUGUCGUCCUGAGAUGGCCGACACACCAUUGAGGGAUACGAUACCUCUUGAGGAAGUCCAACUGCAGAGUGACCUCACCUAUGAGGAGAAACCGAUCGGAAUCUUGGAUACAGCUGAGAGACAAAACCGAUCAAAGACCAUCAAGUUUUGCAAAGUGCAGUGGGACCAUCACACUGAAGAGGAAGCCACUUAGGAACGCGAAGAUAAUCUUCGAGAAAACCACCCACACCUAUUUGCUAACCACACCGAAUCUCGAGGACUAGAUUCAUCUUAAGGGGGUCAGGUCUGUAACAUCCCAAAAUUUUCAAACUUUUACAUGUGCAUUGCAUCCAUAAGCAUCAUGCCACAAUUGCAUAUUUGAAUUCAAAUUUGAAUCUCAAAAGGCUUUGCAAAGAUUUUAUUUCAAUUUAAACCCUAAGGUUUACAACCAUUUGAGCUUUGGAUCUUCAAACCAAUAGGGUUUAUUUAUAAAAGGGGUUUAUUGCAUAAAUAAGCUAUCCCAUAAUUUUUGGAUAAUUAUUUGCAGUUGAAAAACUAUUUUAUUUAAAUAGUUAUAUAGCCCUAAAGGCAUUUAUAGGGCAAAUGUAUUUUUAGAUAUUUUAUUUUGAGGGAAAAUUACUCCCAAAAGUUGUAUCAUGAUAAAACAUGAUUUUACAAAUUUUCUGGAAUUUAUUUGGACCAAUUUGGGGCUCAAAAUCAAAAGAUAUCAAAGAAAUAAGAAAAACAGAAAAAGAAAAGGCUAAAAGAAAAAAAAAGGGGAAAACCGGACCGAACCGGCCCAGCUUCGCCCGAGCCGGCCCGAACCGGACCGACCCGGCGCCGCACGCGCACGCCCGAGCCACCGACAGGUGGAGCCCACCUGUCGGGGUCGUCUUCUCCGAGGGGAAAGCCCCGGAUUUCCGCCGCCCGCGCCGCCGCGCGCCGUCUCCGCCGCAAUCUCCUCCCCCCCGUCCUGAUUUCAUAGACCCGACCGCGUCCAUAUAGAGGCCACAGCCUCCUCUCUCUUUUUCCCCUAAACCCCCUCGCCACCACGCCGCCAGGCCGCCGGAAUACCUCGCCGGAGCAAGGAGUCCCCCGCCGCCGUUUUUGCUUCGGGUCAACACCACCGGUGAGCCUCUUCGCCCGAACCUUGCAAUUUCUGGACCGCAUCGUCCUCGCGCACGUUUUGACGCGUGCGGAAUUGUCCUAGGUGCGCCCUAGCAGCCAGAGCAGCGCCGACGACCUCGCCGGAGCCCGUGCCCUCGCCGCCGAGAGUCCCCGCAGUCCUAGACGUCGCCCUCGACCUCGUUUCGUCGCGCGGACCGCGUUACGGUCUUCACCUCAUCGCGCCGCACGCACCCGUGUCUUCCCUGAGCCGCCCGCGUCGCCGGAAUUGCCCGCGCUGCCGCCGCCUGUACCUGUGCCGCCGUCUCCCCCGUCUCCGGUGACCGCCGCCACCGCCAGGUAAACCAUGGCGCAUCUCAGCUGUCCAUUUCAUCCCAACGGCUAAGAUUAGAAGCCCUCGCGCCCUUUAAAACGAACCAGUAUCAUCCAAUGAGAUUGCGACACGUGGCACCUAUUUUAUAAAACAAAAAAUGUAAUUUAAUUCCCGGAAUAAUUAGAAAUGGCACUUUUGCAGAAAAGCCCCCAAAACUUCAAAUGAUCAUAUUUUUUAAUCUGUUUGGCGAAAUUUGAUCAUCCACACCUUUCUAGAAUCCUUAAGAAAUGUAGAAUCUUUGGCACUGUCUGAUUUCAAAUUUGAAUUUUUGAAUCACAGUCAAUUUAUAGAAUAGGGUUUAGUGCCAUUUAAAUCAUAACUAAUUAUUUGGAAGUCCUUUUUAAAUGAAACCAGUGCCCAAAAACUUGUUUUAUUAUCCUCUGUCCAUUGGGACAGAGCAAAAAAUGUUUUGAACCGCUUUUGGUGUUGCGGCGUGACUCCCAGGUGUUCUAGGCUCGCGUCUCUAGCACGGUAUUGCCUAGGGCCAGCACGGUACCGUCGUUGAGCUAUUAUUCAACUUGUGGCAUUACUGUUUUGAAUUGUUGCUACAGAUAUUAGGAUACAGCCACCCAAAGCUCCACAUAUUCCUACACCGUGCGUUGACACCGCCUGGCAAUCGCUUUAUUCAAUCUUCCUGAGGUUUAAUCACAACGGUUGCUAGUCACCACCUGCUGCAGGGUAAGAACGGGUAAGAAUCUUGGUUUGCUUGACAGAUUACGCGUUCUCCGCCACUUGCCCGAAGCAUAUACACCCAUAUUGCUGUGCUUUUUGAAUACUAAUCAUGAUAGGUGGGGAGGAGACUUCAGAACCAACAAGCGCUGAAGUACAGGCGAACUUCACCAAGCUUUUGGACGAUCACAUGCAGGACGUCGACAAACGCUUUAAUGAUACGAUGGAACACCUUGGGGGCCUCGAAACAUCUUUCACCGACAAGCUUGACGCCAAAUUCCGGGAGUUGAUGGCGCGCUUGCCACAACCUACCGCCACUCGGGCUCCCCCUCUCCACGCAUUCGCAGGGCGGGCACAGCGUGUUCCCGUUCACCAAGGUCAAACCUCGACUGCUGCUGCUCGUGAGGAGCAACAUGAGGAGUCUUACGGGGACGACGAGUCCAAGGGCAAGCGAGAGGACGAGGGGGAAGUUCUACAACAGCCGCGUGGUCGUCCACGCCCCUACAUUCGCCACGCACGCCCGCAUGUGCCGCCGGUACGUGAUGAUGACCAUGUUGCGAAAUUAAAAUUGACUAUACCCAUGUUUGAUGGUAGAUAUAAUCCUGAUGCAUACCUUUCAUGGGAAUUAGAUGUACAACAACAUUUUACAUGCUUAAAUUAUCCAGAGGAUAGACGUGUUAGUGCUGCUACUUGUGAGUUCACUAGUUUUGCUUCCAUCCGGUGGACUGAAUAUUGUCGUGUUAAUUAUGCUAAUCCAGUCACUACAUGGGAUGCUUUGAAACGGGCCAUGCGAACUCGUUUUGUGCCACCAUCAUAUCAGCGUACCUUGCUCAACAAAUUAACACGUUUAGAUCAGGGCAAAAAUUCUGUAGAAGAGUACUAUCAAGAAUUACAAACUGGUAUGAUGCGUUGUGGCAUAGUGGAAGAUAAUGAAGCUUUACUUGCACGAUUUUUCGAUGGGUUAAAUAAGGAGAUUCAGACCAUUCUUCGAUAUAAGUCAUACCAUACUAUAACUCGUUUGUUCCACCUUGCUUGCAAUGCUGAAUGUGAAGUGCAGGAUCGGAGAGAGGCGACCCGAACUAACUUUUCUGCAGGGCGUUCUAAUUCUUGGAGAACAUCGCCUUCUUCGUCACGGGCUGCUGCACCAUCCACUUCCACGCCCACACCCACGCGAGCUACAACUACUACAUCGCCUCCUGCGCCGCAUAGGAACGAAGGCCGGGAACAUGUUGGCUCCAAAAUGGGAGGGCCCCUUCCGGGUAGUGCAGGUGACCAGGCGGGGGGCUUUCCGGCUGGAAACUGAAGAAGGCUUGCCGGUGCAAAAUAGCUGGAAUAUUGAGCACAUGCGCAAGUUCUACCCGUGAAGCGGCGGAGCCCAACCCACAGGUGAUGCCGCCGAAGCAUGCCUCUCGAACUAGUGUACCUGGGCAACCCCCGAUUGUAAACCACUAGUUGCUGUGAAUAAAGAUAAGUGCUUUCUCCUAAAUUGCAAGUUGCCUCGAUUAUUUGCGUAUUUUCUCUCCUUCUGUCUCCUGCUUUAGGUGGACAGAAGUAUCUUUCUAUCCUUGGUUAUUAACAGGGGGUUGCCAGAGCCUCGAAACGAAAACCUGUUGCUGGAUCACUCCGGCACGGGGUCAUGCCGUUGCCGGGCUCCCCGCAACAUGCAUCACGCAAACGCUGCGUCUUGGAAUAGAGGAGUGCUCACACCCAAGUUUGGUAUCGACCCUUCUGUGCUCGGGGGCUGGGAGGCAAGAGGGUUAUCCAUGUUGCCCCGUGUUUUCGUGAAUUUCGAAAAAAAUUUGCAGCAUCCUGGGCUUGGUAAGAAUCUGACACGCAGGAAAAAACGGAGUCGGGCGCACUGUACUGCUCGUGGACCACCCACGGGUUGUGGCGCUUAGCGGUGCCUUGUAGUGUGGAGCGACCGCACUUCAAGGUUCUCGCCGCACUUCGAGGCUCCUGCUUCAGGGGGGAGCCGUCACGUGUGCCGCGGCGACUUGGCGUGCGUGGUGGCGAGGUCCUUACCGCACUUCAAGGGGUGUGGCACCACGGGGGCCGCGGUGACCCGGCGCGUGUGGGGGCAAGCCCCCCCUCCCCCCCCCCCCCCCCCGCGCCUAUAAAAGGGCGUACCAACCAUGGAGCAGCUCAGAGCGAAGCCAAGGAGAUGGUUGCAAAGACGAGCGAGGCCGCGGAGACACGGUGGUGGUGCAUGCCAUCCGCGCCCGACGCCGAUGGGUGCAAUGCCGUCGUGCCCCUGCCACGUCCCUCCGCCAGAAAGCUUCAAGCCCAGGAGCGCCGCAGAGACGCGAUGGCAGCGCAUUCCUCCGGCGCUCGUCGUCGGCGGGCGCUGCCAUCGCGUCCUUGCCGCGCCUCCUCCACCACGCGGUACUAAGGUGAGGGUUGCCGCUGUGGUGGCGCAACCACAGCGUUCCUGCCGCAUCCCUCAAGUGGGCUUCUCUAAAGGCGAGGGUUGCCGCGGUGACGCUGUCGGGGUGGCGCCACCCGUGCUUGGCGCCGGUGUUGCCCCCGCCACAGCGUUCCUGCCGCAUCCCUCAGGCAAGCGGAUUCAAGAGCAAGGGCUGCCGCGGCGAUGCUGUGGGGGUGCAUGCCAUCAGUGCCUAGUGCCGAUGGGUGCACAGCUACAGCGCCCCUGCCGCAUCCCUUCGACAAGCAUACCAAGCACGGGAACAAACGGAAAGCUAAGUACAUGAACCUGGUCCGGGAACUUUCUAAUACUAAACGUUGGAUCGCUAGCGUGGCCCAAACCUUGCGUGUGGCUGGGGUGUUAGAAGGACGCUCGCGGGGGGAGUGCGUUCCUCGUGCGGCUGGCGGGUCCGUCCCGGGAGCGCAUGCUGGGGGGUGGCUACCCCGCAAGCGGAGUGGCUCGCCGCUUGUCGCACCAGUGGCACUCGGGGUACCACCCUUGCACGACGCGUGGGUCGCAUCCCUGGGUUCCCGGGAGGAUCUCACCUCGGGCGGCAGUGUAUAGGCUGCCCGGCAAGCCACCAGCCUGGAAGGGCUCGCGGGGCUUCGGGGAAUGUUCCCGCCUGGGCAUCUCUCGGGAAGUCACUCGCCGGGAGGAGGGGUUCCUGGGCGCAGGUUCCCGCUGUGAGGGCGGGGCCGAGCCGGCAGAGCAGCGACGCCACGUGGGCGCGCGCCAGGCACCUAGUGUGCAGUUUUUCCAGGGCAAGGAGUGAGGCGCACGGCGCAUUUAAUGAGCCGACAGGAGGGGCGUUACCCGUCUAGUCAGGCGAACAGUGGCCGUCCAGUCCUAUGUUUUAGGCCCUAGAUCCCUAGCCGCGGGGUUGGCACCCGUGCAUGCAUGCCAGCGCACCGAGGAGGAGCUGCCUAAGCUCCUUGCUCGCCACUUGUAAACCAUGCACCGUGGCACCUGUGGUAUCCCCUUGGGUAUAAAAGGAGGACCCCCACCAACGGUCAAAGGGUUCUUUUUUUCGUUGGUUCAUAGUUGUUUUGUUCGUUGGUUGCACGGGCAGUAGUCUAAAGUAGAAGAGAACACUUAGCCAAAAAGAGACCACUCGGGGGCUCCCCCCCGGCAACCUCUAAACAACAGAUUCCACAGCAAUACAAGCUCAGACAAGCAGGACGUAGAGUUUUACACCGCAAGGUGGCCCGAACCUGGGUAAAAAGUGUGUGCAUGUGCCCUUGGUAGCGUUCCUGGUGCAUUCCUUCAACUUCAGCAGCCAGAGCGGGGCCGAGGCCUGCCGACGGCGGCGCCGGCAAGGAGGAAGCCCAGGGAGGACGCGGCCAGGCCCGCAUUGGCAGGGAGUGCCCUCCCCGAGGACGGGACAAGGCUCGUGCCGAGGAGCAGCGCGAGUCUGACUACACUGGCGGCGACGAGCCGGGCUUCCAGGAGCCCCCCGGCGUCGCCUGCAUCCAUGGGGGAGCGUAAGCUCCCCCAUCUGAUAUGGACAUGCUAACCAUGGAUACGACCUUUGAUACCCUCAAUUCUAUAAUACUUGACAAGAUUUAUAAUCAGGUGAAUUCAAGUAGUAAUUGUUUUCAUUGUCAUACUUAUGAAGAGGCGGAGCUACUACUAUCUUGUCUCGUUUUAUUACGUAGGCAUCUUGUCGAGCUUUUCAAGUCCAAGGUCAAGAUGAGAUACGGUGGAGGCGAACGGAAGGGCCAACAAGAAUCAAGCAUUCAUACAGCUGAGAGGGAAGGAUUUCAAGUGUACUUUCCAACAAAUCAAACGGCACAUGAUUCGGAGCUUGCUAGAGAAAGAUAUCACGAAUUAAAGUUGAAUCCGAUUCGGGUCCGAGCUGCCAGGAGACCCGAAUUUGUUUUAAUCACCCAGGCCGCAUCCGGAGUCCAAAUCAAGCAAACAAGUACUUGUUGGAAAGGUAAUUACAAGACCUUUCCAACGGAUCUGGCCCCAUCAAGAGAUUCGACUCGUGCUGACCGUGACGGACAAAACAAGCUGACGGAUCUGUUUUUCUGUUUCCUAAAGAGUUGUAGUUUGUUAGGAAAGUUAGAGAUAGAGUUGGAUUUCGGACUCCUUAUUCAAGGUGGACGAAAAUAUCUCUCCCUCCUCCUUUAUAUACCCCAUGAGCCCCCCUAAGGAGCCUUGGGUUUUGAUUAGAUAAAGUUUAGCCAUCUUUGCUACUUUCGUGUAAUCGCGUGUGUCGGUUAGACCACCUGUUUUACCGUCGUCAAGACUCCAACUUAUCGUCUCGUUAAGACAUUGGUUUGAUAUAGUAUAUUCGCAAUUUUAGAUUGCAUCCGCUAUUUAUCUUGUUCUUGCUUGUUCUUCGAUUGCUUGCAGGAACAAAGACCUUCGUGGUCAGGUUGAUCGUGUCCCCGCGUGAUCAAUAACCCUUUGGAGUUGGUGUAUCGAUUGCUAAGGCGCUGCCUCCUAGGCCGUAGUCGGAUCGUCAACGUCACCUCCUACCCAAAUCGAGAGUUACCAAUCUCAUCGAAAGAUCGGGCCACCCGCACCCGUAUCACCAUCCCAUGCCGCGGUGAAGCGCCUCACCCGUGACGUGCGCGCAUUGUUGCCGUACGCGGAGCCGCAGCAGCCGCUAAGGUGGUCGCACGUGCUAAGGACCUUCAGCGCCGACGAUCACCCAGCGCGGCAGCUGGGUUCCGGGGUCAUACCCUUCGAGGUCUCACUGAUCAUCAGCAACAUGACGGUGACCAAGGUGCUGGUGGACAACGGAGCGAGGUUAAACCUCCUGUCCGCCAGGUUGGUGGAGAAACUCCAGUUGCCAGUGGAGCAGCUGAAGCCCACCGACCCGUUCGGGGGAGUAAACCCCGGGUUCGUGCGCCCCCUCGGGUCCCAGGAAGCGUUCAGGACUGAGCACAUAGUGUUCGGCGUGGCGCACACCCCGUUGCCCUACAACGGGAACCUUGAUCAGCCGGCACUGAUCAAGUUCAUGGCAGCGACGUAUUGCACCUACGGCGUGAUGAAGAUGCCGUCCGUAUACGGAGUCCUCUCCAUCAGGUGCGACCUCAAGGACGCGGCCUGGUGCGUGGGCGAGGCUGUCAGGGCCGCCGCCGCAGCCGACGCCGGGGACGAGGAUGUGGCCGGACACGGAGGCUCGCCGGGUGAUGGCCCGGCAACGAAGAAGGCCCGCGCUGCCCCGCAAGAGCUUGCCGGGGGAAGCGCAGGCUCGAACUCAUGCCCCGGCAAGGGCCAGAAGCUCCGGGAGGAGGCCCCUAAGGUGAAGAAGCUGCCCCUCCAAGCCGGCAACAAGGAGCGCACCGUCAUCGUCGGUGCGAACCUUACACCUGAAUAGGAAAGCGCCCUCAUCACUUUCCUCCAGGAGAAUGCCGAUGUGUCCGCUUGGGAGCCGUCGGAUCUCCCCGGAGUCCCUACGGAGGUGAUUGAGCAUCGACUCGCGGUGCGCGCGGACGCCUGCCCCGUCAAGUAGAAGAUUCGACGGCAAGCGCAGGAGCGCAAAGAUUUCAUCAAGCAAGAGGUGGACAAGCUCAAGGCUGCCGGGGUUAUCUGGGAAGGUUUUUACCCCACUUGUUUAGCUAACCCCGUAGUAGUGCCGAAGGCGGGGAAUAAGCUUCGCAUGUGCGUAGAUUUUACUGAUCUAACCGUGCAUGUCCCAAGGAUCCUUUCCCUGUACCCCGUAUCGAUCAAAUAGUUGAUUCCACCGCUGGUUGUGACUUGCUGAGCUUCCUAGAUGCUUUUUCCGGCUACCAUCAAAUUAAGAUGGCGGUCGAAGACGAGGAGAAAACGGCGUUCAUCACCGCGGCUGGCUGCUACUGUUACACGUGCAUGCCUUUCGGGUUGAAGAACGCGGGUUCAACUUUGCAGCGCGCGUGGUAAGAAUCUAAUGUGCAGGGUAAAGGCGGAAUCUUGCGCACUGUAAUGCUCAUGGACCAUCCACAGGGUCGUGGCGCGUAGCGGCGCCUUGUGGUGCGGAGCGACCGCAUCACGGGGGACUCACCGCACUCCGAGGCUCUUGACCCAGGACGAAGCCGCCACGUGUGCCACAGCAACUUGGCAUGCAGAGUGACGAAGACCGCAUUGUGCUGGUGCCACGGGUGUUGCGCUGGCCCGUCGUGCACGGUGGCAAGCCCUUCCCCCGCGCCUAUAAAAAGCGCGCCCCGGCCAUAGAACGUCUCAGAGUGAAGCCAAGGAAGAGGUUGCGAAGGCGGGCUGUGCCGCAGAGACGCGAUGGUAGUGCAUGCCAUCGGUGCCCACACCGACGGGUGCACUGCCAUCACGCCCUUGCCGCAUCGCCCCACCGAGCCCACUCCGAGGGGCGUCGCAGAGACACGGUGGGGGUGCAUCCCACCGGCGCCUGGCGCCGGCGGGUGCACUUCUGCAGUGCUCCUCUAGAGGGCGAGGGCUGCCGCAGAAGCACUGUGGUGGUGCAUUCCAUCCGCGCUUGGCACUGACGGGUGCACUGCCGAAGUGCUCCGGCCGCAUCCCUCCAGAGGGUAUCUCCGCAAGGAGCGAGGGGUGUCGCGGAGACACUAUGGUAAUGCAUGCCAUCGGCGCUCAGCGCCGACGGGUGCACUGCCGUAGUGUCCCAGCCGCACCCCUCCAGAGGCGAGGGUCGUCACAAGGAUGCUAUGAUGGCGCCGGUGCCGGCGUUCGCUGCGGCCCCCCACAGCGUCCCUGCGGCGUCCCUCUGGCAGAUUUUCCCCAAGCAGCGAAGGAUGCUGUGGGGACGUCGUGAUGACCUCGCCACCCGCGUGCCGGUGGCGGCAAGGAAGUCACGACGUCCCUGCUGCAUCCCUUGGGACAGGUUCCUCCGAAACCAAGGGCUCUCCUAAAGGCAAGGGUUGUUGCGGAGAUGCGGCGGUAGUAUCGGUGUCGGUGCUUGACGCCGGCGGCAAUCCUGCGGCGGCGUUCCCGCCGCCUCCCUCAAACAGGCUUUCUCAAGGGCAACAUACCAGGCGUGCAAGCAAACGUUCCGAGCAUGAGACCGAACGAGAAGCUAAGUGCUUGAACCUGAACGAUAAACUCUUUAAGAAUUGAACGUAACUGAACGCUGCCUCACUAAGGGUGGCCCCGGAACCUACGUGUGGCCGAGGUGUUAGGAGGACGCUUGCGGGGGGAGUGCGCUCCCCGUGUGGCCUCCGGGUCCGUCCCAGGAGGGCAUGGCUUGGAGUAGUUACUCCGCAAGUGGAGUGGUCGCGCGCUAUUUCUUGACCCCAGGUCGGCACUGCGGGUUCGUCCUGGGUCCCUGGUCUGGUCAAGAGUGAGGCGCGCGAGUCCCCGGCAACACGAAGCACACCACAGAAAGGCAAAGGGACCCACCCUGCGAGGCAGCCCCGGGAACAGGGAGCAAGGAUUAAGCAGAACUAAAAAGCUUGAUUAACUAAGUACCGAAUGAUUACAUUAACUAAUGAAAAUGUAAUUGUUCAAACGGCGCCAAGCGCCACACUUGCAGGGUGAAAACGAAAGAAGGUAAACAAGAAAACGGCAAAGGCCGGCAGGAGGCUGCGGCAACUAGUUGCCGGCGUCUUCUGCCGGGGGCUCCGGGGACGGCUCGGGGUCCGGCUUCCGCUGCAUCCGCUCGACCACCUCGUCGAUGAACCCACACACGGCCUGAGUGUGGGUGGGCUUGUCCUUGCUGUCCGACUAGGCGUCCAGCAGCGUCUCGAAGGGAAACUCCGGGUCCCGGAGGUGUAUCCUCUGAAGGAUCGUCCCAGCAACUUCCCGGGCACAGUUGGCAACCUCGUUGGCGCCAAACUGGGCGAUCCCGACGUCGAGUGCCCCGAACUUCCCCACCAGAUCGGAGAAGAAUGGGAUCAGCGUCGAGACAUCCGUGCCGUCGACCUCCGCGGCCUGCAGCUCAAACCGGGGCAGCAGGCCCCGCAGUGCCUGGGCGAUCUUGAGCAGCUUCUCAGUCUCCAGAUGCCGCUCCCCGAUCAGCGUGCCGUGGUGGAGCCGGGCGUCGUGCGCGGCCUUCUUGGCCUUGCGGAGGUGGCUCUCCAGCGUCGCGAGCUCCGCGGCCUUGGCUACGUUGUCCUUGCCGGCCUUGGCGAGCUCCUCCUGGACAGUAGCCAGCUCGGGCUCGAGCCGGGGCGCUCUGUCCUUGGCGGCGCUGAGCUGGAUCUCGUGCCGGGCCGCCGCGCCGGCCGCGCCCAGCGCGCCUUUGGUCGCCUUGACCUGUACCUCCAGCUUGACGCGCAGGCCCUGGUUCUCACCGAGGUAGUUGGCGAUCAGAUCGCUCUUCUCGCCGAUCCGAGCCUCGGCUGCAACGAGCACCUCGGCGUGCUCCUUCUUGGUUGCCGGUUGAGCCGCCACGAGCGAGUCCACGGCCCCCUGGAGCUCGGUGCGCUGGGCCUCCAGCCGCCGGUAAAGCUCCUCCUCGGGGAUGACCGGUGUGUCGGCAUUCUCCAGGGCUUCCAGGGCAAGGCGCGCCUCCUCCCUGGGAAGGCGCGUCUCCUUCCGCAGCCGGGAGAGUUCCUGCCGCUCCUUCUCCACGGCUUGCCGCAGCUCGCCAAGCUGGCUCUUGGCGAUGGCGUGAUGCUCCCUCACCUCGUUGAAGGAGGUGACGAAGGCCAGUUGCUGGUCCUUGACGGCGUCGAGGAACCGGUGCCCUCGGUCGAAGACACUCGGAUCCCAGGUGAUGGGAUUCCAAGCCACCGUGGCAAGGGUGCCGAGGUCGGUGUUGAAGGAGGCAGCCGAUGACGAUGAAGCCCCAGCCACCACCUUAGAGCUGGGCGAGGGGUCGCCCGCCUGUGCCGGAGCGUCCUGUCGCUCCUCCCCGGCAACCUCCCUCUCACCCGCGCCCGGGGACUGCAGGGCUGGUGAGGCUGCCGCGCCCCCGGCAGGGACCGUCCCCUACUAGGCGGCAGAAGAAUCCACGCCAGCAGCGUCCGCGGCUGCAGGCGCGUCGCCGGGCGCCAUCCCGGGGGCGGCGGUGUUCACCGCGGCCGCCGUGGCCGGCGCAAUCGGGCUUGUUGCGGUGGCCACUUCCGGCUCCUCCGCCACCCCCGUGACCUCGACGUCGGAGUCGAGGUCAACCACAGCAGCACCCGCUCCCGGUGCAGGUACACUUGGGCCUGCAGCGGCGAGAAGUGUGAGAAGCGGGAAGCUAAAAAGUUGCCCAGAGGCGGAUAAGGGGGCUUAGGAUGGUUACCUUGUAGGGCCGUUGGGCUUGCGGGGGGAGCCUCCCCUCAUCCUCCGUCCCGGCAGGGGUCUCUAGGAGGCUUGCUGCGGGUGGAGUGUCGCCUACGGCGAGAGAAGGUUCAGUUACGUGGUUAGCUGAGAAUCGAAAGUAAAUGGAAAGGGGGCAAGAAGGAACUGCAGCUGUUGCCGGUGCCACCUCCGUUGGGGUUGGGUCACCGACAGGUGCGAUGGUGGCGCUAAUGGCCCCAGUGCCGGCCGGGUCGGCAGCGCUGCCGGCAUCCGCGCGUGCCUUCUUGCUAGGCGCAGCAGGCGGGGAGUCAUCCCUCCCCCUCUUGCUGGCGCUCGCCGACGAAUCGGCCCUUGAUGGAUUGCGCCGAAGCGUGUCAUCGCACGGGUCUCCGACACCAGGGGCGUGCUGGCACACCCCCUUUUAGGUUCGGCAGGGGCGUUGAGGAUCGCUCCGGUGAUCGCCGGUGUGGCCGAUGGCGUACGUAGCCUGAAAAGAGGCACACCUUAGGUACAUGCAAGUAGAGAACACAUGCACGAGCAUUUUUACCCAGGUUCGGGCCACCCGGAGGUGUAAAACCCUACGUCCUGCUUGUCUGAGCUUGUAUUAACCAAUGAACAAGAGUUUACAGGUUGCCGGGGGGAGUCCCAGGAUGCUCUCCUUUUUGGCCAAGUGCUCCUUGCUACUCUCCGCUAAUGCUAGAGGCUAACUGUGAGCCGUCGAACCUAGAACCAACUAAAAUCAGAACCGAACCCUUUGACUGUUGGCAGGGGUCCUCCUUUUAUAGCCAAGGGGAUGCCACAGGUGCCACGGUGCAUGGAUUACAAGUGGCGAGCAGGGAGACAAGGCAACUCCCCCUCGGUGCGCCGGUGGCAUGCAUGGGUGCCAACUCCUCAGCUAAGGGUCUAAGGCCUAAGAAUUAGCCCUGGACAACCACUGUUUACCUGACUAGAUGGGUAACUCCUCGCCCUGGCGGGACUGCGCACGGGAUGCCUGACGCGCGCCCACGUGGCGCUGUUACUCUGCCUGCUCGGCCCCGCUCUCACGAUGGUGGCUUCCCAGGAGGUGGCCAGGCGGGAAUAUUCCCCGAAGCCUCGCUAGCCCUUCCGGGCUGGGGGCUUGCUAGGCAGCACGUUAAGUGCUUCUCGGGAUGAUGCCUUCCCGGGAACUCGGCGAUGCGACCCACGCGUCGCGCAACGGUGGUACCCCGGGAGCCACUGGUGCGAUAGAGCGCGAAGCCCCGGAAGACCCCCCGAGCAGGCGGAACCAUGGUUGCCCGUGGUGUUGCCGCGUCCCGGGGCACUGCGGGCACCGACGACGAGGCCGCCGCAACGGGCCUUGGCAGCCACUACUGAGGUAGCCGCCACCGGGUCGCUGGCGGUCACUGCCGGGGGGGUCUCCGCCGUGGCUCCGAUGACCGCCACGGGUGCGGUCGCUGCCGAAGUGCCGGCGGACGCCUCUAGGGUGGCUGCCGCCGCUGGAGCCAAUCGUCAGCCAUAAUAGGUUCAGUGGAGCUGAAAAACGUGGGCGGGCGCAAACGCAGAAAUCUGGUCAGCAUAUCCACUUGGGGUGGGUGGUGCUGCUGGUUGUUGUGGUUCUGCUGAUUGUUGUUGUUGUUGUUGGCCAACUGUUGGGUGAUCAUCUGGAAGAAUUGGGUCUGGGCGGCUAAUAACUGCUGUAUGGUGGCAGCAUUCCCUUCCGCGUUGGCAUUGUUAGCCUCGGCGUUGUUGGCGGGGUUCCGGCGUCUCGGAGGCAUCUGUUUAGGGUAGCAUAGAUGAGGAAACAGAUAGAAUAGAGCUAAGGAUAACUAAACCCCCAAACAAGAUAUUACUCAAGCAUAUAUCAAUCAUACACUCAUCAAUCAAAAGGUUUUGAAAAAUCAUAGCAAAACACACUUGUUUAUGGCGGGACAUUGCCCAUAAAGAAAAGAGUACGAGGAGAAAACAAUCGACCUACAUUGCCAUACACAUAGAUUGUAUGGUCAAUGACUAACUCGCAAUGCUGAUAACGAUAAAACUAAUAUAAGCUGGUAGGCAUCAAUAGAUCUAAGGGAGUGUGGCUGUCGGUGUGGUCCCGUUCGCCUUCAUCUUGGAGCGGGUGUUGGUUGCAAGGGUGUCCAUCUCGUGGACCUCCUGGGGCUCCUCCUCCUCAGUCGGUUCCUCCUCCUGAGGCUCCAUCUCCUGAUCCUGUGGCGGAGGUGGGAACUGGACGGGCGCCGGUGCUGCAGCUGGUACUACUGCGGCUGCGGCUGCGAUGAACGCCUGGAACUGCUCGCAGUAGUAGCGAGCCUGGUCCCUCUCAUACUGCAGCUGCUCGAUGGCGUCUCCCAUGUUGAGGACAGUGUUCUCCAACACGGCCUUGUCCUCCAGCCACUGGGUCUUCUCUCCCAGUAGAUUACCAACCUGCUCCUCGGCUAGGUUGGCCCUGGUCACCUCGUGCUCGAGGCAAGACUCCAAGUCCACGGUGUUUAUCUCCAUGUUCUCGAAGUGGGUCGUCACUGGGGUUGCAUCCUCGUCGUUGGUCGUAGCCACUGCCGAGCAUGCAUGGUUCCGCCUUCCAAAGAGGAGGAAGGGGGAGUCCUCGGGGAACUCAUGCCGAUAGUCCCGGCACACCUGUGCGAAGGCGCACUGCAUGGCGAACUGAAGGCCCUGCUCGAAAGUGGGGUAGCGGCUGAUGAAGGUGAUAUCCGGCGUAGCUGGCGCGAUCUCACGCCCGCGGAUCUUUCGCCUCGAUCUCCCACCGUGGCUGCCAUCCCUCGGGUGCGGCGGUCUCGACUCGGCCUCUGAACCUGGAUGGUGGCAGGUCGAGGAACGCACACAGUGCCGCCAAAGGGGCACUGAACAGCUGGUCGUCGUCCGUGGAGGGGUAGUAAACUCUAGUGAACGGCGGGACGUUGCCAAAAGGUGUUGGGCUUCCCAUCUAUAGAAAAUAAAGAAGGAGAUAAGGAAGUAUCAGUGACAUGAUUAAAUGGUCGAAUGUAAGUAAAAAUAAAAUACAAGUGGUAGAGUGGGAAUCAAGUGAUAAACAUUAAUAUCAUGGGUGGGAAUGUAAAUAUAAAAUUGGAUGCAUACUAACAUGUGAACAACAUGGCAACAUGAUUAUAGUGGUGUAUGGUGAAAAAAAAUCAAAUUUGCAUCUGUGGUAUAAUAUAAUAAACAUGCAUAUGUGGUAAUAAGCAUAGUAUUCGAUGUAUAUGUGGGAUAAAACAGUAAACAUGUCAUGCAUAUGCAAGAUAUAAAUGCAAAGAUUUAAAUGAAUAGGGAUAAGGAAUAAAAUACAUGUAUAUAUAUAUAUAUAGAUCAGAUAGGGAUAAGAAAUAAUCCUAAGGUCGGGUCUUUGGUCUUGUCUUAUCCUAAUCCAACUUAGGGUCACGUUCCUACAGGCAACACAUUGCUCUGAUACCAUCUGAAGCGAUCCCCCUUCACCAAGGAUUCGAUCUCUGUGCUUACUUGUGCUAGUCCCUGGAUCGACUCACUAGCACACACAGUUCAAGAUGUAAUACCAAGAUACAAAGGUCAAAAGUACUUUAUUACAUCGUAUCAUCCAGAACUUAAAUUGUACUUACAAAUUUGCAUGACCUCCUAGGCCAGCAUAAACAAAUAGUGUUCAAAACCAUGAUAGCAAUGUAUCAUGAAACUGCAGCGGAAAGGCAGAGUAAAAGGGCCUCAUCUACUCCCAGAGGAGAGAGCAUGUUGGAAUGUAAACACAUGACCCAAAGAAAUAUCGACGAACCUCACUCUUCGUCAGUUUCACCUGCAUUAUUAAUUGCAGCCACUACGUGGUCAAUACAUUUGAAUGUAUUGGCAAGCUCACUAGAGUUAUAAAGGACCUACCAAAUACAUGCAUAGUUUGGCUAAGUGGGGUUUGGCUAGUUUGCAUAAAAGCAUCAUUAUUCAAUUCCUAUCAUUUUUAGACAAAUAGUUUUGAAUUAUAUUGGACACAGGGUAGAAACACCCAUGCUCCUAUUAACCUAGGCACAUUGAGUAGAAACAUCAAUGCUCCUACGCAGUUCAAACCAUUCAUUUUAUUAGGAAAUUGGAAUGAAUGAGACCUUCCUUACAGCCCCAAUAUCUAGUUGCUCAUAAUUGUCCGUAACCGGGGACACGGCUAAGUACUUAGUUGACACUCUCGAGAGGUGGUACACUUUACCCACAAGAAAUCGACGUGUUAAUCCCUUGCCGUCCUCCAGAUGGAGUAGCAACGGCAUCGAUUACAGGAAUUUUCAGAACAUAUUCCCCCAAACCACCUGAGGGACGCGUUCCAACCUACACUGCUACAUACCGAUGUCACCUCGGAUCCAGGUUCAUAUUUCUUACAUCCAUCCUGGCAGAGCCCAUAAUACCAUGUGGUUGUACUGGAAGCUACUAAACAGGAAACUAGUCCAGUCUCUGGUUAUCCCGGGUGGCAUCCCACAUUGUGACGCAGGCGCUCCCCGAAUCGCACGGGGAGACGACCAUGGACGCUCCCGAAUCACACGGAGAGACGACUCAGCGGGCCCCAUAGAAAUGGACCUAACGUCACUACAUCCGAAUACUCAAAGCAGUCCACCCAGGACGGUUCAUUGAAUUACUUGUUUUGCCAUACACUAGGAAAAUUAUAUUGUAAUUCAAUAGUAUCACAUUGUAAUAAUACCACCUUCGUAUAUUAUCAUAGCAUAGCAUUUUACUACUACGAUGGCAAUUGGUGGUAAGGUCAUGACAAAGGGUAUCCUGUACUACUAGGGCAAAUCAUAUCUAGCAUAGGUACAGUAAUAAUCCUAACAAUGCAACUAAUAAAAUGUAGUGCAUAAUAAAAUAAUGGGUAAAUGAUCAAAGUGAACUUGCCUUGAUAGUAGUUGGUAUUCAAACACUCUUCGCAAUCACACAGUUCGCUCUCCGAGAAAACUAUACAAUCAAGCAAACAUACACAUACAUAAACACACCAUACAAGAAAAGAAAAUGUAUGCCAUGAUGCAAUGCAAAACAUGUGACAUGAGUUUGGUUUAUUUUAUUUGGGUGAUCUACUGAUCCAAGGCCUUGAGAAUUAAGCACAUGCAAUUAGGGUUUUUAAGCAAAAGCAAAGGCUAGGGUUUAAACCCUAAAAUGAGGUUUUAUUGGCAUCAGCCAAAUAUAUUAGUUCAAAAUAUUUAUUUCUCUGUCCCAUUGGACAGAGGACAAUAAAAAAAAAAUUGGGCACUGGUUCCAUUCAAAAAGGACUUCUAAAUAAAUAGUUAUGAUUUAAAUGGCAUAAACCCUAAUCUGUGAUUUGAAUGUGAUUCAAAAAUUCAAAUUUGAAUUUGGACAGUGCCAAAAGAUUCUACAUUUCCUAAGGAGUCCAAAAAGGUGUGGAUCAUUAAAUUUGGCCAAACAGAUUAAAAGUUAUGAUCAUUUGAAAUUGCAGGGGCUUUUCUGCAAAAGUGCCUUUUAUUAAUUCCGGGGGAUUAAAAUUACAUUUUCACUUUAUAAUUCCGGGUGCCACGUGUCAGCAUCUAAUUGGUGCGUACCGGUUCGGUUAAAAAUUAAAACGGGAUCUAAUCUUAGCCCUCGGAUCCGGAUCGGACGGACGAGGGGAGUUCUAGGGUUUACCGGCGGCGGCGGCAGUCACCGGAGACGGAGGGGAUGGCGGCGCUAAGCGGUCGUCGCGGGGGUGGCCGGGGACGGCGCGGCGCGGCACGGCGGAGACGGGGGCGCGGUCGGCGUGGGCUCGGGCGGCGCGGGUCGUCGCCUAGGACGAAGACGGGCGGGCGGCGCGGGCGGCGGACGGCGGCGCGGCCUCGGGUGUCGUCGGUGGGGAGCUGCAGCGCACGAAAAGGAAAAAGAAGCGCGUCAUCUUGACCGCGAGGGAGAGAGCGGGACGGCUUCGAGUUUUACUCACGGAGCUCGUCGGCGUGACACGAAGACGGCGACGACGCGGGUGCGGCUCCGGCGAGGGAUUCCGGCGGCCUGGCGGCAUAAUUGAGGGGGAGGGCAGAGGGGAAAAGAGGAGGGGGCCGCGGGGUUUAAAAGGACGCGCUCGGCCAUUCAAAAGGAAGGGCGGAGGAGGAGAUCGCGGGGGCGAGUGCGCGGGGACGGCGGCCGGGAGUCGCGGCGGCGGCGCGGGGCUUUCCUUCCGGGGAAGAAGCCCCUGACAGGUGGGCCCCACCUGUCAACGGGUGCGGGGGUGCGCGAGGGGCAGCCGGGCGGGCGAGGCGGCGCGCGCGCGGUCGGGCGCGGUCGGUCUGGGCCGGUUCGGCCCAAAAUGGGCGGGCCGGUCCGUUUGCUCUCUUUUUUUUUUCUUUUACCCUUUUCUUUUUCUGUUUUUCUUAUUCCUUUGAUAUCUUUUGGUUUUGAACUCCAACUUGGUCCAAAUAAAUCCCAGAAAAUUUGUAAAAUCAUGUUCCACCAUGAUACAACUUUUGGGAGUAUUUUCCCCUGAAAAUAAAAUAUAUAAAAAUACAUUUGCCCUAUAAAUAACUUUAGGGCUAUAUAUCCAUUUAAAUAAAAUACUUUUUCAACUCCAAAUAAUUAUCCAAAAAUUAUGGGAUGGCUUAUAUGUGCAUUAAACCCCUUUUAUACAUAAAACCUAUUGGUUUGAAAAUCCAAAGCUCAUACGGGUGUAAACCCUAGGGUUUAAAAUGAAAUAAAGAAUCUUUCCAAAGCCUUUUGAGAUUCAAAUUUUGAAUUCAAUUAUGCAAUUGUGGCAUGAUGCUCAUGGAUGCAAUGCACAUGUAAAAGUUUGAAAUUUUGGGAUGUUACACCCCGUGUACAUCCACGCAGGCCGGGAGUGCAGUUGGAGCGGCGCGACGCGCCGGGUGAUGUACGUGUGCGCCACGUCAACAUUGGUGAGCCCUGCCAGCCGCAAAGCCUUGAUCUUUUCCACGAUGGGGAGGAGAUCGGCGUCACGGCGGUACCGGACCCGCCAGCCGCUGUGGGGUUGCGGCAGCUCGGUGGGCGAGAGGAUGAACUCCUCGGGGUCUUCUACUCGGACCCAGCACCAGUCGCCCCGCCACUCCUUCUCGAUGUUUUUCUUCGACCGGACGAUGAACUCGGACUUCAUCCGGUCGCGGGCGCGAAACACCACCCCCGACGACAACGCGAUCGAUCUAGGGGUAGAAGUAAUGCCGAAACAGUGCCACCGACGGCAUCACCCUGACGAAUGCUUCGCAGAGGAAUUGGAAGAUGACGAGGAGGUAGAGAGACGUGAGGUGGAGCUGCGCCACUCGCAGCUGGUACGACUCCAUCAGCGCGUGGAGAAACAGGGAGAACGGCGACACCAGCCCGGUGAGGAUGAAGCACCUGAACACCCGAAAGUCAUUUUCCUGGUGGUCGGCGCCUGCGAGGAGGAUCUGGGUCUCCCCGUGCUCGUUGAACCCAGAGGCAACUGCGUGCCGGAUCUUGGCCAGCGCCUCGCUGUUGUAGCCGCGUAGGUAGAAGGCGAGCGAGGCCCGCAUCGCCCACUUCUUCUGAUCGUUGUCGGCGGCGGCCUCGCUUUUGCUGGACGCCGCUUUCUUUGGGGCCUUCCCCUCCUUUCCCUUCCUGGUGGUGGGGGGCGCCAUGGGGAGCAAGAUGCGAAGAAGAUGGAAGACGAAGGUUGGGGAGAAAAGUGUUUUCCCCCCGCUACAAUAGUAAAAGCUUUAUAACACUCUAUCGUUUGGUAACAGCCGAUUCCGCACCCUACGGGUGCGUUGGGAUAAUUGCUAAUCAAAGGGAUAAUGCGGAGAGUGGCCUUAACUUCCCUAUUUAAAGGGGGGGUUAUGGCGGAAACCACGCACCCACUACUCCGUCCGUAAUGGCGGGGUGUGUGGGACGGCGAAGAGGCACGGGCCCAAGGCAAGUUGGGACCCACGCCGCCCGGCAACCGACCCAAGAAAAGUUCGUCCAGGAACAGGUGUUGCCGGCCCAUGCCCAGGGGCUACUGUCGCACCAGUGACACCCGGGGUACCACCGUUGCACGACGCGUGGGUCGCAUCGCUGGGUUCCCGAGAGGAUCUCACCCCGGGCGGCAGCGUAUACGAUGCCCGGCAAGCCACCAGCCCAGAAGGGCUAGCGGGGCUUCGGGGAAUGGUCCCGCCUGGGCACCUCCCGGGAAGUCACUUGCCGGGAGGAGGGGUUCCCGGGCGCAGGUUCCCGCCGUGAGGGCGGGGCUGAGCGAGCAGAGCAGCCAUGCCACGUGGGCGCGCGCCAGGCGCCUAGUGUGCAGUUUCGCCAGGGCAAGGAGUAAGGCGCACGGCACAUUUAAUGAGCCGACAGGAGGGGCGUUACCCGUCUAGUCAGGCAAACAGUGGCUGUCCAGUCCUAUGUUUUAGGCCCUAGACCCCUAGCCGCGGGGUUGGUGCCCGUGCAUGCAUGCCAGCGCACCGAGGAGGAGCUGCCUAAGCUCCUUGCUCGCCCCUUGUAAACCAUGCACCGUGGCACCUGUGGUAUCCCCUUGGCUAUAAAAGGAGGACCCCCGCCAACGGUCAAAGGGUUCGUUUUUUCGUUGGUUCAUAGUUGUUCAGUUCGUUGGUUGCACGGGCAGUAGUCUAAAGUAGAAGGGAACACUUAGCCAAAAAGAGACCACCCGGGGGCUACCCCCGGCAACCUGUAAAUAGCCGAUUCCAUAGCAAUACAAGCUCAGACAAACAGGACGUAGGGUUUUACAUUGCAAGGUGGCUGAACCUGGGUAAAAAGUGUGUGCAUGUGCCCUUGGUAGCCUUCCUGGUGCAUUCCUUCGCCUCGCAUUGGUCCCGCCGGCGAUCCCCGUAGCCCACUGCCGAACCUGAAAAGGGGGUGCCCGCGCAUCCCUGGUGUUGGAGCCCCGUGUGACGACACCGCUACCGUUUGACCCCAUGUUGGCACUGUGGGUCCGUCCCGGGUCCCUGGUCCGGUUAAAGUGUGCGGCGCGCGAGUCCCCAGCAACACAAGGCAUAACACACAAAGUUUAAGGGAUCCACCCCGCGAGACAACCCCGGGAACAAGAAAGGAGAACUAAGCGGAACCAGAGAACGAAAUUAAUAAAAGUAGUAAACAAUUACAUGAACCAAUAAGACAUUAAUUGUUUAAGCGGCGCACGGCGCCACACUUGCAGGAAUCAAAAGAAGAAAAAAAUACUAAGGAAUAACGAGGACUAGCAGGGGGCGGCGGCGACUGGUUGCUGGCGCCUCUCGCUGGGGGCUGCGGCGACUGGUGGCCGGUGCCUCCCGCUUGGGGCUCCGGCCCUGGCUCGGGCUCCGGCUUCCACUGCAUCCGGUCGACCACUUCGUCGACGAACCUGCUCACCGCCUGGCAGUGGGUGGGACCGUCCUCGCUGUCUGACCAGGCGUCCAGUAGCGUCUCGAAGGGGAAGUCCGUCACCACGGCGUGCUUGGAUUCACGGAGGAGAUCCACCUGCCGGGCGAUCUGCAUGGCCUUGGCCGCGUUGUCCUCGGCCGUCUUGACACAAUCCUCCCGGACAGUGGCCGACUCGGACUCGAGUCGGGCGCUCUUCUCCUUGGCGGAGUUGAGCUCCUUCUCUUGCCACGCUGCCGCUGUCGGCGCGUCUGCCGCAGCCUUGGUCUGCUCCUCCAGCUUGGCGCGCAACCCUUGGAUCUGGGAGAGGUAGCUGCAGACCAGGUCGCUUUUCUCAUUGAGGCGAGCCUGGGCCACAGCGAGCACCUAUCGUGCUCCUUCUUGGCCUUCGCCUGCACUGCCGCUAGCGAGUCCAAGGCUUGCUGGUGCUCAGCGUGCUGGGCCUCCAGUCGCCGGUGGAGCUCCUCCUCGGGGACAACCGGCACUGCAGCCUCGUCCACGGCUUGCCACGCAAGGCGUGUCUCCUCCCGUAGCUGGGAGAGCUCUUGCCGCUCUCUCUCCACGGCCUGCCGCACCUCGCCAAGCUGGACCUUGGCGAUCUCGUGGUGCUCCUUCACUUGAUUGAAGGAGGUGACGACCGCCAUCUGCUGUUCCUUGAUGGCGGCAAGGAACUGGUGCCCCCGGUCAUAGAUGCUCGGGUCCCAGGUGAUGGGGUCCUAAGCCACCCCGGCGAGGGUGCCGAGGUCCGGGCUGAAGGUGGCGGCCGUCAACGACGAAGCUCCCGCCGCCACUGUUUGGCCGGGUGGAGCGUCGCCCGCUUGCGGCGGAGCCUCCUGCUGCUCCUCCGCGGCAACCUCCCCCGCGCCCGCACCUGUGGGUUGUGGGACUUAUGGGGUUGCCGCGCCCCCGGCGGGGGCUGCCUCCUGCUGGGGGGCUGCAGGGUCCGCGCCGGCUGCCUCUGUGGCCGGUGGUUCGCCGUUGAGCUCUGCCCUGGUAGCAACGGCGGUCGCCGCCGCCGUUGUAUCCGGCGCUGUGGAGCUUGGCGCGGGGGCUGCCUCCGGCUCCACCCUCCUCUCCGUGUCCUCGGCGUCGGAGCCAAGGUUGGCCAUCACAGCGCCCCCCCCCCCCCGGCGUGGGCGCGAUCGGGUCUGCAGCAAAAGGAAGAGUUAGAAUCCGAGUGCGAGGUAAGUGACCCGGAGGCGGACACAGGGGACUCCGAGUGGGUACCUUGCGGUGCUGCGGGGCUUGCGGGGGGGAGCUUCCUCCUCCUCCUCCGUCCCAGCCGCCGUUGCCGGGGCGCCUGCCGCGGGCUGGGCGUCGCCUGCAAGUAAGGAGUGCAACGCGGCUGCGGGUUAGCCGGCGAGGGAAGCGUAAACAAGGAAACAGGGGAAAGAGCAGUACCUGUUGUCGGCGCCCCCGUGUCGGCCGGAUCAGCGCUGCUGCCGGCCUGGGCACGCGCCUUCUUGCUCGGCGCGGCGGGCAGCGAGUCAGCCCUCCCCCUCUUGCCGGCCCCCGUCGGUGAGCCGUCCUUCGGGGAUUGUCGCAUCCUGCAGGGUAUCAAGCAGAGGCGCGAGCAGCGCCACGAGGAGCGCCGAGCAGCCGGCGCCUGCUUCAACUGCGGGGAUAUCAGGCAUCUCUCCCGCAACUGCCCGAAUGACCCCAAAGCUGGAGCGAAGCCUGCCGGCGGAGAUGCCGGCAGAGAGGAAGCCCAGGGGGGUCGAGCCCAAGCCCGCGCCGACAAGGAGCGGCCUCCUCGGGGACGAGACAAGGCUCGUGCUGAGGAGCAGCGCGAGUCCGAUUAUAGCGAGGUGAUCGAGCAUCGACUCGUCGGAUCUUCCCCAAGUCCCUAGGGAGGUGAUCGAGCAUCGACUUGCGGUGCGUCCAGACGCCCGCCUCGUCAAGCAGAAGGUCCGCCGGCAAGCACAGGAGCGCAAAGACUUCAUCAAGCAAGAAGUGGACAAGCUAAAGGGUGCGGGGGCUAUCAGGGAAGUACUGUACCCCACUUGGUUAGCAAACCCAGUUGUCGUACCCAAGGGGGAAAACAAACUGUGCAUGUGUGUAGAUUUUACUAACCUAAACCGUGCAUGUCCCAAAGACCCCUUCAUGUACCCCGCAUUGAUCAAAUAGUAGAUUCCACUACCGGUUGCAAUUUGUUGUGCUUCUUGGAUGCUUUUAUCGGCUACCAUCAAAUUAAGAUGGCAGUCGAGGACGAGGAGAAAAUGGGUUCAUCACCCCGGUUGGCUGCUACUGUUACACGUGCAUGCCUUUCGGGUUGAAGAAUGCAGGCUCAACAUUCCAGCGUGCCUUACGCGAGUGUUUGGGACCCCAGCUAGGCCAAAACGUUGAGGCCUACAUGGACGAUAUCGUCAUCAACUCAAAGUGCGGGGACUCGCUUAUUGAUGACUUGUGGGAGACGUUCAAUAACCUCUGCAGGAUCAAGCUCAAGUUGAACCCUGAGAAAUGCACUUUUGGUGUAGACUCGGGGCAGCUUCUGGGCUUCUUGGUUUCACACAGAGGGAUUCAGGCCAACCCAAAGAAAAUAGAAGCUAUCGAGAAGAUGAAGGCUCCGUGCAAGGUGAAGGACGUCCAGCGCCUCAACGGCUGUGUUGCCGCGCUGGGGCGUUUCAUUUCAAGGCGGGGCGAACGCGCCUUGCCUUUCUUCAAGGUAAUGAAGAAGAAGGACCCAAUCGAUUGGACCCCUGAGGCUGAGGUGGCGUUCCAGGACCUGAAGCAGUACCUGAAAUCGCCGCCGAUCCUCGUCGCCCCCAAGCUGGGCGAGCCGCUGCUACUCUACCUAGCGGCGACUGACCAAGUGGUCAGCUCGGUGCUUGUUGCUGAGAGAGAAGAAGAUCUCCCGAGGGCUGGGGUUACGGGGCUGGGGGCUGAGACAGCCCCGGCAACCGCCUCGAACCCGGGAACCGCCAUCGAGUCGGCAGCGCCGAUACCACACAAGCGGCUCAUGCAGCACCCUGUGUACUUCGUCAACACGGUGUUGCGCGACGCCCGCGUACGGUACCCGCAAGUGCAGAAGCUCUUGCUGGGGAUUCUGCUUGCAUCCUGCAAGCUGCGCCAUUACUUCCAGGCGCACCGCAUCACGGUGGUGUCAGGGUUCUGCCUCGAGCGGGCCCUCACCAACCGUGAAGCCACCGGGAGAGUGGCCGAGUGGAGGAUGGAGUUGUCGGAGUUUGAUCUGCACUUCACGAACACCAAGAGUAUCAAGAGUGCCGCUCUGGCUGAUUUCCUUGCAGAGUGGACCUCGACAGGCAUAGAAGAAGAGGAGCCAGAGACCAGCCUACCCGGCAGGCUGGAAGAAGGCCACUAGGUCAUGUACUUCGAUGGCGUGUUCAGCCUGCAGGGGGCUGGCGGCGGAGUCAUGAUCGAGUCACCCACGGGGGACUAGUUGAAUGUCGCCAUCCAACUCGACUUCCCCAACCCCACCAACAACACGGCUGAGUACGAGGGGUUGCUCGCUGGGUUGCGGGUGGCAAUCGCUCUCAACAUUAAGCGCCUGGUUGUCCGCGGAGAUUCCCAACUCGUGAUCAACCAGGUUAACAAUGACUACGACUGCCCGCAGAUGGCAGCGUACGUAGAUGAAGUCCGAAAGCUAGAAUGCAAGUUCAAGGGUUUGCGAUUUGAGCACAUCAAGCAUAAGGAUAACUUCGCGGCCGAUAAACUGUCCAAGUGGGCAGCAGAGCGCCGAAAAGUUCCGGCGGGAGUGUUCUGGCACAGGAGGACUACACCUUCAGUCACUCCCCAGCCGGCUGCCGGGGAAGCCCCCCCGGCACCGGAAGGAAACCCCGCAACAGCGGAGGUCCAUGCUGCCGAUGUGGUAGCAUGCAUGAGUAGGGAAACCCCGCCUUGGGCGGUGGAUAUCGCCCGCUACCUCAAGGGGGAAGCCCUCCCUGAAGACGACAUUGCCGCGGAGCGCAUAGCCCGGCAAGCCAAGAUGUACGCUCUGGUAGACGGGAAUCUCUACCGGAGGCGUGCAAAAACUCCUCUGCGUACCCCAAGACAAAGGGCGCGCACUUCUGGAAGAUAUACACCGAGGCACAUGCUUGCACCAUGUGGCCUCCCGGGCUCUGGCCGGCAAGGCUUUUCGGCACGGCUUCUACUAGCCUACAGCACUAGCUGAUGCCGAACAACUAGUCAAGACAUGCGAGGCGUGCCAAUUCCAUGCAAAGAAGAGUAAUCAGCUGGCGCAAGACCUGCAAGUCAUUCCAUCCUCCUGGCCGUUCGCGGUCUGGGGGCUAGACAUCGUCGGCAAGUUGCCAAGAGCAGUUGGCGGCUAUGAGUACUUCCUCGUGGCCAUCGACAAGUUCUCCAAGUGGGUGGAAGUGGAACCAGUGCGGAAGGUGACCGCUCAGGCAGCCAUCAAGUUCUUCAAGGGCAUUGUGUGCCGGUUUGGUGUGCCCAAUGGCAUCAUCACCGAUAAUGGCACACAUUUUACGAGCGCCGUGUUCCAAGCCUACUGCGAGGACAUGGGCACAAAGAUCCACUUUGCCUCUGUCCCUCACGUGAGGAGCAACGGACAGUCGGAGAGGGCCAACACAGAGGUGCUGCGGGGGCUCAAGACGAGAACCUUUGACAAGCUCAAAAGCCACGGGAAACGCUGGAUUGAAGAACUCCAGCCCGUGCUGUGGUCGAUCAGGACCACACCUAGCCGGGCAACGGGUGAAACUCCAUUCGCCCUUGUCUACGGGGCAGAAGCGGUGCUGCACCUCGAGCUCAAGCAUGGAUCCCCUCAGGUACGCGCGUAAGGCAAGCAUAGCCAACACGAGCAGAGGGUUGACAAUCUUAACUUCAUCGAAGAACUUCGAUGCUGGGCUGCCGUACGAGCUACACGCUAUCAGCAGGGGCUCCGCCGUUAUCACGACAGGCGAGUCCGUACCCGGGAGCUCGAGGUCAGAGACCUUGUCCUGCGCCGGAUACAAGGAACGAAGGCCGGGAACAAGUUGACUCCGAAAUGGGAGGGGCCUUCCGGGUAGUGCAGGUGACCAGGCCGGGGGCUGUCCGGCUGGAAACCGAAGAAGGCUUGCCGGUGCAAAACAGUUGGAAUUUUGUGCAUUUGCGCAAGUUCUACCAGUGAAGCGGCGGAGCCUGACCCACGGGCGAUGUUGCUGCAGCAUGCCUCUCGAACUAGUGUAGCCGGGCAACCCCCGAUUGUAAUCCUCUAAUUUCCAUGAAUAAAGUUAGGUAUUUCCUCUGCAUUUCAAGUUGCCUCGUUAUUGCAUGUUCUUUCUCCUGUCUCCUGCUCUAGGUGCACAGAAGUCUCUUUUCAUCCUUGGCUGUGAGCCAGGGGCUGCGGGAGCCUCAAAAACAGAAAUACCGUUGCCGGAUCACUCCGGCACGAGGUCGACGCAACAGCAGCGUCUUGGGAAUAAAAGAAUGCUCACACCCAAGUGGUAUCGACCCUUCUGUGCCCGGGGGCUGGGAGGCAGGACGGUUAUCUGUGAUGUACCUUUCGCUUUUUUCGUGCAUUUCGAAAAAAAAUUGUAGCAUCUCGAGCUUGGUAAGAAUCUGACAUACAAGAUAAGGAUAGGAAUCAGACGCACUGUGAUACUCGUGGAGUACUCAUGGGCCGUGUCGUCUAGCGGGUAGCCACUGGUGCAUGGCUACCGCUUCAAGGCUCUUACCACAGGAGGGUGUCGUCGCGGGUGCCGCGGUAGCUCGGCGCGCGUGGCGGCAGAAUUCUCCACCAUGCCUAUAAAAGGGCAUGGUGGCCACGGAGCAACUCAAGGCAAAGCUAAGAAGAUGGCGAGGGAUGCAGUAGAGAAGCGAUGGUGGUGCAUUCCUCUGCGCGCAAGCGCUGAGAGUGUUCCCACCAUCGCGUCCCCGCCACAUCACUCCUCCGGGCAUUUCCAAGGCGAGGGUUGCCGCAGAGACGCGGUGGUGGUGCAUGCCAUCUGUGCUCAGCGCCGAUGGGUGCACUGCCAUCGCGCCCUUGCCGCAUCCCUCCAGCAGGCGUUCCAAGUGCAGAACCGAUACGUUCGACAAGAGAACAGACGGCUAAGUGCAUUAUCCCAGGUGCCUAGCUUUCUAAUCUCGACGCUGGAUCGUUGGUGUGGGUCGGGUCUUGCGUGCGGCUGGAGUCUUAGAAGAUCGCUCGCGGGGGGAGUGCGCUCUUCAUGCGGCUUGCGGGUCCGUCCCGUAGACGCGUGCUUCGGAGUAGCUAACCCGCAAGUGGAGUAGCUCGCCGCUGCUACGUAACCCCAGGUUCUCACUGCGGGUCCGUCCCGAGUCCCUGGUCUGGUUAAGUGAGUAGCGUGCGAGUCCCCGGCAACACAAAGCAAAACACACGAGGACAGGAAGGUCCACCCCACAAGUCAAUUUGAAGAACAAGUACCAAGUAGAACCAGAAAGCGAAAUUUCUAAAAGUAACAAAUGAUUACAUGGGCUAAUAAAACCAUAACUAUUCAACGGCGCCAAGCGCCACUUGCAGGAAACAAAGGUAAAACGAAGGCUAGCAGGGGACUACGACGACUGGUUACCGGGGUCUUCCGCUGAGGGCUCCUCCUCCGGCUCCGGCUUCCUCUGCAUCCGCUCCACCACUUCGUCGAUGAACUUGCCCACUGCCUUGGUGUGGGAGGGACCGUCCUCGCUGUCCGACCACUCGUCCAGCGGUGCCUCGAAAGGGAAGUUGGGGUGGUAGUAGUGCACCCGGGGGAGGAUCGUCUCGGCGAUCUCCCUGGCGCCUGACGCUAUCUACCUGUCGCAAAACUUGGAGAUCCACACGUCCAGCACCCCAAGCUUCCCCACUAUGUCGGAGAAGAAUGGGAUCAGGGUGCUGACGUCCGUGCCGUCCACCUUCGCCGCCUGGGUGAUUUCAAGCAGCUUCUCGGUCUCCUUCCAUCGUUGCUCCGCCAACUUGUCAUGAUUGCUGCACGAGGACACCACCGCAAGCUUGGCCUUUCGGAGGAGUUCCGUCAGUCGCAUGAUCUCCGUGGCCUUCCUCACGUUGUCCUCGCUACAGACCCGGGAGCGCGAACUCGAGGGGUAGCUCAAUUCCGCCAAGGAAAGGGCACCCAUCAGGAACUGGUGCCCCUGAUCGUAGAUACUUGGGUCCUAGGUGAUUGGGUCCCAAGUCGCCCCGGCAAGAAUGCCGAGGUCUGGUCUGGAGGUAGCGGCGGACGAUGAUGAGACCCCCGCUGCCAUGGUUUGGCCGUGUGGAGCAUCGUCCCCUUGCAGGGGAGCCGCCUGCAGCUCCCCUACCACGUAUUCCUCCACACCUGCGCCCGUGGGCUGCGGGUCUGGUGGAGGGGCUGCGCCCCUGGCAAGAGUCAUCUCCUGCUGGGCAGCUGCGGGACCCGCGCCCCCGGCCUGCAAGGCCGGGGAUGCGCCGCCGAGCCCCACUACGGUAGCGGCGGUCGGCACCACCACCGUCGUGUCUGGGGCGGUGGGGCUGGACACAGGAGCCACCUCCGGCUCGUCCUCCAACUCAAUGACCUCGACGUCAGAGGUGAGGUCGAUCAUCGUACUGCCCGCCCCCGUGGUGGGCGCAUUGGGACCUGCGACAAGAGCAAAAUAAGUUACUUCGAGCCAAGCUGAGGCACCCGGCGACGAGCGCAAAGGAAUUCUGCAUGAGUACCUUGCGGGGUCGCUGCACUUGCGGGGGGAGAUAUGUUCCCCUCUGCCCCCUGCAGGCUGGGUUUCGCCUACAAGCCAAAGUGAUCGCACGAUUAAGGGUUAACGUGCAGAAGGAGCAUGUACAGUGGAGUCAGGGGAGGGGUCUGUACCUGCUGCGAGCUCCUCCUCCUCUGGGACCGGGUCGGCAGCAGGCGUAGUGGCGGCGCCGCUGGUCCUCGUGCCGAUCUGACUGGCACUAACGUUGGCCCGGGUGCGCGGCUUCUUGCUUGGCGGAACGGGUGCAGUGUCGGUUCUUCUCCUCUUGCCCGCUCCUGCCUGGGCGCCGUCCCUGCAAGGCAUCAACAAAGAAGCAAAGGAAUCAAGGCAAGCACAAACUUGUAAAAAAAAGGGGGAGAAAGAUGUCAGCUUACCUUGGGGGCUUGAGGACCAUGUUCUAAAGAGCUAAACAUUUUCUUCUCACCGGUCAUGUGAUUCGUACAUCCGGAGUCCAUGACCCACUCCUUUCCUCCGGAUGCAUAUGCCUACGAAGAAAGUUAGGCUCGUUUAGGCACCCAUGUCUUCAUGGGUUCCUGCAUGUUAGUAGAACUUGAAGAACACAAGUCAUCACGGAAAAAUGCAAUGACAAAUUUUGGCACCCAAAUUUGAGGUUUCGCAUGUUCUCCACGCAUUAUGGUUGCAGUGAAAUUAGCUCCCACUUUAUAAUCCUUACCCAUCUUCAGAAUGUAAGAUUCAGUGGCAUGGAAUAUCCGGUAAGCACGUGAAGUAUUGGGACGCUUUGAAGCAUCCUUGCGGGGAUUCAUAUUUCCCACAAAUGGAGAACCUCAGUACACUUCCCUCUUCCCGGGACAAAUUUUGUAGGGUGUCGCACCGGUGGCACCCGGGGUAACACCGUUGCUCAACGCGUGGGUCGCCUCGCUUGCUCCCCGCAAGGACGGCACCCGGGGCAGCACAGUGCGAGCUGCCCGGGAAGCCACCAGCCCGGCAGGAGCCUGGGAAGGGGGUUGCCCUAAAGCAGGACUAGCCAGGCUGCGGGGGUUACCCUGGAUGACAGCGUGAAGAUCCCCAUCAGGAGACCCCCCGAGAAGCUCACUUGCCGGGGAGGGUGUCUCCUGACGUAGGCGCUUGCGACAGGGCCGGUGCCCAGUGCAAGAAAGGUAUCGACGCCACGUGGCCGCCCGGCAGGCUCCUUCUGUGCAGGGCUGGUUGGAGCUUGAAGUGUGGCACAAGCCAAGCAUUAAAUGCUCGACAGGGAAGUGGUUUCCUGUCUAGUCAACCUACAGUGAGUAGCCCGCAGUGAAUCUAGGGCGCGUAUCGCCCUAGCCACAGUGCUUUGUACCGUGCAUGCAUGCCAGCACAGCAAAGGCAAGCUGCCUAGGGUUUUUUGUUCGGUGCGUGUCCAAAAGCGCGUCUCCCAUGCAGACCGAGGCACCUAUGGUAUCCCCUUGACUAUAAAAGGAGGACCGAUGCCACUGGUCAAAGGGGUCGACUCUAGCUGGGUUACUAUUCCUAUAGAUUUAGUCCAGAAGUAGUAAGUAGCCAUUUGGCAGAAAGGAAGAGAGCGCCCGGGGACUCCCCCGGCGAUCUAUAAACACUUGUUCAUUAGCUAAUACACACUCAGAAGCAGGACGUAGGGUUUUACACCUCCGGGUGGCCCGAACCUGGGUAAACUUGCUUGCUCAUUGCUACGCUUGUCAUUGGCGUCGUCGGCGAUCACCGGAGCGAUCCCCAUCGCCCACUGCCGAACCUAAAAGGGGGUGCCCAGCAUCCCCGGUGUCUAAGCCCCGGGCUACGACAUAGGGGGAUAUUGCUCAGGGAGCCAAGCAUCACCGUUGACAUUGUACUUCCUCCCAAAAUUGAUACCAUCCUUGCGUCGGCGAGGAAUUUGAAGACCAAGAAUCUGGUUCAAGAUUUCAAUCCCUUGGUGACACUUGAGGAUACCAGCCUUAAUCUGAUUUUUCAACUUAGCAUUUUCUUCAGCCAGUGAGAGAUCACUAGGUGAAGGGUUAGUGAUAGCAGUGCAAGAUCCACCAAUAGAAGUAAAGCUAGAAGCAAGAUCAGGUGAAUCAAAUGAAGUAGGAAAAUCAGUUUGAGUCACAGCAUUUGAAGUAGUAAUUUGGGGAAUGUUGUUCAAUGAAGAAUUGCAUUUAGAACAUACUUGAGAGGAAUCAUCGUUUUGAGGUAAGUUGACUAACUUAGCAUUGCGAUCAAGAUUCUCAUAUUUGAGAUCCUCAUAAGAGUUCUUCAGAUUAUCAUGCUCAAGUUUGAUCGAAACAUACUUAAGACUAGUCUCAGCAUGAACUUUCUUCAGAUCCUUGCACUACACGAUGGACCAAACGCAGGAGCAAUUAACUGCCGGGAAAAGUCAACUUGAGGUGGCAAUGCAACUGCCGGGAAAACUUAACCGCCAACUAAUCUAUUUGGAGGCACAUCAACUGCCGGAAAAAGUAAAGAAAGCAAGGCAGGCAAACUGCCGGCAAUCUGCAAUCUUUACAGGCACACAAACUGCCGGCACAACCCAUGAGAGGCAGUUUAUCUGCCGGCACAACUAGGACGACAGGUGGGGCCAACUCAAUAUGCGCAUCUUGUUAUCUUUAUCCUAUGUACAUGACCCCUCAGCCCCAAACCCGUAUAUAUCUCCCACGCAAUUCCCCUUCACCCACCGUAGGGUUUCAGCCCAUAGAGACCCUAGCGUCGCCACCGCCAUGACCCCGCCGCCACCCAAAGCUUUGCCGACCCCGCCGCCCGUAGCUUUGUCCUAGUCUUAUCCCGGCCCUCGCCCAAGGGCAGCCCGAAGCUCCGCGCUCGCUGCUGCCGGUAAGCUCCGACCUCGUCGCCGCUACCCUGAAGCUCCACCUUUGCCACCACCGCCCUUAGCCCAAGGCCAGCCCGUAGCUCCACCCUCGUCGCCGCUGCCUCGACACUCCGCGCUCGUGCAGCUGUAACCCGAACCACGACUCCGUCGCUCCCUGGCCGAUGUCAAUGCCCCCGAUCCGCCACCAACUCCUGAAAUCGUCCGCCACCGCACCCCAGCGCCGGCGAUUUCUCUCUGACAUCUCGCCGCCGUGCCACGCUCCUCCACUGCCAUCAAUCUUGUCCGCCACGCCACGCCCAACGCCGUCAAUCUCGUCCGCCAGGUGCCUCCCUUUCACCGCGCCCUCUACCUGCCGCGCCAUUCACCGAGCAAGGCUACUGCUAGGUGCGCUCUGUACGUACUGCUAUUGCUCAUCUCUUCCUCCUUGAUCUGCCAAUUGGUUUUUGGUUCUACAGAUCCCGCAGGUUGUGAUUCUCCUGGUCUGAAUUUUUAUGCAUUUUUGCUGCAGCGAUUGAGCCACCACACGCCUGCGUUUUCUCUCUUCCUCCCUGGUUUGCAUCGAUCUCUUCCAAGGUAACCCUCGAUUCGUCUCAUCCUCCCCGUCAUUAAUGUGGCCAAUUCUGUGUGAUGGUAUCAUAGUAGUAGAACAAAUCAAGAAGUUCUACAACUUGUACAAAGUAAAUUUGUAUUGGGUUUCAGGGUUUCCUUUCCUAUGUGUUCUUGUUCGAUUUGGAUGCUUAAGGGACAAUUUCUGAGUUAACAUGCUAUCCUGCUCAUACCCGUAAGAGAGUGUUAAAAGGGGAAUGAAGAUUGAUUGGGGUUAAAAGUGAAGUAGUAGUACAGAGAGAUUACUCAAUGAUUGCCUAAACAAUGUGUACAGAUAACUGAGAGAGCUAAACUUAAAUUGUUAAGCAGUUUACAUGUCUAGUUUGUACUCUAUCAGGUUCAAGAAAAUCAGCUGGUAUUUUUAGUUAAUCUAAGUGUCCUUUGGUAGGGCAUGUAUAAGAAUUUAAUUUCCACAAGGGUCAGAACUAUUUAGACUAGCUUACUCAUAAAUCAUGUAGUCAGAGUAUAGUUCUUGGCCUCACAAAUUAAAAGGUGCGCAUUUUACUAACCCUGCCUCACUAUUUUCAGUGGAUAAUAUAUUAGCUGGACAAUAGUAUGUCUUUAUGUGAUUAAUAGGGAAGCUGUGUCUAGGUAUAUAUAGGUGAAGCUAUCCUCAUGGGGAGGCAAUUUACAUCUGAGGCAACCAUCAAAACCAAUCGUUAAACACACUUUCAGGUGCGCUUUAGUUUUCAGCCAAUGAAAAUGAACUGAACCGAUACCAAGAUAAGAGAGUGAAUUAAACUGAAACUAUAUGGUAAUCCAUCACAUUUCAGAGUGUUAUCUUUGCUCUAUCACAUGGUGUUGUGGAAGUCCAGACGGUGCGCACAAGGAAUGAAUCACACUAAAAUUGAUCUAGCUGUGAACUGAAACUAUCUAAUUGUAUAUUUCUUUGAAGGAUUAUUUCUUGUAACUCCUAUUUACCUCAUAACUCAUAUAUGUAGCUAGAGGUGGAACAGAAGUCCAUGGCGAAUUCAGCCUCACCGCCACAAGUGGAUUGAACUAAAAUAUGUUUUCUUGGAAUUAAUUAUCUCAGGUUUGUAUCUUCUUCUCUUCUUGCCCAAGAUCUGGUUUUGGUUGCUAUGCCAUGGCGAUGGAUUGUUUGCUGCUACUGUAUGUAGCUCAGUAGUAUUACUUGACAAACCUUAUCUCCUAGUAGGUGCUAGAGCUGCUGCUGAGUACUUGCCAAACCUUCUUGUUAUUGCGGCUCAGCUCAAAGGCAAGUAGGAGUUGUACGUGCAUUGUUGCUGAUCUUUAUCAAAUGAAAAUCUACUGGAUAGUUUACUUGUGAAAUAGCAUUAAAAUCAAACCUGUAGCUAAACAAUAAUGCAUGUGGAUUAAUUAUGGAUAAACUAACUAUGAUUUGAUUCACCUUACAUGUUUAAUUAUUUGUAUAAACAAAUUGAGAACAUGGUGCAGGCUGUACUGUGUAUUUUAUACCAUAGCAGCUCGCAACGUUCUUAACCUCUUGAUUUAUUCUCUUCUACUAAAACUUUUAGCAUGUGUCCAAUUUCAUGUGCAGAUCCAUGGGGCAAACAAUGCAUCGGCCUGUGCUUGUGGAGUUCCCAGCUUGUCGCAUCAAGGGAUGCAUGCUCCUGAAAGGUAGAUACUUCUGUUUCUUCUCAAGUUAAAAACAAUUUCAAGGAUCUGUUUUCAUAUGAUUUUCUUGUAGAGAUCUUUGUGUGAGGUGGUAACAAAGAAUCAUGCAAGUUUUCCUAUUUAUGUAUUUCUUUGGUAUUCCAGACAGUGGCUAAUACUUUAUCACCCCCCUUGUAUAUGUUUUCUCUCUUGCUUGCAUUUAAGUAUUUGUCUCCUUUUGCAAUAGAUUUCUACAGUAGAUUUAAUGUCUAGUUAUGCCAUUAACACUAGUUAUGUAUAUCCACACUAAUGGUUAAUUGAAAUUGUGGCAGUUAUGUCAGAAUUCUAUGCAAUGUAAACUUGUCGAUUUUUCAGCAAUCUUAGCAUCUGUCAUUUCUCAAUUUUUCAGGCAACAAAAUCAGAGAUUUUGUACAUGUGCUGGAGGCUCGUCGAACCGGAUAAAAUGGGAGUCCCGUAACUCAUAAAUAGUUGUUGGGCCGAUAGUCUUUUUAAGUGAUCUUUCUAGUUUGCUAGGCUUAUAUAGAGGCUUUGCAAAAUCUAUAUCAGUAGAUGUCAUACUUAUGCGUGUGACAGUGCUUGAUGCUCCUUUUUGGUUCAGCGUGAAUAUCAGAAACAUGUGAAUACAUUAUGCUGUUGUGAUGCUUAUUAAUGAAGAAUAAUUGUGGUGGAAUGUGUAAACUAUAUUAUUUUUAAUUGUGAAAUUGCAAUCAAGGGCGGUUUAUUUGCCGGGGAAGGCAGGAACAGCCGGCAGACAAUCUGCCAGCGAAUGUAGUAACUGCCGGCAAAAUUAUUUGUAUUGACGGCAGAGAAACAGAUUUGAAAUGUCCAAACUGCUGGGAAAUGCCUGAACUGCUGGGGAAAGCUCUUUGCCGGCAGACAAAUCUAUCUGCCCGCAAAAUACUAGACCUGCCGGCAAAACUGGCGCUAGCAGGGCAUAUAGACUGCCAGGAAAAAUAAAUCUGCCGACAAAUACUUUUGCCGUCAACAAUACAGCGGGCAGGGAAAACUGCCGGCAAAAAAUCUUCACCGGCAGUUUAUAUGCCCCGUAUAAUGACUUUUGCCGGCAGUUUGGGUGCCCUCACGUCUGGUCCGUCGUGUAGUGUUAUGAGACUCUUCCAUGGCUCGAAACUUAGACUUGAAUCUUUCGAGUUCAUUAGCCACGUUAGUGUUCUUCUUGAUCUCAGUGAUAAGCAAGUCUUCUUGCUUCUCAACAAUGAACUGAAGUCUUUCAUAUGUCAUGGGUUCAGGUUCUUCAUUAUCAGUUUCAUCAUUAUCACUAGAAUUCACUUCAACUUCACUAAGAGAUGAUACCUUAAGAGGAUUUUGCCAUGAAGCAUGAUGGUGAGUUGCGAUCGUUUCCGGAGGCAUCUUCAGAUGAAUCUACAAAGUCAAACGGUGAAGUCUUCUCUCUGGCAGAUGAAAUAGCUAUGGCCAAUCUGGCGACGCCGUCUUCAAACUCAGAGUCAGAUGAUUCUUCAGACGAUGAAGAAUCUGAGUUCCAUUCACCAACAUGUGCUCUAGAGUAAUACUUCUCCUUCUUCUUGUGAGCUGAGUCCUUAUUCCAAUCCUUCUUUUGUGACGGUUAUGGCUCUUCUUGUGAGGAUGUUUCUUGAAUCCCUUCUUCACCUUGUCUUCAUCAGCUUUUGCGAGACAUUCAGCGAUGAAGUGACCUUUCUUGCCACAGUUGAAGCAAGCUCUUUUGGCCAUAUCAGAUUUAUUCCGAUGAGUAGAUUUCCGAUACUUGGAGGAGCUGGAUUCACCUUGGUGCUUUAGUUUGUUUCCAAACUUUCUUCCAAACUUCUUACUGAACCUCUUCACAAUCAGAGCUAGCUCGUCACUGCAGUUGGAUUCUUCAUCAGACGAAGAUGAGUCUUCAGAUUCUUCACUGGAGCUGACAAUCUUCUUGGAUGAUUUCUUGGCCUUGAGUGCAAUGUUGUUUUUCUUCGAACUGGAUCCAGGACCAUGGAUCAUCUUCUUUCCUUCCUGAUCAAGCUCAUGGGACACAAUUCUUCCAAGCACCUAGGUAGGAGUUAACUCCUUAAAGUCUGGCCGAUGCUUGAUCAACUCACAGACAGUGGUGUACUCCAUGGGAAGAGCUCAAAGAAAUCUUCUGUUUUGCAUCAAGUUAGUGAUAUUGUGAUCAUCAAGAGUAUUCAGCUCAUUCACAAUGGUGCUCAUGCGAUCAUAGUGUGAAGAAACAGUCUCAUUGGGCUCAAGCACAAGUCUGUCAAACUGACUGAUGAGGUGAGUAACUCUAGAAUCUUUGACAGUGGUUGUCCAUUUAUGGACUUCAGCGAGAAGAUCCCAAAUCUUCUUGGCAUCAACAAGGUUACUGAUCUUGUUAAACUCAGCAUCACUGACAGUUGAGAAGAUGAUAUCACAAAGCUUUGGCGUUUGCUUGAUACUUCUUCAGAGAAAUAGAAUCAUAUCUAGAGAUGGGUCCCUGAGGAACAAAAAAA